This 145009-nucleotide long non-coding RNA is filed under the name Citrus maxima (pomelo). RNAcentral describes it as "long non-coding RNA (CMAX_LNC001911)". The stretch from base 98084 to 98187 matches the Rfam family "Plant small nucleolar RNA R71". Lineage: Eukaryota; Viridiplantae; Streptophyta; Magnoliopsida; Sapindales; Rutaceae. The record is from RNAcentral.
ACAUUUUGUCCCAUACGCUUACAUUUUUUAGACAUGGAGUAGUAAUGCUAUUCAGAUGUUUUAGGUGCUUUUGGGCAUGGUAUCUAACCUUUGUUAAAUGAUUUUAGCAUUAUAAAAUUUUUAAAAUGAGUUACAUUCUAGCCUCCAUUCUCUUAUUUUUUAUGUUUUUGCAUUAAAGAAAUAUAGGACACUGUUAUGAUAGGCAUGAUUUAAUCUCAAUCAUCCUUUGUUUGACAGCUGGGCUACACCAAAAAGCAAGAGGAAAGGCAUUUUCGUGGUGUCAUUGCUUUGGAGGUAUGGAGAAUUACUACUCUGUUUCAGUUUUGGUAUUAUAUUAUUUAUUCUAUUGUCACAACCUUUUUUCACCAUUUUGUAGUUUAUUGCCAUCUUACUGGCUGGGCAGGAGUAAGUUGUAUAUGAAUAGGCCUAUAAAUAACCUUUAUCAAUGAAGUUUGCCUUAUUACUGCAAUAGGAACACUUUCUAAGUUAAAAUGGAUAAAGAUGGCCAAUGAUAAAUUUAACAAGUUAACAGUUGCCUCACAUACUAACGAACUUCAAGUAAAAUAUUUUAAGCUUUUUCUUAGUUUUACAAACUGCUAGUAAAAUUUUUUAAGCUUUUUCUUAGUUUUCUUUGGAUACAUGCUACCCAGUGUUCAUUCCUUUGGAUGUUACUUUCAAUAUUUUACCAAGUAGCUUCUGUUUUGAGCUGUUUUUCAUCUUACUUCGCAAUAAUCUAUGUACAUUUGCUGGCACAGGAAUGUAAUAUUGAGGAGAUUCCGGAGGAGGAGGAACCUCCAGCAAAAAGUUCGAAGGAUAAAAAGGCUAAUGGACCUGAUUCUGGGAAAGCACCAAGUCUUGUAUUUAAGAUUACUAGCAAAAUUCCUUAUAAAACUGUUCUGAAAGGUAUUCUUUAUGUUUAAAUCAUGGAGUUCCUCUGGCGGUAAAUUUUCUUUUUUUAUUCAUUUUUUCAAAUUGAUCUGCCUUUAUCUUGCAGCCCACAAUGCUGUUGUUUUGAAAGCUGAGAGCACCGCUGAUAAGGCGGAAUGGAUAAACAAGAUAAGCAAAGUUAUUCAAGCUAGGGGAGGACUUGUUAGAGUUGCUGAAAGUGGUCAUACGAUGCGUCAGAGUCUUUCUGAUGGUUCUCUUGUGAGUUUAAACUCUCUUAACUUUGCAAUACAAAUUUUGAAGUAAAGAGCUACUUACCUGUGAAGGAUGUUGUUCCUUUUGCAUAUGCAUAGAAAUUGUGAUCGAGUGUUAAUUUCUUUUCUUGGUGGUUUUUCUAGGAUACAAUGGCUCGAAGACCUGCUGACCCUGAGGAAGAACUUCGAUGGAUGUCUCAAGAAGUACGUGGUUACGUUGAAGCAGUUUUGAAUAGUUUAGCUGCUAAUGUGCCCAAAGUAAGCUCAUUCCUUAACUUUGCCAAUUUAAUAUUUUCAGUUGGUUACUUAAUAGAUCUGAUAUUUUUGUGAAUGGUUGAGCAGGCAGUUGUACUUUGCCAAGUCGAGAAAGCGAAGGAAGACAUGUUGAAUCAGUUAUAUAGCUCCGUCAGGUUGAUGGCUUUCUUAUUUCUCUCUUAUCAAUUAAUGAUCAUUUUGUUUGUAGUAAUUGUGCAUGGAUUCAAUAUAUGGUAACAUUAUUGAAAUUUUGUUUAGAAAGCUGAUUGAUGCUAACAUAAUUUGUAUUUUACCUUGGGUAGUGCACAAAGCACGGCAAGGAUUGAAGAGCUGCUUCAGGAGGACCAGAAUGUGAAGCGUAGGAGGGAUCGCUAUCAGAAACAGUCUGAACUCCUGUCUAAACUAACCCGCCAACUUAGCAUUCAUGACAACCGAGCGGCUGCUGCCUCUAACUGGUCGGACGGUGGUGGUGGAGCAGGUACGUGGUCUUUUGUUCAUAUACCAAGUGGAAAAAAUUGUUCAAUUUAACAUUUCCCUUUUGUCUGUUUAAAAAAUUAUAACAUUGAACUUUUGAGUAAAUAUCUAUAGUCUAAUGACAGUGGAUCUUUUCUUAACCUAAUUGUUUGCUGAUUUUGGAAUUAAAAAUUUUGUUCUGAACUUGAAUUAAUCUACUGUUUGAUUAUUGGAAAGGUUUCUCAGGUGACACUCAAGAAAUGCUAACCAAACCUAUUAAUUGCUUGAACUGUCUUACUAUUGAGCUACUUUCUGACAAAAGAUUGUUAGAUUGAUUUGUUUGUACCAUUGGAUUUUAAAAUUUUUAUUUAUUUGUACCAUUUAAUUAAAAAUGUUUUUUUUAUAAGACCGUCAUUUUGAUUUUAAAAUGUUUGUUAAAUCUCUAUUUGAAACAUUUUGAUGAUGGAAGUAUUGGGUUAUGUAAUAUGCAGAAAGCAGCCCUAGAACAAGUGCCGCAUCAGGUGAUGACUGGAGAUCCGCAUUUGAUGCUGCUGCCAAUGGACCUGUAAGCCUUCGCAGCUACUCUCGGUCUGCAUCCAAUGGGCACAGCCGGCGUUACAGUGAUCCAGCCGAGAAUGGUGAUGUGAGAUCUGGUUCAAACUCGGGCAGUCGUCGUACUCCUAAUCGGGUGCCGCCGCCUCCGCCACCAACACAGUCAGGCUCCAAGUACUUUUAGGUGGCUUACAGAUUUUGGUUGACAAUUCAUAUUUUCUCUGCAUAUUUUUAGUGAGUGAAGGCCUGCUUAACCACUCAUGAUUCCAGUAGUUGGUUAAUCACUUCUUUAGAAUCUUCAAAAGAGGGUGCUUUGUGUAAAUAGGACUCUAUAGUUCCUGAGCUGAAAGUCAGGAUUUUACGGCUUGCCCCUUGUCAGAACUAUGAAUUCAAAGUGUAUUUGAAUUCCAUUUAUCAUAUUCUUCUAUUCAUUAUUUUGUUUUUGUUUUUGCUUUUGCUUUUGGCUCCUCCCCUCAUUUUUGGACGAUGGUAUAGUUGUAUUUGUUUGUGUCAGUUCUGGAUAUAUGCUUUCGGACUUUUGGCUUUGUAUCAUUUGGAAAAUUCUUGUAAGGGGAGAGAUAUAAAAAUAUUUCAUAUAUCUACUUCUCUAUUAAAGAUGCAACUUUUUGUUGUAUUUCUGAGUUGGGAUGUUGCUCGGCGAUUAGUUUUUUUGUUUUUUUUUUGACAGUAAUUGGUCUCAUUAUAAUAUAACUAACUCUUUUGAUUGUUACUGAUUUAGUGAAUCAAGGUGGCCAUCAUACGGGGCAUAUUUAAUAUGUUUUCCCUCUACGUUAUUUGUUUAAUUUUUAUUUUAUUUUUAUCAACUAAUUUUUAUGCACCUCAGUUAGUCUGUAACUGUACGAGUAUAAUGGUUUAUUUAUGUUUUUUUUUUUAAUAUUUUGAAGUAAUCUAUCUCUUAUCAAACUGCAACAAGUUAAUAGAUUAUUUUCGUUAGAGCCCGCGGACAGACGCAAAAGCCUAUACACUAGACAGUCAUUGCCGAUAGUUAUGGUGCGAACAAUUUGAGAAUGACUGUAGCUCUUAGUUUUUCUCUCUUAAUUUGCAAUGAUAGUUACAAGUAAAUUUGAGAUUUCUUCUUAUAAAAUGAUUUGUGAAAUUAAUGCGUUCACUUAAAUAUUAAUCUGGUAUAUUCUUUUAAUAUAAUUUUUUUUAAUUUAAACAUCCAAAUUGAUUAUAGAAUAAAUGUAGUAGACUCCAAUUAAUUUUGUAUUAUAUAUAUUAAUAUUUUUGUAACGUAAUUUCGUGACUUGUAUAUGAACAUUUUCCUUGUACAAUUUCUUUUAAUAAUUGCAAUAUAGUAUUGACUCAAUCCUAUUAGGGAUUUAUUUAUUUAUUUUUCUUUUUUUUUCUUUUUAAAUCUCGGCAAAGCUUAAAGAGGAGAGCCAAGAGAGCAAAUUUGUUAAACAAACAAAUUAGAAAAACGAAAGGCAUUAAGGUAAUAGCUGAAAAUCAUAAACAAUUGUACUUCCUACAUUGCGGCGUGGAAAUAUACGAAUAAAUUAUGAAGCAAAAAUUUUCAGACAUACUGAAGUUAAAAUUUUUAGACACAUUGAGUUCAGACCGUUAAAUAAAAUAAAUUAAUUUGAUUCCUUUUACUAUAACCUUUUUUUUCGCAAAAUUUGUUAAGGAAUAUGCACUAACAAAUGUAGCCAUAUCUAUGAUGGUACCUGAAACUUUUUCUCUAAUCUCUCCUAUUUUGUUCUUCAAUUAUUGCCGCUUUAUAAAUAUUUGUUUACGAUGAUCGAAAGAAAAAGUUUAGGUACUACAGUUACUUUUAGUCAUUAGAUAUAGUUAAUGUAAUUGUAUAACUGUGGAUUUAACGACUACAAAUAACUGUAAUACCAUACCACAGUUGCAACAUAAUUUUACCCCGUUAAUUGAGUGUGUUAAAUAGGUGUUCAGGGUAAUAAUGUUAUAUUUAUUUACAAUAAAUUAUUUUUAAUAGUAAUUAUAUUAUAGAUGUUUUUAUAAUAAUUUUUUAAUUAAAAUAUAAGUAUUUUUAAUAAUUUUUCAAUUAAGUCAAUCAGUCAAAGAUCCAGUGGUUAGAGCAGCAACUGUUAAAGAGAACCGAUGUGUUCUGCAUAGUCGCGAUCAUUUUGAUUCAGUAAUUGUUUUCAUCUCAUCAAAUAUCUUUCUAGUCAAUUGAAUUUUUGUUAUGGCUGCUUAUUCUUCUUCUCCUUCUUCUCCUCGAAACCGUAAGUAUGAUGUUUUUCAAAGUUUCAGAGGAGAGGACAACCGUGACAACUUUACUGGCCAUCUUUAUUCAGCCUUGUCUCAGAAAGGCAUUGAAACUUUCAUUGAUGACCAGCUUAACAGAGGAGAUGAAAUUUCACAGUCGCUUGUGGAUGCAAUUGAAGCAUCAGCUAUUUCACUCAUCAUUUUCUCUGAAGGGUAUGCCUCUUCCAGAUGGUGUCUCGAUGAACUUGUCAAAAUCCUCACACGUGAGGUGGCGAACUGGGUCUUUUGGGGAUUCAUUUUUGAAGCUUGAAGAAAUGUUCAAGGAGAAUUCAGAGAAGCUGCAGACUUGGAGGAAUGCUGAUACAACCUUCCACAUUCAGCUGGAUCAACCGGAUUAUUUACGAGAAGGGCAGCCCAUCGAUGAGUCUAAUUGUGUGCAGCCCAUGAAGGAAGCCUCAUCACAAGUUGAAGUAGACAUAGCUCGUGAGGAAGGGUAUACCGGCACAAGAGUGAGAAGAUCCCCUGGGUGGUUUAAAGAUUAUGUCGUAUAGUGAAAUUGAUAAAGCUUUAUAUUUUGCUGGUUUAUGUUGCUGUCAUAUUUUCUGUUACAAAGUUAUGCUGAGCUGUAUUCUUUUAAAAAGCCAAAAGACAGAGGAGUAUAUGUAUAGCAUAACUAAUUCGUGCAAAAGGAAUCCAGAAUGAAUCAUUUCUUUUUAACUUUUCUCUAUUCUUCUCUCACUCUCCAUCUCUCUCCCCACUCUUGCUCAUCUUUGUCAAUUUCUUUUGGAGUCAGCCCUCACUCGAAGAGUGCAAAUUUAUCGAUACAGCCUUGAUUGCAGAGAGGUGUAUCAAAUGCUUUGAAGGAAGCGGCCGGUCUGUCCGGCUUUCAUUCUCAGAACAUUAGGUAAUCAAAUUUCUUUUCUCAUACCAUUAUGGUGAUGCAACAGAAUGUUAUUUUCUGCUUGAUUAAUUACCAGCGCCCCAGCCAGUUAUAGUGAAUUUUUUUUUGUCAAGUAUGCUGAAUUAUGUACUUCAAUUUUAUUAGGCAUCCUAGUGUCUUCCGGCAAGUGAUUUGUGGAAUUGAUAUUUGACGGUUACAUUUGGUGUGCUAAAUUCUGUAUGUGUUAAACUCAUUUGAAAGAAUUUUGACAGAGUUAUUGAAAUCAGCAUUUGUGUGUUUUCAUUGGGUGUUCUUUCAUAUUUCAAGUAAUUCCAAUCUGUCACUCAUAUUCCUAUUUAAGAGUUAUUGUCAUAUUUUCGUGCAAAUCCCUCCUAUUUGAACUUAUUAUUUUACAUAUUUGCUAGGUCUGAAUCAGAACUUGUAAAGGAAGUUGUUAAUCAAAUUUUGAAGAGGCCGGCUGAAGUCUCUCCUUGUAGUAAUAAAAACCAGUUGGUUGGAGUUGAAUCAAGAGUUGAGGAAAUUGAAUCUCUACUAGGUGCUGAGUCGAAAGAUGUUUACGCUUUAGGGAUUUGGGGCACUGGUGUUAUAGACAGGACAACAAUUGCUAGAGCUAUUUUCAAUAAAAUCUCUAGUAACUUUGAAGGUUCUUGCUUCCUUCAAAAUGUUAGAGAAGAAUCACAAAGACCGGGAGGAUUAGGUUGCUUGCAACAAAAACUUCUUUCAAAAUUAUUGCAGGAUGGCAAUGUGAUUCCUGAUAUUGCCCUGAGCUUUAGACAGCUCAGCCGCAGGAAGGUUCUGAUUGUUCUUGAUGAUGUGACUUGUUUCAGACAAAUAAAAUCCUUAAUCGGAAGUCUUGAUUGGUACAUGGCAGAGAGUUGAAUCAUAAUAACAAGAAGAAAUCAACAAGUGCUUAGAAAUUGUUGUGUCAAAGAGAAAUAUGAGAUGAAGGAAUUAGGAGAUGAUCAUGCACUUGAGCUUUUUAGUCGACAUGCCUUCAAACAAAACAAUCCUCAUAUAGGUUUUGAGGAACUGUCAAGCAGGGUCACACAAUAUGCUCAAGGUGUUCCAUUAGCUAUUGAAAUUUUGGGUUGUUUUCUAUUUGAAAAAGAAAAACAAUUUUGGGAAAGUGCAAUAAACAAAUUGAAAAGAAUCCCUAAUAUGGAAAUCCAGAAGGUGCUAAAAAUAAGUUUUGAUGGUUUGGAUGAUGAAGAGAAAAAUAUUCUUCUAGACAUUGCUUGUUUCUUUAAAUGGAAAAAUAAAGACUUGGUCAUAAAAUUUCUUAAUGCUUGUGGCUUCACUGCACAAAUAGGAAUAAGUAGUCUUGUUGACAAGUCUCUUAUUUGUAUGCACGGCAACAAUAUAACAAUGCAUGAUCUUCUACAAGAAAUGGGUAGGGAAAUUGUACGGCAAGAAUCAACGAAUGAUCCAGCAAAACGUAGUCGGUUGUGGCAUCAUGAGGAUAUUAUCAAAGUCCUGACAUCUAAUACGGUAAGCAUUUUGUUAGAGAAUAUAUUAUUUUGGAAUGCUAUUUAAUAUUCAAAGUUUACUUAUAAUUGUAUAAAUAGAUGGGUUUAUAAAAUUUAUAAAAGAUUGGCAAUGAUUAAGUGGGAAAAAAAAAAGAAAAAUUGGAAAAAAGGAAACCAGUAGUACAUGAUGUAGCAAUAAUGUAUAAUUGCUAUGUCAAUUUGUAUAUAACAGUUUGCGGACAAGCAUUGAUAGUUUAUACGUUGUCUGCAUUGAUAGUUUAUAUGUUUAGUAUUACUUGUAUUAUCCUGUUUCUUUGUAAGUAGGUUUAGAUUUACCAGUUUGAUUGCCAAACAAUAACUAUCUACUUGAAUUGUAUAAAUUUGAUUUUAACAUUAUGGUCUUUUUAUUGAUUAUUAGGGGACUGAAGCAAUUGAAGGCAUUUGCUUGGAUAUGUCUAAAGUGAAAGAGAUCCAUCUAAAUCCUGAUACUUUCACAAAGAUGAGUAAAUUGAGAUUUUUGAAAUUCUAUUGCUCAAUCCAUGGAGAGAACAAAUGUAAGGCAUCUGAUUUCUAAGGUCCUGUAUUUGCUGAAGUGAGGUAUUUUCACUGGCAUGGAUAUCCAUUGAAAUCACUGCCUUCAAAUAUUCAUCCAGAGAAACUAGUUUUACUUGAAAUGCCUCAUAGCAAUAUUCAACAACUUUGGGAUGGUGUCCUGGUAUGUAUAUCUUAACAUAUGCAUGCAAUGUUUAAGUCAUAACAUUUAAUUAUCAUAGCAUGCUAAUGAUUUGUCUUGACCUCUUUUUUGUCUCAGCAGCGUUGUGGUAAGCUAAAGCAGAAAAUCAUCUCUGCCUGCAAUAUUUUUACCAAAACUCCAAACCCCUCGUUGAGUCAACCUCUGAACACGCUGGUUGUCCUGAAUCUAAGGCAUUGCAAAAGUCUGAAAAGUCUUCCAGCUGGAAUUCAUUUGGAAUUUCUUAAAGAAUUUGAUCUUUCAGGUCGUUCAAAACUGAGGCGGCUUCCAGAUAUCUCAUCAGCUGCUAAUAUAGAAGAGAUGCUUUUAAAUGGAACUGCAAUUGAAGAGCUGCCCUCAUCCAUCGAGUGUCUGUAUAAGCUUUUGCGCUUGGACCUUGAAGAUUGCAAAAGCCUUAAGAGUCUCCCAAGUGGCCUGUGUAAGUUAAAAUCAUUAAAAUAUCUUACUCUCAAUGGUUGCUCAAAUCUUCAGAGAUUGCCUGAUGAACUCGGAAAUUUAGAAGCUUUGUGGAGUUCGCAUGCUAUAAGAACUGCUAUAAGAGAAGUGCUAUCAUCUUUUUUCCGUUUGAACAACAUUGAUCUCUUAAGUUUCCAGAGAAGCAGGGGUCAUAAGCAGAUGGGUUUAUCAUUGCCUAUCAUGUUAUCUUUAGAUGGCUUGCACACUCUAACGUAUUUAAAUCUAACUAAUUGUGGCAUCACACGGUUACCUGAAAAUAUUGGCCAGUUAUCCUCGAGAGAAUUCCAGAAAGCAUCAUACAACUUUGUAAGUUGGGAAGGUUCUACUUAAGGUAUUGUGAGAGGCUUCAAUCCUUACCAAAGCUUCCAUGCAAACUACAUGAGUUGGAUGCACAUCAUUGCACGGCACUGGAAUCGUUAUCAGGUUUAUUCUCAAGUUAUGAAGCUUGUACUCAGUAUUUUGACCUGAGUUAUAAUUAUAAAUUGGAUCGAAAUGAGAUCAGAGGAAUUCUUGAAGAAGCUCUGCAAGAAAUUCAACUCUUGGCAACUGCACGAUGGAAAGAAGUAAGAGCGGAGUUAUUAAUUUCUUUUUUCUUCAAAUUAAAGUUGACAAUUAAUAUUUGAUUAAAAUUAUGAUUUUCUGUGGUACAGAUAUAUUAUUCUCAAAAAUAUGCACUGUUGGUUCGUGUCUUUUUUCCUGGGGAUGAAAUUCCGAUGAGGUUUAGCUUUCAAAGUAUGAAAUCUUCUAUAACCUUGAAGAUGCCACCAGGUUGGUUCGGUAAUAAAAAGGUACUCGGCUUUGCUUUUAGUGCUAUUGUGGCAUUUGGAGAACAUAAUGUCAGAGAAAAGAGGUGGUUCGAAUUGUUUUGUGAAUUCAAAGUCAGACCCAAAGAUUCGCAUGCCAUACAGAGAUUUAUGGGGAUGGUUGAUUAUGUAGAGUCAGAUCACUUACUUUUGGGAUACUAUUUCUUCGAUGAUCAGGAUUUGAAUGGUUUUUGGAAAUACAAUUGCAUUCUUGAGGCAGUUCAAUUCUAUUUUAAGGAGGAUUUUAUCGCUCUGAACGUUUGGAGUGUUGCCCGGUGAAAAAAUGUGGGAUCCAUUUAUUGUAUGUACCAGACUCUACAAAAUCAAUGGAAGAUCCAAGUGAAUUUUUCUACCAUAACCAUGAAGAGGAACGACACCCCAAAAGACUCAAAUAUUCUUGAAAACGUGUAUUGCAGCUGGUAUUUUUGAGAAGAGAUAUGUUAGAUUAAUUCAUCGGUACUGUUUGAUCUUAAAAUGUUGCUUUCCAAACAUUUCUUUUAUGAUUUUAUAUUUUUAUAUGAAGAUGGAAGUGACUUUUAGAUGUUUUUCAACUCUUUUAUUUUGAUAAAAGCUACAUUUCACGUCCAGUACUAUUGUUUGGUCCAAGCAGUUAUUGUUUGACUUUUGGUUGGUCUGGCUAGUGUUUAGAUCCUUGUGUAUUUGUGUUUAUUUGGUUUCUGCAUGAAAUGUAUAUUAAAUCAAAUUUACAAUGCAUGUAAGUCCGUUUAUAGUUUAGACAUAAUUUUCGGCCACUAUUACUUUAAGAUGUUCGGAUCAAUGCUUCCUUAUCAGUAGUAAAUUUUUGCUGAAUUCUUUUGGGAAAAUUUCUCUGCAACUAGCUUAUGUUGAAAUCUCUGUAGUCUUGUUUGGCUGGAAAGACAGCAUCAGGUGUUGGAGGUGAACUAGAAACGAACUUCAAAAAAGGCAACUGAGGUAGAUCAAGGGAUUGUGAACAGGGUAUGGGGUCCUUUUCCUGAUAUAAUCGGAUUACGACUUCAAAUGACAAAUGCAUUGAGUAGACACUUUUUCCUUUGAAAUGAGUAUCUAAACUAUGCUGCUCAAUGGUUCUAGUGUUAUAAAACUUUGGAAAUGAGUUACAUUUUAGCCUCUAUUCACUGAUUUUUAUACGUCUUUCCAUAUAAAUAUAUAGACAGAGGUACAUACCUAAUUCAACAUUUCUUCCUAUAUAGCUAGUAUUCAUAGAGAUGCACCGAUAUAUGGAGCAUUUUGCUGUUAGUAUUAACAACUUUUAUUUAUUCCUAUAAGUUCUUUGUAGAAACAAUCAGGUGAUGACUGGAAAUCUGCAUUUGAUGCUGCUGCUGCCAAUGGACCUGUUAAGCCAUCGCAGCUACUAUCGUUCUGCAUUCAAUGGUCAUAGCGGGGAUUACGGUGAUCUGGCCUAGAAUGGUGAAGUGAGAUCUGGUUCAAACUCCAGCAGUCAUCGUAAUCCUAAUGAGGUGCUGGCACCACCCCCACCAGCAGCAGAGUCAGGAGGCUAUAGGCACUUCCAGUUGGCUUACAGAUUUUGGUUGACAAUUCAUAUAUUCACUGCAAAUUUUUAGUGAGUGAAGCCCUGUUUAACCACUCCGUGAUUCCAGUGCUUGUUCAAAAAUCACUUUACUAGAAUCUUUAGAAGAGGGUGUUUUGUGUACAUAGACAUAGGACUCUAUACGGCUAGCUUCAUGUCAAAGCAAUGAAUUCAAAGUGUAUUCAAAAUUCAUUUACUAUAUUCUUUCUUCUUUUCAUUAUUUUGCUUUUAUUUUUGGUUCCUCCCCUCACUUUUGGACAACGAUAUAGAUGUAUUUGCUUGUAUCAGUUCUGGUUAUAUACAUACUCUUGGACUCGUGGCUCCGUUUAGAAAAAAAAAAAAAAUUCUUGUAAUGGGAGGUAUGUAUUUUAUUUCAUAUACUCACUUCUCUGCUCAAGAUUCUGCUACUAUAAUCAAAGAUGCAACUUUUUGAACUAUUAUUUAUGCCAAAAAAUUCAGUAGUUAUUAUUAUUAUUUUUUUGACAGCAUAUCUCUUCUUUGAUUGUCUCACAUAUUUAUGGAAUAUUUAAGGAAAGUAAAUAGCUUUUGUUCACAAAUUGUUUUUGUUAGAGCAAAAUAGAAUUCUGACAAAUUCGAGAAUUGACCAAGAAAGCAAAGGGUAGCGUAUGAAGUUGCGGGUUGAAAUUACGGUGCUUUUGGGCAAUUCACACCCUCUAGAACCUUUCCAGCUGUCAUUCACUUUUUCUUUCUCCACUUGAAUAACGCGGAAUAAUUUCAAAUAAAAGUGAACAAAGCUGCAUUUUAAGUAAAAUUAUUGUCCAGAGAGCCAAGGAAAUCAAAUGAGAUGAAAUUAUCAAGAAACAACCUGUUUUUACUCUGCACAGAUACUACAGUCACUAACGUUUGCUCGAGAAAAAUACGCCGACUUUUCCGGGAAAUUUUUUUAUAUAUAUAUAUGAAAUAUAUAUAUAUAUAUAUAUAUAUAUGAAAGGAGUGAAAAAAUUUUGAACUUUAGAAAUUCUUUUUUGACUUUAGAAAUAGUGUAACACUAUUCACAUCAAAGAAGGAAGAUAAUGAGGCCAAUUCCCCAUAUAUAAAGCCAACAAAAUUAAAUUGAGUGAAGCCUUGCUUAAAAAACCCAUUCCAUGAUCCCAGUCCCACCACGCACUUUGUAUAAAAUUCAAUUUAUUAGAAUAAUUGGAAUCAUUAGGAGAGGAAAUAUAUUUGUGUGCUUAGGACUACAUAUAGUUCCUGAUGAACGUUGGGAUUUUUACGCGUGCCCCUUGCCUCCAUGUCUAAACAAUGGAUUUAAUUAAAUUGCAUUUGAAAUCCACUAAGCAUAUUCUUCCUUCAUUGUUUUGUAUUUUUUUUCUCUUUUUUUUCCCCAUUUUUCAAUCCUAUCUCAUUUUUGGAUGAUAUAAUGAACAUGUUUGAUCAGUUCUGGUCGGUUAUCAUUUGGAAAUAUUACAUUUUUUUUAUCCCAAUGCGAUAUAUUUUCUUCUCCAUUGAAGAUUCUCUGGACGCUAUUAACCAAAAAAUGCAACUUUUUUUCUGUUUAUAAAUUGCUUCUGUACCCAAAGUUGCAAGUACUUACCAAUAAUUUGAUAAACUUCAAUAAUAAAUAGGAUUUAAAAAAUGAACUUGAAACAUCUAUGUAAAAUAUUGGAAUUCAAUGAAAAGAGUAGGAAUAUAAAACCAAAAAGUUGUGGAAAAAAGAGUUGAAGAGCUAACCUAAAACUCGGAAAGAACUACCGAAAAUCUGAUAAAUCCAAUAAGAAGUAGGGAUCAAAAAAUAAACUCGAAACAUUCACAAAAAAUAUUGGAAUUAAGUUAAAAGAGUAGAAAUAUAGAACAAAAAAAUGGUGGAAACAAGAGUUGAAGAGUAACACAGGAGUGUUUGAAAUAUUUGGUAAUCAAGUUAAGUCAAGUGCAGCUCAAGUUCUUACAUUAAUCAAGUGAGCAGAAUUUCUGUGCAGAAGGGGCAUCUUUGGGAAUUAAACUGUACUGCAUGAGAUCGAAUUAAUUUUCGAACCAUACAUCAUUGGAAAGAUAUUUCUGUUAGCUUUCCAAUGAAUUUUACUAAUCUAAAUUUGGAGUUUUCUACAGUAAGUUAUGAUCAGUUAAGUGCAGACUGUUCAGUUUUUGAGUCAAGAAGGAUAUUUCGGGACUUGGAUUUUUUUUAAUGUUCUUUGUUGUGUUUUAAGCAUACCAAUGUUUUAUUAAUGUCUAGCUUUAAUGUUGGUCUUUAAAGUCAAGUUAUUUGAAGGGUUUCUUUGUAGUAAAUCUAUGCUUGGAGGAUUGUUCCAAGAAAGCUAUUUAAGCUUAUGUAGUUGUAACCAAAGGACAGAGAUUAAUUUUGGGAAUUGGAUGAACUUUGAGUUAUUAUCAAACUCUGUAUCUCUUUGGUGGAUUCCAUUGAGUGGUGAGUAUUUUUAAGCCCUGUAUCCUUAGCUUAACAACUUUAGGUGGUGAAUUUUUCUGUAUCCUUUUGUUGUUUGCUGUGGUGGUGAGCUUGUGAAUUCUUGGGUGUGUGACGUUGUGUUUUCUCAUCUAUUGUGUCCGGUGUCAAAUUGGUAUCAGAGAAUUGGGUUCUGAAAAUUUAUGGCUCAACGACGUCGGCGUAAUGCAAGAGUUGCAGAGCCUCUUGUUCGUGAGAGGGACUUGGGUGAUAUAGAAAGGGAUGAUCUUAGAAGACAAGUAGAACAGCUUCAGCAACGAUUACAACACCUUGAAGGAACUCGAGAAGCUGCUCCUAAUGGUAGUUCGGAAGAAGAAGGCUCAAUCAAUGACGGGGUAGAUUAUAAUCCCUUCCAUCAGGAACAAAGCUCCAAUAGUGAAUUUUCUUCUCGUUCUCGAAUUCAUAGGCGUCGUAAAUCUUAUCAGCCUUUCGACUUCAAGAUCGAAAUUCCUGAAUUUGAAGGAAGAAUGCAACCAGAAGAGUUUGUUGAUUGGCUUAAUACUGUUGAACUCAUUUUUGAAUACAGAGAUGUGCCUGAAGAUCGCAAAGUGAAACUCAUUGCCAUUAAACUUAAAAAGUAUGCUUCUUUAUGGUGGGAAAAUCUUAAGAGGCAAAGGAAACGAGAGGGACGGAGGAAAAUUGUUACUUGGGAGAAAAUGAAAAAAGAGCUUAAGAGAAAGUUUUUGCCCGAUAACUACAGGCAAGAUAUCUACCUUAAAUUCCACAACUUCAGGCAAAAGGAAUUGUCAGUGGAAGACUAUACAGCAGAGUUCGACAAUCUAAUGAUGAAGUGUGAUUUGGUAGAGGCGGAAGAGCAUACGAUCGCACGCUAUCUGGGUGGUUUAAAACCUGAGAUUGGUAAUGUGGUCCAGCUCCAACCAUAUUGGACUUAUAGUGAUGUAUGCAGACUUGCUCUUAAGGUGGAAAAGCAACAAAAAGAUGCUUGUGGUGGGGGUAUUCGGUUCACAGUUCAUGAUGUCAAUCGAGGGAGUGACUCCGUUUCUAAGCAUAAUUCUGGUUCGAAUUCUACUGCAAAGAAAAUUACGAGGAUUGAUAUUGGGGAAGGAUCUAAACAGCGAGCAAGUGGUUCGAAUGCUAGUUCUCGUCAAUGUUUUAAAUGCCAUGGUUAUGGGCACAUUGCUUCUGAGUGUCCUAAUCGUAGGGUGGUUGCCCUUGUUGAAGAGGAAAGCGAUGACGAGGAUGCGGAAGAUCAUGAGAAUCCUAGUGUCGAAAAGGAUGUUGAAGAUGAAGAAGUUACAUUUGCUGAUGAUGGAAACUCUCUAGUUAUUCAAAAGAGUUUGAGUAUUGUUUGUGAAGAUGGGGAAGAUUGGCUGAGAAAGAAUAUCUUUCAUACCAGAUGCACUUGUCAUGGAAAGAUAUGUAAUGUCAUUAUUGAUAGUGGCAGUUUUGAGAAUGUGGUAGCAACUGAAAUGGUGAAGAAGUUGAAGCUCAAAACGGAGCAGCAUCCUCAGCCUUAUAAACUUUCUUGGCUUAAAAAGGGAAAUGAGAUUGAGGUAAACACACAUUGCCUUAUUUCAUUUUCUAUUGGGAAUAAAUAUAAAGAUGAAGUUUGGUGCGAUGUUGUCCCUAUGGAUACAUGUCAUUUGCUUUUGGGUCGUCCUUGGCAGUACGAUAGAAUGGUUGUUCAUGAUGGUUAUAGGAAUACUUAUACUUUCAUUAAAGAUGGAGGUAAAGUCAUUUUGGGUCCUUCAAAGGUAGAGAAAAGUUCUAAACCUAUCAAAGGAGUGGAAAGCAAUUUGCUGACUGUUUCAGAUUGUAAAAAAAAAUUGGAAAUGGGUAGUGAAGUUUACGUGCUGCUGGUGUUUGAGGAAAAUGAAGAUAGCAAUGAGCCGCCUUUGAUUAUGAAGUAUUUUCUUGAAGAAUUCUCAGAUGUUGUUCCAGAAAAAUUACCACAUGGCCUUCCUCCUAUGAGGGACAUUCAACAUUGCAUUGAUCUUAUUCCGGGUUAUGUACUACCAAAUAAAGCGGCUUAUCGAAUGAAUCCAAAGGAGCACGAAGAAUUACAGAGGCAAGUUGAAGAGCUAUACAAGGAUGAUUCUUUCUUUGGCAGGAUUUGGAGAGAAUGUGAGAAUGGAUCAUAUGACCAGUACCAAUUGCAUGAUGACUUUCUUUUCAAAGGGAAUCGUUUAUGUAUUCCUCAGUAUUCUUUGCUGGAAUCUAUUAUCAUGGAGGCACAUGGCAGUGCUGUUGGAGGUCACUUUGGAAGGGAUAAGACGUUAGCUUGCUUGCAAGGUAAUUUCUAUUGGCCAAAGAUGGAUAAAGAUGUUGUGCAUCAUAUGCAGAGGUGUAAAAUAUGUCAUAUUGCCAAAGCUCAUGGUCAAAACACAGGCCUAUACAAUCCUUUACCAGUCCCUGAAGCUCCUUGGGAAGAUGUUAGUCUAGACUUUGUUGUUGGGUUGCCAAGAACUCAAAGAAACAAAGACUCUGUCAUGGUGGUGGUUGAUCGAUUCUCAAAAAUGGCUCAUUUUGUUCCGUGUAACAAGACAUUGGAUGCCUCUCAUGUGGCUGAUUUGUACUUCAAGGAGAUUUGGUUUGGGUUCAUCUUAGGAAAGAUCGUUUUCCACCUGGGAAAUUUGCUAAACUUAGACCAAGGGCUGAUGGACCAUUUACAGUGUUGCAACGCAUUGGUGAUAAUGCUUACAAGAUUGAGCUACCAGAUGGCUAUGGUGUUUCGUCAACAUUCAACAUAUCAGACUUGUCUCCUUAUCAUGAAGAAAAUGAUCAAAACUCGAGGUCGAAUUUUUUUUUUCAACUAGGGGAGAUUAACACAGGAGUGUUUGAAAUAUUUGGUAAUCAAGUUAAGUCAAGUGCAGCUCAAGUUCUUACAUUAAUCAAGUGAGCAGAAUUUCUGUGCAGAAGGGGCAUCUUUGGGAAUUAAACUGUACUGCAUGAGAUCGAAUUAAUUUUCGAACCAUACAUCAUUGGAAAGAUAUUUCUGUUAGCUUUCCAAUGAAUUUUACUAAUCUAAAUUUGGAGUUUUCUACAGUAAGUUAUGAUCAGUUAAGUGCAGACUGUUCAGUUUUUGAGUCAAGAAGGAUAUUUCGGGACUUGGAUUUUUUUUAAUGUUCUUUGUUGUGUUUUAAGCAUACCAAUGUUUUAUUAAUGUCUAGCUUUAAUGUUGGUCUUUAAAGUCAAGUUAUUUGAAGGGUUUCUUUGUAGUAAAUCUAUGCUUGGAGGAUUGUUCCAAGAAAGCUAUUUAAGCUUAUGUAGUUGUAACCAAAGGACAGAGAUUAAUUUUGGGAAUUGGAUGAACUUUGAGUUAUUAUCAAACUCUGUAUCUCUUUGGUGGAUUCCAUUGAGUGGUGAGUAUUUUUAAGCCCUGUAUCCUUAGCUUAACAACUUUAGGUGGUGAAUUUUUCUGUAUCCUUUUGUUGUUUGCUGUGGUGGUGAGCUUGUGAAUUCUUGGGUGUGUGACGUUGUGUUUUCUCAUCUAUUGUGUCCGGUGUCAAAGAGCAUAACCUAAAAGUUUGAAGAAGUUAACAAGAAUCUGAUAAAGUUUAACAAGUAGUCGAGAUCUAGAAAAUGAACCUGAAAUAUCCAAGCAAAAUGUUAGAAUUCAAUGAAAAUAGUUGGAAUAUAGAACCAAAAAGUGGUGAAAAUAAGAGUGGAAGAAGUUAACACAAAAAUUGAAAUAACUUAACAAUAAUUUGAUAAAUUUAAACGCAAAGUAGGGAUCUAAAAAGUAAAUUUGAUACAUUUACCCAAAAUAUUGGAAUUCAAUAAAAAUAGUAGGAAUAUUGAACCAAAAGUAGUGGAAAAAUAAGUUGGAACAACUUAGCAAUAAUUAGAUAAAGUCUAAUAGAAUAUUGAGAUUAAAAAAUAAACUUGAAAUAUCAACCUGAAAACUGGAAAUUUAAGGAAAGAACUGGAAAUAUAGAACUAAUAACUGAUGGAAAAAUGAGUUGAAACAGCUUACAAAAAAUUGGAUAAAUUCCAACGGAGAGUAUGGAUCUAGAAAUUGAACUUGAAAUAUCCAAACAAAAUUUUGAAAUUCAAUAAAAAGAGUAGGAAUAUAGAACUAAAAAGUGGUAGGAACAAGAGUUGAAAAAAUUAACCCAAAAGUUGAAAUAAUUUACCAAGAAUUUAAUAAAUUCAAAUGAGAAGUAAGGAUCUAAAAACUAAACUUGAUAUAUUUACCCAAAAUAUUAAAAUUCAAUAAAAAAUAGUAGGAAUAUAGAACCAAAAAGUGGUAGAAAAAUAAAUCGGAACAAUUUACCAAAAAAUAGAUAAAGUUUAAUAUAUUAUAGAAAUAUAAAAAUAAACUUGAAAUAUACACCUAAAAAACUGGAAGUUAAUGAAAAGAGUGUAUAUAUGAAACCAGAAACUAGUGGGAAAAUGAGUUGAAACAACGUACCAAAAUUUAGAUAAAUAACCACGAAAAAUAGGAAUUUGAAAAAUAAACUUGAAAUAUGUAUUAUAAAUAUUGGAAUAUAACAAAAUAAAUAGGAAUGUAACCAUUUUGUGAUAUGUUAAUAUUUUUUAUAUAUUUUUUGUACUAUUUUUAAAUUUUAAAUUAUUACAAUCUUUUUCCUCAUUUAAUUACAAUUUUAACCUUUUUCUAAUUUUUUCAUAAUUUUUUCACAUUAAAAACAAAUAAAAAUAUAAUUUUCAGUAUAUUAUCCGGUUAAAAACCGGUUGUACCAGUUGCAUGCACGCGCUGUAUGAGAUACAGCGUUGCAUGGUAGGUUGACUGAAAAAGACAUAGUUGAAGUCUCAUCAAGAUUGUCUUCAUUCGAGAAAAAGCAACUAUGUUUAAAACACCUUUAAUAAAGUACUAAUAAUUAUUAAAGACAUGUUUGACUAGACUUGCAGUUGGCAAGCAAAAGAGGAUGAAAUUAUUAAUUAAUUAGAACACAUGAAAGAUUCCUCUCAUUUUAUUUUUUAAAAGAAAGUAAACAUUUCAUUAAACUAAACUUUCAGCCAUACAUAAAACAUCAGCUGGGAAAUUGUUUCUCCAGAUAACAGAUUUCUGAGCUACACAAAGCCCUUUUAGCUAAAAAAUGGGCAAAACCAUUACACUUUCUUGGAACAUAUUGGAAAGAUAUCAGUUGGAAAUCUUGUGUGCUCUUGUGGAAGUCUGACAUAGUCCACCAAAUCUCUGUCCUGUUGCUAACUUUCUUAUUUGCUAAGUCAGCUACAUUUUUGCAGUCGGUCUCUAUAAUCACAUUUGACAGACUAAGAUCCUUGGCUACCUCCAUACCCCACUUGACAGCAUGAGCUUCUGCUAUAGCUACGUUCCCCUGGAAAUUCAUGCUUUUUACUGCUGCUGCUAACACUUGCCCUCGAUGAUUUCUGAUGACCACGCCCAAGCCUGCACUCUUCCUAUCUUCUUUGACUGCUGCAUCAACAUUGACUUUCACUUUGUUGUUUGGUGGUGGAGUCCAUAUCUGCAUCUUUCCCUCUACUGUAUUUCCAUGGCUCUCCCGUUCUUUAACCUGCUGAGCCUGAUACACUUCCAUAACUGCUUUGCCCCUAGCCACUGACCCUACUGGAUCUAACUUUUUUCCUUGAAAAAGGAGUUUGUUUCUAGCAUGCCAAGCAACCCACCAAAUCGUGGCCACGUAAUCUGCCUCAGACUUAGCCCAAUUAUUCAUAGCCCCAAUCAUGACACUAAGCAUGUCUUCUCUGAUGACGCUCUUCACCUCAUUCUCCAAGUGAGUACAUUUCCAGAUUUCCGAGCCACUCUGCAUUCCAUCAAGGCGUGGAAAACAUCUUCACAACCCGCUUUGCAUAAAUGGCAUGUCGGUUCCUUCAGCACUUUCCUUCUCCACAGAUUUUCUGCCGUUGGCAGCAGGUUCUUUGCAGCUUUCCACACAAAGAUCUUAAUUUUCUCUGGUAAGUUUAGCCUCCAAAUAUGUUGCCCGCCCUGUGGAGCUCCUGUAGAUCCGGCUGGAGAUUCAGAGAACUUAAUUUUGAGAGCUAGUUGAUAUCCACUCUUUACUGAGUAUAUACCUUUCUUAUCAUAAUGCCAUAUCACCAUAUCUUCUUGAGGAGUUCUCGGUAAAGGGAUAUUCCUUAUGAUUUCAGCAUCUUCCUUUGCAAAGUUUUGAUUGAUCAUUGUUUCAUUCCAUUGGUGAUUUUGAUCAAGAAGCUCUGAGACUCUAGAUUCAGUAGGCAAGGACUGUACCAGGAUUGGUUUGAAGGUUGAGGGCCUAGGGAAAUAUUCCUCUCAUUGAUUUCGUUGAAACAGACUUAAUUUGUAAUCAAAGUGAAAAUUCGUCAUCUUUCAGCGGUGAUUCCAACUUCUAACAAUCUCUAAGCAGUAAGUUUUCUGACAGUUUUAUAUUUACAUGUCUCUUGUAUUUGUGUAAUUAGUCUCUCACAUAAUUCAAUUUAAUAGGAAGUUUUGAUCUCUUGCUUCCAAGGCUCAAAACUUAUUGCAACAUUGCUGGCAAUUAGUGUGGGUUUCGGCUCUUUAAUUCAGCUUUGCUAGGUUUAAGUUCGACAUCGAAUUUUAUGCGUUUAGUGCAGUAUUUUAUGAACUAUUUUAAAGAGAUUUUUAAUUAAUUCUUAGGUACUUAAAAUAAACUUCUUGUCGGCAUACAAAGGACUAAAAGAGUAAAAAUUAACUAGAACACAUAAAAUCUUCUCAUUAAUUUCACUGAAACAACGUAAAAAUUCAUCUAACUGUGGUCGAAUACUUGCAUGUGUCUUGUAUUUUCAGCUUAUUUUUUGAACUUUUAUAUGUAUGUUUUUUGUGACAUAUUUUAAUCUUAUUUGGAAUUAAGAUAUUGUAGCUUUUAAACUACAGCAGCUAUGAAAAAAACUGUAAUUAUGAAACAAAAGUUAAUAAUAUAUAAUAAAUAUAAAUUUUAAAUAAUAAUUUUGAUAAAAUUAUUAGAGAUAUAAUGAAUUUUUUAUCAUAUAAGUGAAAAAUUAUAUCAAUAUAAUUUUUAAGUUACAGCAGUUAGUAUUUACCAAAUACUUUUCUGUUGUAGCUUAAAUAUCCACCCCCAUCCCAAAAGCACUCUUUAUAUAAUUAAUUUUUUCACAUAAUUCCAAAAAAUCAAUUUAGAGGAAAUUUCGUUCUCUUGUUGCCAAGACAUGAAAACUGGUUCCAACUCUGCAGGUAGUGUGUGUUUCUUGGACAGGAAAGUUGGCAGUGCAGGUUUUAAGUCUUCUUCAAUUCGGCAUUGAUACAGCAUCUAAUUCUAAAUUAGUUCUUAGGGACUUAAGAGUGCGACUGUCGUGGCGUCAAUUGCUCGCAUCAUGAGCAUCCACAAAGUUUCUCCUUUUGUUCCUUAUCCUCUUCCUCACUGGAAAUAUGACGUCUUCUUAAGUUUCAGAGGAGUAGACACCCGCAAAAAUUUCACGGACCAUUUGUACACUGCUUUGGAUCAGAAGGGAAUCAUAGUCUUCAGGGAUGACAAAGAACUUGAGAGAGGAGAAUCCAUUUCACCUGGACUCUUUAAAGCAAUUGAAGAAUCAAAAAUUUCAAUUAUUGUUUUCUCUAGAAACUAUGCUUGUUCGACAUGGUGCUUGGACGAACUUGUUCAUAUUCUUGAAUGCAAAAACAAAAAUCAUCAACAAAUGGUUUAUCCAAUUUUCUAUGAUGUGGAACCAACUGAUGUAAGGAAACAGACAGGAAUUCUUGAAGAAGUUUUUGCUCGACAUGAAGAAAUUCUUGCUCAGAAUAAAGAAAAGGUGCAAAAGUGGAGAGACGCUUUGAAAGAAGUGGCUAAUAUCUGUGGCUGGGAAUUGAAGGACAGGUAGUCUUUCUUAUUCUCAAAGAUUAAUUACCUAUAAUAGAUUUGAUUUGAAACUAUGUUUACACUCACUUUAAUUCAACAACACCAAUGUUUUCUUAAUCUUUUGCAAGCUGCAGGAAUCAGUCUGAAUUUAUUUUGGAGGUUGUCAAGGUGAUAUCAAGUAAAAGUCCUAUAAUAUCAGGGAUUCUUAAGAAUCUAGUAGGAAUAGAUUCACACUUGAAGAAUCUGAGGCUUCUCAUGGAUAAAGGAUCUAAUGAUGUUCGCAUGAUAGGGAUAUGCGGUAUGGGAGGUAUAGGGAAGACAACCCUUGCAAGGGUUGUUUAUGACUUGACUUCUCAUAAGUUUGAAGGAAGUAGCUUUCUUGCCAAUGUUCGAGAAAUUUCAAAAGAAGGCGGCCUGAUCUCUUUACAGAAGCAACUCCUUUCCCAGUUACUAAAGCUUCCAAAUAAUGGCAUAUGGAAUGUUUAUGAUGGUAUCAACAUCAUAGGAAGUAGGCUGCACCACAAAAAGGUUCUUUUGCUUAUCGAUGAUGUAGUUGAUAUCAAGCAAUUAGAAUGUUUAGCUGGAAACCGUGAAUGGUUUGGUCCUGGCAGCAGGAUCAUAAUAACAUCGAGAGAUAAGCAUUUGUUGAUGACGCAUGGAGUAGAUGAAGUAUAUAAGCUCAGGGAACUACAUGAUGAUAACGCUCUUCAAUUAUUUUGUAAAAAAGCCUUCAAAACCCAUCAGCCUAAGAAAGGAUAUGAGCAGCUGUCUGAAUGGGUUACAAAGUAUUCAGGUGGUCUUCCAUUAGCUCUCAAAGUUUUGGGAUCCCUUUUGUAUGGUAAAACAACAAAAGAAUGGCAAAGCGCAGUAAAGAGACUGAAAAGAGAUUCAGAAAAUGAAAUCUUGGAUAUACUUCAAAUAAGUUUUGAUGGGCUUAAAGAAACAGAGAAGAAAAUAUUUCUUGACAUUGCGUGCUUUCAUCGAGGGGAGAAUAGAGAUUAUGUAACAAAAAUUCUUGAUUACUGUGAUUUUGACCCAGUUAUUGGAAUAAGGGUUCUUAUUGAUAAAUCUCUCAUAGAGGUUUUAUCCAACAAUCAACUAUGGAUGCACGAUUUGUUACGAGAAAUGGGUCAACAAAUUGUUAAGAGACAAUGCCCUGAAGAUCCUGGGAAACGUAGCAGAUUGUGGAAGGAAGCAGAUGUACGUCAGCUGUUAACAAGAAACACAGUAAGCAAUGAUAAGUCAAAAACAUGUACUUCUAAGAUUUCAACCCAUUCACAUUCUUAUCUUUGCUUAUUCUUUACUUUUUUAACUUUCAGGGAUCUGAAACUGUUGAAGUCAUAUAUCUCAACUUCCCUGCAGAAGCAGAAGUGCAUUUCAGAGCAAGUUCUAAUACAUUUUUGAAGAUGACUAACCUGAGAAUGCUUCUUAUCCGUAAUGUGCAAGUGCAACUUCCCGAAGGCCUUGAAUAUCUCUCCAAUGAGUUACGGUUACUUGAAUGGCCUGGAUAUCCUCUGAAAUCCUUGCCAUCAAAUUUUCAACCGGAUAAAAUUGUUGAACUUAACAUGUGUUACAGUCACAUCGAACAAAUGUGGAAUGGAAUCAAAGUAAGUUUUAUUUCAUUUCUUUUUUUCCCGUGAAUAAAUGUUGAUAGAGUUAUCAUUCAUCCCUUGAAAAAUUGCUGAAAUCAUUGUUUUUGAACAGCCUUUAAGCAAUUUGAAAUUCAUGAGACUUGGCAAAUCCAAAAAUCUGAUCAGAACGCCAGAUUUCUCAGGGAUGCCAUAUUUAGAGGAGCUGGAUCUUGGAGGAUGUACAAGAUUGUGUGACAUUCACCCAACAUUGCUACUUCACAAGAAGGUAAUUUUAUUGAAUCUAAAAGACUGUACAAGUCUCACGACUCUUCCGGGCAAGAUUUUUAUGGAAUCUCUAAAAAUACUUGUACUUUCUGGUUGCAUGAAAUUGAAGAACUUUCCAGAGAUUGUGGGUAGUAUGAAGUGUCUGUCAGAUCUUCUUUUGGAUGGAACCGAUAUUAAAGAACUACCAAUAUUACCAUUUGAACUUCUAUCUGGACUUGUUCAGUUAAAUGUGGAAGGCUGUAAUAAACUUGAGCGUCUUCCAAGAAAUAUAAGCGCUCUAAAAUAUCAUCCAACUUGGAAUCUUUCUGGCCUAUUGAAAUUCUCAAAUUUCCCAGAGAUCAUGACAAAUAUGGAGCAUGUGUUGGAGCUUCAUUUGGAAGGAACUGCCAUAAGAGGAUUGCCUAUAUCAAUUGAACUUUUCUCUGGUCUUGUUUUGUUGAAUUUGAGAGAUUGCAAAAAUCUCUUGAGUCUUCCGUGUACUAUUAACGGUCUGAAGUCCCUGAAAAAGUUGUAUCUCUCUGGCUGCUCCAAACUUAAAAAUGUGCCAGAGAACUUGGGGAAAGUAGAAAGCUUGGAGGUGCUAGAAUUAAGCGGGUGCAAAGAACCACCAGUAUCAUCAUCAUUGUAUCUGCCCUUCCCCAUUAGUUUGAAGCGAAGCUGUUCAGAUCCUACCGCUUUGAGGCUUCCUUCUCUGUCAGGUUUGUGGUCUUUAAGGAAAUUGGACCUCAGUGACUGUGAUCUAGGGGAAGGAGCAAUACCAAAUGAUAUUGGCAACUUAUGGUCGUUAGAAGAGUUGUAUCUGAGUAAAAACAGUUUCAUUACAGCGCCAGCAAGCAUUAACCGUCUUUUUAAUCUUGAAGAACUAGAGUUGGAAGAUUGCAAAAGACUACAAUCUAUGCCGCAACUUCCACCCAACAUAAAAGAAGUCGGAGUAAAUGGUUGUGCUUCAUUGGAAAAAUUAUCAGAUGCCUUAAAAUUAUGCAAAUCGGAGUACAUUUCAAUUAGUUGUAUAGACAACCUGAAAUUGCUCAGCAACGAUGGUUUGGCAUUUUCAAUGCUAAAAGAGUAUCUUGAGGUCAGUCUCUCUCUCUCUCUCUCCUCUCUCAUUUGUGCAAAAAAUUAUGCCUAAAAAUGAUGCAUUUUUAUGGGCUCCUUUUUUUUCCCCCUUUUUUCGGUUACAGGCAGUGUCACGCCCAAUGCAAAAGUUUGGUAUAGUUGUUCCAGGAAGUGAAAUUCCAGAGUGGUUCAUGCAUCAGAAUGAUGGAUCUUCAAUAAAAUUCAUAAUGCCUUCAAAUUUAUAUUGUAAGAAUAAGGCGCUGGGAUAUGCCGUCUGCUGCGUCUUUCAUGUCCGUGAACAUUCCCCUGGUAUCCAAACAAGGCGUUCAUAUCCCACGCAUCAAUUGAACUGCCAGAUGAAAGGUUCUUCUACCAGUUAUUCAAUCGAGUUCAGAGAGAAAUUUGCUCAAGCAGAGUCAGGCCAUCUUUGGCUACUCUACUUGUCUCUUAAAAAAUGCUAUUAUAGCAAUUGGCGUUUUGAUAAUAAUCUCAUUGAGUUGUCGUUUGGGCCUGUGUCUGGCUCAGGGUUGCAGGUGAAGAGAUGUGGUUUCCAUCCCAUUUAUAGGCACAAAGUUGAGUUCUUCAACCAAAUAAGAAACCAAUGGACUCACUCACUACACUGCCUAUAAUAUGAAUGAAUUUUAUCCCGAUUCUGUUUGAUCAAAGAUACUUGUAGCCACAACGUCAAGGUGAAGUGUGAAUGAAUAUUUGGGCUUGAAGAGUGGGAAUGGUGUUCUGUUGAUGAGGAACCACAGCCUGAAAAAUUUAAUGCAGAAGCCUGCUUAUUCUCUGAAUUCAUCGAUAAGCAUUCAUCUUCAAUUUCAGUUCAUGUUCUUUGCACUUGGUAAUUCAUUUACAUUAAUUUUAUUUAUUUAUUGCAUCUCCUUAUCGAAAAACAUUUGAUGUUAAAUUACCAGAAAUCCUCUGCUUGGAUCAAAAGCAAAGAGUACCUAUAGUUGUUUAAGAAUGUGCCUUCAUGAAUUGAAAUAGCAUUACUGCUCUAUUAGCUUGGCUCCUCACUUGAAUUUCUUUGAUGUUUGUUAAUAAUUCCAAAUUCCAGUGAACAUGGAUUUUGAUCGAGAUAAUUCUAUGCUUUUGCCCUGUUGAUAAAAUCAAGCAGUUGUUGUGAUUGUUGCAAGUGUUUCUUAUUUUAUAUUUUUUCGUUUUUGUUGUUUGGUUCGGGAGAAGAUGUGGAAUUAGAACUGCACUGGAGUGAGAAGAAAUGAGAAGAAAAAGAAAGAAUGUAAAGUUUAGUGAAUGUGUGUGUGUAUUUUUUUUAAAGCCUUGAAUUUUUUGAUUUCUCAUGAGUUGAAAAUUAAGGAUUGAAACAAAUCUUCUGUUUUGUUGUAUUCUUAUUAUAUUUCUUCUCAUAAAUUUCUCAUUUUUGUAAAUAGUGCAUAAUUUGGUAGAAGCUUAACUGAAAGCCACUAAUUUUACUGCAAGAAUAACUUAAUUUUUAAUUCAAUCCAGGGAUUCAAAAUGACUCAGAGUUCUUUCGAACUUAAAUAACAUGACAACUUAACUAUCCAUUCCCUUCUUUUUGUGCAAAAGUUGGCAGAUUCGGAGCCAAUUAGGGUGAGUUUUUUGGUACACUUGAAGGGGCUGGUGUCAUAGUUCAUGAAUUGCAUUGCUAUGAAUGAAUAACAAAGAAAUUAGAUUAGCUUAUUGAAUCUGUUUGAAUUUUUUUAUAUAGCCUAUGCAAUCAGAGGCAUUUAAAUUAUGUGAGUCAAAGUUCUCACAUAUUAGCUGUGCACAGUGCUUGAAAUUGCUUGGUAACAACGGUUUGGCCUUUUCAAUUUUAGAGAGUAUGUCAACUAAUGCCAGCCUUUUCACUCUGUUUCUCUCGAAGCCUUAUGCAUAAAAAUUUAUGCUGUGGAAAAGAUUAAUCUAAGGGCCAGGAGUUUCUAUAGAAAGAAUAUAAAGAUGAUAAGGUUUGUUGUGUCAAUCUCAAAUAUAUUAUGGGUGUUAGGAGUAUCUGAUGAUGCUGAUGAUGUUGUGCAGUGAUGUUGAGCUGAUGGUGCUAUGUAGUGAUGCUGAUAUGGUGUUAUGCAGAGUUUACAGAGCAUGAUGGAAGAACAUGAUAAGGCUGGUGGUUUAGCAUGUAGCUUAGUAUACCAGCUGAGAAUUAGUUAUGCUGAGCUGUCAAGUUGGUUAUAACUGAUUCAGUAGCCUUUAACCACGCAUGAAGAUUCCAGAACAAUCUAGCUACUAGAUUCUUGUAUCCAUCUUGUAGUAUAAGUAGAGUGAUCUGUAUAUUCUAUACACAUUGUUAAGUAUGCUAUGAUUGAAUAAAAUACAUUUUCCGUCACUUUCAAUUUCAUUUUCUCUAUAACCAAACACUGUUUUAGCCGAAUUCAAUCAAUGGGAAUUAUAAGAAAAUAAGCAGUAAAAGCAAAUAAACAUUAGGGAAAUGAACACUCAACAAUAUACCUACAUGUAAACAUCCUCGGAAGAUCUAAGAAGUUGAGCAUAGUACACAAACGCACACACAGAGCAAUUGAAACUUGUAGCAAGUCUGCACACUGCAGAUACAUGUCCGUAUCAGCACUAGAAUUUUGCUUGGAAGCGUAGCACUUUGGAUUAAAGAUAUACUUGUUGACUUGCUUCUGUCCACAGAAACAAUAAGAACCUUCAGUUGGAAUGAAAUCAGAGAUACAUUCAGAACCACCUUGAGGAAUUCAUGCUCAACAGCAACUUCAGUAAUAAUCAAGAUUAUAAACAGUAGAGAGACUCCAUUCAGCUUCAAUCCCGAGUGUCCCGAGUGUAUGGAAACUGGAUGGAGACUACACUUCUUCACCUUCAAUCCCGAACUAGUUUGAAACAACUAAACUUGGUCAGAUCCAAACUUCCAGUCAAGAUUAUUGCACUGUUGAAGAUCAAGAAUAUUAUGUAUACGAGCUUUAUUUGAUCAGCUUUCAUGUGGUAGUGGUAGUGGUAGUGAUGUUUAUGUUUGCCUCUGACAGGAUGUGAAUGUUUAUUAACACGAAACGCACAGCAAAUAGCAUAUCCAACCAUCUUCUUCUUAUCGUAUGAAUCUGGAGGACUUAUUAUUGAUAUUGAAGAUCCCUCAUUCGGAUAGUCGAACCACUCCGGAAUCUUACGUCUAGGAAUAGCUAUGAAAUCUGACUCCCAGGAAGAACAAUGGUGAAAACUCAGGUACUUUGUGGGAUCAUAUAACUCUAUUCAAUUAUUUAAUGGAUGAAUGACAUAUUAGUUGAGAAAUUCAACAUUACACGUGGGUAAAAUAGUAGAGUUUUGGAUCAGCCGUCAUCGUAUUCUUUCUUUAAUGUUAAACAAAUUGUUGGUUAUAAAUAAUUGGUGAUCAAAUUUGACUAAUCAAAAUUGAUUAAUCUGUUUAUAUAAAUUAUUGAAAUUGAUCUUGUUCAUAAAAAACACUGCAUAUAGCUAGUAUAGUUGAUCUUCCUAAUGAUGGAGGUUGAAAAGUUUUGAGUCUUCAUAUAUGCAUUGUGGGAGUAAUUUUUCUCUUUCUUUCAGAAACAUAUUAAAUUUUUUCAAGCUAUUUCAUACAUAACAUCAAGGGUUUACUUUUCCAAAAGAGAGAUUAAUGCAACUUAACUGGUCAAUAAAAAUUAACAAUAGGUUCAAUUUAAGUUUUAUCUUGACAAAAAGAAAAAUUACAUUAGGUUUAAGAAUUUAAUAAGCUAAAACAAUUAAGAAAUUAAUGGGUUAAAGUAAACAUGCAACUAAAGUGAAAUUAGAAAAAUAAUGAAGAUGAAAUGGAUACAAGUAUUUUUCUUGGUUUCACUUGGAAACCUCCAAUAGUAUGAGUUAAAUUUUAGAAAAUUGAUGGGUAAAGCUGACACACAACUAAAGUAAAAUUAAGAAACAAUAAUCAUAAAAAAACACCAGUGAUAACACUAUGAAAUGAGAGUUAUCAUGAUAUUUUUAUGCCUAAAUUAACAUUACUUAGAGAGUAAAUGACAUAUUUUCAUUACAUUUUAGCUACAUUUUGCAUGGGUAGUCAUUUAAGUUUAAUUUUAAUAAAAUUCAUGUGUUUUUAGAUUAUUGUGUGCUUUGAUUACUUGCAUAAUUGUAGGUGACUAAAAAGCUCAAAUUUCAUGGAUGGAACGUUGCUGUAGCAGGCUUGCGGAGUUACAAAAGAACUUGGAUGAGAAGUAAUUUUGAAAUAAUAAAAGAUGCUGGAGCAAUAUGUUGUAGUACUAUUGCUGCAGCAACUCCUGGAGCAACGAUAAAUGAGAUAUCACACGUUAAAUAGAAGACCGCAAUCUAAAGUUUCCAAAAAUAAGAGAUUCACUGCCAUAAGUUUCUGGUAACCCUAAUUUUGAUUUAUAAAAAGAGCACAUUACAAUGAAAAAAGGAGAGUUGUCAUUAGAGAAAAGAAUCGAGAAACAGUACAAGAGAAAAUAAAGAUAAAGAGACAGAAUUAAGGGCUGCAUCAAAGGAUUUAUGAAGAAUAUUAAGGGGAUUCAUAAGGACGAGCGGAUUUCGACUCUUAUUCUUACUCUCUUAUUUUUAUCUUGUUAUGAAGACUUGUUUGAUGGCUAAAACUAUUUUGGUUUUUGUUUUAUAACAAAUUAUGAACUAAAAUUACUUAUGGUUGAGUGAUAAACAAUGUUGAUGGUUAAUUGACUGAUUAUAUGUGUUGCUGCAUGUUUGCUAUAGCAUGUUGUUUUUGUAAUACUUAUUUCAAUUCACUAUUUCAGCUGACUACCCAUUUAGUGGUACUAGCUAAGUAAAAGCCUAAAAAAGGUCUGUCUUAGUGGGACAUAUCAAAGUAAUUCUUGGUUUUAGGUUGGAUUUCAUGAGUUGAGUUUAACUUGAUUCAAAAAAGGUCAUGCUUAAUCUAAAAUUAGUGAUGAACUAGACAUAGAGAUUUACCUUGUAGGAUAAUUAGAAUCUAAAACGUGUAAUGCUAUAUUUUAUGUUAGCAUAACAAUUGGUCACUGUUAAGUUGUAUCAAGAUAUAAGACAUCCAAUAAGUGAUAGCUGAGGAUACAUAAGGAUUCUGUAUAGUACUGUAAAAGACGUUGUGGCAACAUAACCAAAAAAUAGAAAAAUAGUCAAAACCAUUAAAAGAGUUUAAUCACUCAACUACUCCAUUCUCAUUGAUUAUAUCCUUGUAUUUGACGUGAUGAUUUACCUUAUUGCAUUUUUUAUUUUAAUUAAUUCAUUAGUUUUAUAAAUUAUUUUAUUUUUAAUUUUGGAACAAAAUAAGGUUGCUGUAGCAAUUCAUAUAACAUCAAUUCCUAUGGAGACAAUCUCGAAUACUUAUCAUUAUAUUACUUGUUGUGUACACUUGCACAAUGACACCCAUAGCAUACAACAAUCAGAAUUUUCAUAGUUAAACUUUUAGCCUACAUUCAUAGGUGAAGACAGAAGGAAAUGUUUUACUAACGAAAAGAAGUUACAAGUAUUGUAGUACUUUGUCUCACAAUCCAAAAACCUUAAUAUACCUAAACUCUAAAAACAUUAGAACAAGAGUUUAAAGCUCUCAACACACUCUUAGUCUCCAAUUCAUGGCUCUAUCACUUCUUAAUUAGAUUGAGAAUUAAAGAAAAUGAAAUGAAUGAAGAGGACAAAUGAAGCCUCUAUUUAUAGGCCAAGCAAUACCCAAAAUCAGCAAUGUUGGACUUUAAAAUAAUAUAUAUUUUCAUUCAACUUUCAACUUUGGUGACAAAGCCAAAAGUUGUGUGCUAGACAAAUGCCUCCCACUUACUCAACAAAUUAUGCCAAAAGUCAAAAGUUGCAUGUUAGCAACAUAUAAUUGUUUUCCAUAUACAUGCACAUGUUCAACAAUUCUCCCACUUAGAGACUUGAUUGAGAACCAAUCAUGUCUCCACACUAUCCAUUCUUUUUCGUCAUUGUUAUGUUGCUUACAUCUCUGCUAGGCUACAAGAGGAUCUACUCCAUACAAACUUGUCAGCAUUGGUUUGCUUGGUCAAAACAUCUCCUCGGUUCUCUUUGGUAUGGAUUUUUUUGUAAUAAAGUGGUAUUGUACCUGAUAACUCUAGAAAAUGAGAGUUAUCAUGGCAUUUUUAGGCUUAAAUUAAGACUCCUUAGAGAGUAAUUGAUGUGUUUUAGUGCAUUUUAACGAUAGUUUGCAUUACAUUAAUUUUAGUUUAAGUUUAAUAAAGUUUACGUGAAUUUUGAAUAAUUGUAUGCCUAAAACAUAUGUUCAACUAUAGGUCAAUGGAAACCUGAAUUUUAUGGAAAAGAUGUUGUUCCAAUAGACCUAUAAGGAGGACAAACGAGCAUGGCUAUAUAAGAAUUGGAGCACAUCUGGAAUAGUGAAGAUGCUAUAGCCAUUGUUGUAGGCUGUAGCAAUCCUUGAGCAUUGACGGAGAAAAUAUGGGCAAGAUUUUCAUAAUAUUGCGAUUUGCAGUUUUCUAAUCUGAAGAUGCAUGCCCUAGAGUUUCCAGUUACCCUAAUUUGUGAUUAUAAAAUGAGGCAUACAUGCAAAGGAAAGAGGAGGCCGUCAAUCGAAACCAAAAUAGAAAAGAAAUGAAGAAGAAACAAAAUUCCCGAGCAGAAUUUAAGGCUUCACCAAUAGAAGAAAUUUACAGAUUCAAUUGGAAUUCACUCUUUCUCAUUCUUUUCUUGUUUUCUUGUCAUUCAUUGAUCAUGACUAUGUACUCGAUGGCUACCACUUGGUUGUUUAAUUUCUAUGCACAAAUUAUGAGCUCAAUUUAUUUAUGGUUGACUGUUAAGCUAUCUUGAUGGUUGAUUGACCGAAAAUAAGUAUUGUUGCAUGUUUGCUAUAGCAUUUUGCUUUAAUAACAUUUAUUUAGAUUCAUUAUUCUGGUUGACCACUUAUUUAAUGAUACAAGUUAAGAAAGAGCCGCAAAAUGACCUAUUUUAGUGGAACAUAUUAGAGCAAUACUUAGUUUUAGAUUGAGUUUCCUAAAUUGAGUUUAACUUGAGUCCAAAAAGGGUCAUGCUUAAUCUAAAGAUUAGUGAUAAACCAGAUGUGGGGAUUCACCUUGUAGGGUAAAGAGAACAUGAACGUGUAAUGUUAUAUUUUAUGUUGACAUAACAAUUGGUCAUUAUUAGGUUGCAUAAAGAUAUAAGACAUCCAACAUGUUACUGCUGAGGAUAAAGAUGAAAUAUAAGUGUGCAACCCAAGAGGGGGGUGAAUUGGAAUUUUAAAAAUUAUCCUAGCAAAUCCACACAACAAGCAAUCUAAUGUCUUAAUAAAAAUUGAAAACAAUAAGUUCAAUAAAAGCACAAUAACAAAUGAGUAAGAGAGAAGAGAAACAAACACAUGAAUUUUUACGUGGUUCGGCAAUCCCCGCCUACGUCCACGCCUCCAAGCGAUCCAAACUUGAGGAUUUCACUAUCCAAACUUUUCUAAGGCUUCAACCGUUUACAAUUAACUUCAAGGUGUCAAUGAACCUUUACAACAAAGAGUUUAUCUCCCAAUCUCUUCAUUCAAGUGUCUCACACACUCAAACUUUUACAAUUAAGAUGAAGAAAUGAAAGUUACAAUAAAACUCACUCAAAGAGUAGAUAUUCAAAAAUGAAGAACAAGAGAUGAUUCAAUGUUUUGUGAUUUGCAAAUUGAAAGCUCAAGAUAUCUUGUGUGCUUUUUAUUUAUGCUUGCUAGAGAGAUUGAAAAUGAGUUGGAUUUGAGUUUAUAUAGUUUGAUCUCAAAAACUAGCCGUUAUGCACAUUUUGGUCAUAAUCGGCUUGCCAUUUAGGAAUCUGGUAAAGCCGCUUUUAUGUUGCCAUUAAGGCAAAAAUUUGAAUUUCAGAAUAUCUGGCAUGCCGCUUUUCAUAUCCGGUAAGCCGCGUUUGAAAUCCGGAUUGCUGCUUUGCGAAAUUCGGAUAGCCGUUUAUGCUCUAGAAGCUUACUGUCCAAAAUCUAGUUUGCCGUUUACCAUAUCCGGUAAGCCGCUUGCUACAGUAACUGCUACAGUGAAAUAUUUUUUAAAUUUAUAGUUUGACCCCAAAACUUUAUAAAACUAUGUUAUGGCCCAAAAUGUUAUAUUAUUUUGAAAAUAGGUCCAAUUUCAGAAUCUCUAAAUAAUGCUUGCUAUUCCCAAAACUUUUUAAAAUUAUGAUAUGACCCAAAAUGUUAUGAAACUUUUCCAAUAAGUCCUCCAAAAUUUCGAGCAAUACUUGUUGAUUUCAAAGUUUUCAAAACUCUUUCAAUUAAAUCAUAAACUUGAAAAACAACUAAUUUCAUAAAAUCAUUUUUCCAUUAAAUAUAAAACCUUUAUAAUGUGAAAAUAAUGAUUUAUUUAAAAUAUAUAAAAAAUAAUUUGAGCUUAAAAGAUUAAUCAUUCUUAAUCUUGUUUGUUAUCAUCAAAAUCAACAUUAUGCAAACAUAUAUAUUAACAAAAGAUGGUUUCUGUCCAGUGUUGUAACAGAUGCUGCAGUAACUAUACUCAAUAUAAAUAAAAUAGUUAACACCAUUACAAGAGUUUAAUCACUCAACCACUCUAUUCCAAUUGAAUUUACUUUUGUGUCUAACAUGCAAUUUUCAUUCAUUGCAUUUUCUUUAUUAUCGCGGUUUAUUUUACAUAGUCUAUUAGUUGUAUUAGUUACAUUGAUUUUUAAUUGAGAACAUAGAUUACACUGUGAAAUUGUUGUAACAAGUCUGAUAGCAUCAAUCCCUAUGGAGACGAUCUUAGAUACUCACCCUUAUAUUACUUGUUGUGUACAUUUGCACAUUGACAUUACUAGCAAUUAAGUUAAAGAUUACAAUAGUACCCCUAUGUGCUUUGUCUUGAAAUGAAAUGCUGGAUUCCUUACAAUGUACAAGAUACUCUAAUUGUCACAAAACAAAAACAUUUUCUCUUGUUUGUACCCAAACUCCUCCAACAACCUUUGAAUCUAAAGAACCUCUUUGCAAGGUUAUGUAGCUACCAUUAUUAUGCUUCUGUUGUAGAUAAAGUCACAACGGUUUUCAGUUUUGAAACGCAGGUUACAGCUUUUCUUGCAAGUGUAAACACAUAGCCAGUAGUAAAUUUCCUUUAUCAAGGUCCCCUGCAAAAUAUGAAUCCUCAAGGUCUCUGACAGUAAAUUUUAAUCCUCCAUAACAUAAUGCAACAUCUAAGAUUCAUUUGAUGUAUCUGAGAAUCCUCUUUACAGUUUUCCAAUAUUCUUCACCAGGAUUCACUCUCUAUCAACUGACCACUCACACGACUUGUGCAAUAUCUAAUUUCGUAUAUAUCACAGUGAACAUUAAACUUCCUAUUGCUGAUACAGAAGGUAUUCGAGACAUCUCCUUCCUCUCUACUCUGUUGCUAGAAUAUUUACUUGAGGAUAACUUGAAAUUAACAAGAAGUGAGGUAGAAAUUAGCAUACAAUCUUGCAUGUUGAAGCGUCACAAGAUUUUCUUCAAGUAAUUCUUUUGAGAUAGCCAAAUCUUCUUGUUAUUUAUGUCUUAGUGAAUUUGCAUUCCUAUAUUCUUGUUUGUGUUAGAGUGCAAUUUACGCACUAGUUUUGUAUUGUUUACUUCCCUUAAUAUCGAUGUUAUAAUGAUUUACUUGUGUUUUACUUUUGUAGGUACAAUUCUAGUGAUUGGUGAUAAAAUUGAACUAAAAGAUGAUGUUUAAGGAGGAUUGUUCUCUUGGAGAAAUUAUGAGCGUCAGAAGAACUUUGUUGAUAAGGCGUGGGCGCGUGCUGUCAACUGCGGACCUGUAGUUUUUAGUUUAACGUGUUUUGUAUUUUUGGUUAUUUUUGUAAUUACGAAUUUAAUAUUUCAGAUAUUAGGAUUUUAUUUUAAAUAGAAUUCUAAAAGAGAAGAGAGAGAGAGUAUUUAAGGGAGGAAUCUUUUGUGGAAAAGGGGGAUUUUUGGAUGGGAGAAAAGAAAGAAACCCUAGAUUUAAUUUUUCUCUUCUCUCUAUGAAGAACUAAACUUAUUUUUCUGGUUGAAGGUUAAUGAAGCUUUGAUUCAUCACUACUGUGAGAUCUUUCUUGUGCUUUAAUUGUUUUAUUGCUUUUUGGGUAUUUGUUUAUUCUCUGAAUUAUUUUCAUGAUUAUGUUUGUUAAUUAGGUAAUUGGCCACUAUUUAAUUAUCAACUUAAUCUAUUGUCAAUUAAAGGAUUCAUCGUAUGAAGAAUUUAAUGUUUGUGACAAAUAACAUAGCAGAGAGUUGUGUUGUGAGAAUAAACAAUCUAAUUUAAAUGAAUCAUCAUAUGUGUUGAUUAGGAUUUGGGUCUCUCUGGUUUUUCAGGCUGUCAAUUGAUUAAAUCCUAUGAUCGUAUUUAGGGUUGUCUAUUGAUUGGGGAAAUAACCAACGGUCAUACCUUGGUUAUCGACUAGUUAAGGAGAGAUUGGCUAUUAGAGGGUCUCAGUAGCUAUAACUGGUCUAUUCAUGAGUAAUAAUAAUCUAUAUUUGAAUCAAUGAUCAGUAGUCGAAUCAAGCUGAGUUAAUUCCUUCAACCAGAGCUUUCUCCAAUUUGAAUUACAACUUUAAUUUGCAUUCUUGUUAUUUUAAUUUGAUUUUUAUUAUUGUCAACAAAACCGCCAUUUUAUGUUUUACGUUUUAAAAGGAUUUAAAUAACUACUGAUCUCUGUGGACACGACCCUGCUCAAUUACUAUACACAAUUUAUUUAGAGUAGGAAUUUAUUUUUUUUGGCUUCGACACCCACCAAAUUUUGGCGCCGUUUUGGCUUCGACACCCACCAAAUUUUGGCGCCGUUGCCGGGGAUUGGUGUCAUUUAUUUAAUCAUUUUUACGUUUUACUUGGUGUAUGGUUCGUUCUUCUCGUACAGGUACACUUUCGUUUGAUCCUGAAAUUGAGAAGACAACUCGCCAGCUGAGACAGCAGAUGAAGCGAGCUAAGCAACGAUCCUCGUUGCCUUUGCUUUCUGAAACAGAUACGGUGCCUGAUUUAGUUGAAUCAUCUAGCGAUUCAGAAGAACAAGUGAUGGAUAGACCUGCACCUGUAGAAAGAACUCUUAGAGAGUUAGCUGAACCAGACUUGAAUCAACAACCACUCUGCAUUCAAUAUGUAGACUUGGAGGUAAAUUUUGAAUUAAAGUCUGGUCUUAUUCAUUUAUUACCCAAGUUUCAUGAUUUUGCAGGUGAAGAUCCUCAUAAACAUCUUAAGGAGUUUCAUGUUGUGUGUUCAAGUAUGAGACCACAAGGUGUGACUGAAGAGCAGAUUAAGCUGCGUGCUUUUCCGUUCUCUGUAGAUGGGCUAGCUAAAGAUUGGUUGUACUACUUGCCUCCUGGAUCAAUUACAACGUGGAAUGGUUUGAAGAAGCAGUUCCUUGAGAAGUACUUUCCUGCUUCAAGAGCUGCCAACAUCAGAAAAGAUAUUUGUGGGAUCAGACAACUUCCUGGGAAGACUUUAUAUGAGUAUUGGGAGCGAUUCAAACAAUUGUGUGCCAGCUGUCCUCAGCAUCAAAUUUCUGAUCAACUUCUUAUUCAAUAUUUUUACGAAGGACUGUCAUUGAUGGAUAGGAGUAUGAUAGAUGCUGCUAGUGGAGGCGUGUUGGUGAACAAGACCCCUACUUAAGCAAGGGAGUUGAUAUCAAAUAUGGCUGCCAAUGCACAACAAUUUAGCAGCAGGCAAGAGCUCACUUCAAGGAAGGUGAAUGAGGUAAAUAUUUCUUCUAUUGAACAACGUUUAGAUAAACUUACUUCUCUUGUGGAAAAGUUUGUUGUAGGUAAUGUGCAGCAGGUGAAGACUUGUGGUAUAUGUUACAAUAUGGGUCAUUCAACUGAUAUGUGUCCUACACUUCAAGAAGAACCCAUUGAACAAGCCAAUGCAGUUGGAGGAUUUCCAGGCAUGCCUCAGAGGAGGUAUGAUCCUUAUGCACAAACAUACAAUCCGGAAUGGAAGGAUCAUCCCAACUUCAGCUAUGGAGUUAGGCCGUCAGGAUUCCCACAACAGUAUCCACCAAGACAACCAGCACCUCCACAGUCAAACUCCAAGUCGGGUAUAUCUCUUGAAGAAAUUGUUAAAUCACUUGUGACUAACACUCAACAAUUUCAGCAGGCAACUACAACAAGCAUUCAGAACUUGGAGAACCAAAUGAGUCAAUUGGCGACUACAGUGAGCCGUCUGGAGUCUCAAGUAUUAGGGAGAUUGCCUUCACAAUCUGAGGUGAAUCCAAAGCAAAACGUUAGUGCUGUCAUCCUUAGAAGUGGGACGGAGUUGCAAGAGCCUAGUAAGAAAGUAACAAAGCAUGUAGAAGAUGAGCUUGAGAAGAAUGAAUUGAUGCCUCAAUCUCAAGAUGCACAACCCACUAAAGCGAAACCCCUACCUAUUGUGAUACCUCCUCCUUUUCCAAGCCGAUUUGCAAAAUCCAAGAAGGAGGAACAAGAGAAAGACAUCCUUGAGACAUUUUGCAAGGUUGAGGUAAAUAUUCCUUUAUUAGAUGCUAUAAAACAAAUACCUCGAUAUGCUAAAGUCCUUAAGGAACUGUGCACCUCCAAGAGAAAAUUAAGAGAAGAUGAAAAAGUUCACAUGGGGGAGAAUGUUUCAGCAGUUCUUCAAAAGAAACUCCCUCCUAAGUGCAAGGAUCCAUGUAUGUUUACUAUCCCUUGUAAAAUUGGUAGUGUUAGAGUUGAAAAGGUUUUGUUAGAUCUAGGAGCUUCUAUUAAUGUCAUGCCUCGUUCCAUUUAUUCAUCUUUAAAUAUUGGUCCAUUAAAAGAAACUGGUGUGAUAAUUCAACUAGCUGAUAGGUCUAAUGCAUAUCCUGAUGGGGUAUUAGAAGAUGUCUUAGUACAAGUUAAUGAGUUGGUUUUUCCUACUGAUUUUUAUGUACUUGAUAUGGAAGAUGAUAACUCCUCUAAUUAUGUCCCAAUUUUGCUAGGAAGACAUUUUCUUAAGACUGCUAGGACUAAAAUGGAUAUACAUAAAGGGACUCUCACUAUGGAGUUUGAUGGAGAGGUUAUAGAAUUCAAUAUGAAUGAUGCCAUGAAAUAUCCUAGUGAGGAAGAUUCGGUAUUUUCUGUGGAUGUUAUUAACCCUAUAGCGUAGGAAAUUUUUUACAAAGAAAAGACGAAGACAUUUCAUGAUAGAAUGAUUUUGAGAAAGGAGUUCUCUGUUGGUCAAAAAGUUCUUCUUUUUCAUUCUAAGCUUAAACUUUUUCCGGGUAAAUUACGUUCUUGUUGGGUUGGACCUUUUAUUGUUACUAAUGUUUUUCCUCAUGGUGCAGUUAAGAUUCGGAGUCCGACCUCUGACUGAGUUCUUAAGGUUAAUGGUCAUCGCUUAAAACCUUUUUAUGAAGGUUUUUCGGUGAAUAUUGUGGAGGAUGUGGCUCUCGAGAGUCCAAAUUAUGGAGAUUGAUGCAUAAAUGUGUCUAGCCAAAGACAUAAAACAAAGGCGCUUUUUGGGAGGCAACCCAAGUGAUUUAUUUAUUUUGGUUUUUGUUAUAUCUUCUUUUAAUUUUGAUUCAUAUUUUUUUUUUAAAUAAUGUGUUUGCUUAUUUUGGUCAGAAUAAAAUUUUUGAUAAGGCGUGCCCACGUUUUAACUAAUAAGUACUUCUGUCAUUUUUAAAGUAAAAUAGUUUUAAGGCGUGCCCACGUGCUUAUUAGAAAAGUACUUCUGAAGUUUUUAGUGUCUCAAAGUGAUUCAUCACUAAAAAAAAAAAUUAAUUUUAAUUUAUUUUAUUUCAUUUUAUUUUAUUUAUUUAUUUCUUUUGUUCUUUCUUUUAUAUAUAUAUAUAUUUUUUAUUUAAAAAAAAAAAUUUUACUGUUCACAAAAUCCCUAAUUUUCCAGAAAUUGUUUUCUUCUCCAGCCGUUUGCAGCACGCCAGCAGCAAACCAGCCAGCCGAAGAAUACAGCAUCAGUCGUGCGCAACGCAAGCACCAGCAACGAGCACGCCCCGCAACGCAACUCAGAACCAGCUCUCGCGCGCAACAGUCCUGCAGCAACACAGCCACGCAGCAGCUCUCGAGCGCAACGCAGCCACGCAGCAGCUCUCGCGCGUAACCAGCAGUGCGCAACCAGCCCCAAGCCGCGCAGCAAGCUCCAGCCGAGCACGCAACGCAACAAGCGUCACCAGCGCGCACACCAGCAAUCCCCCAGCGCGCAGCAACAGCCGCAGCACGCAGAUCCAGCGUCACCAGUUCACAGCAUCAGUCCCAUCCGUGCGCAACUGAACCACCAGCCGCGCACCAGUAAUCCCCCAGCGAGCAGCAAUAGUCCGCAACCAGCCUACGACCUGCAUUCCAGCCGCGUGAAUCGAAAUCCGUGACAAGAUGGAGCAGAAUUUGGCCGCAUACUUCAAGAGUGUGGGAUUUAUCCCACCAUUCCCGCCAAGCCCAUAGACGUUAUGAGGAUCAAAGCUCACAAUUCAGGGAAGUUUUUGCCUUUAAUCUUUUAUCCUUACGCUUUAAUUUUUAUGUGAGCUUUGAUUAUCUUUCAUUGGGGACAAUGUAAGUUCUUGGUGUGGGGGAGGGAUUUUUGCAUUAUUGAUGUCUGGAAUUAUUGUUUUCACUCUACUUAUCUUUUUUUCACUCUACUCAUCCUUAAAUGAUUUUGGAGUUAGUAUGCUUUAUAUAUUAUUAAUUUUCUUUUCUUUUAUCUCUCACUACUUUUUUCCCAUCUAUCUCACAUUAUUUACAUCUAUUUUUAUUCUAUCAUACUCUUUCAUCACUCACAUUUUAUCUUUCACUUUUCAUAUUACUACAUACGUCUUUCUCACUUCUUAUCAUUUUUACCUUUUCUUUUAUAUAUCACUCAUGCCUUCUUCUCAUUCUACACCAUUAUUGAUGGUUGAUUCAUUUGAAGAGUGUACAUGAUUUGAUGGCAAAUUUACCAACUUUGUGAGGAUUUGAGCCUAUAAGCAACCACUUUGCUCUAAUAUUUUUGUUAUGUGAAUAUCAAUCUUAGUUUGUUUAUUCUAGAACUUGCUUUGUUAUGCAUGUUGAAGCCACAUUACGGGAUUUUAUGCAUUAAAAUGAUAAGGGCAAACCAUAUUCCAUUUUUCUAUUUUCGCAUUUUUUUUCUCUACCCGAAGACCUUUAUUUGUUACCUUUGUUUGAGCCUUAACCAUUACCCAUCUAAUUCUCUCCGUUGACUUAACCAUUUUUCUUCUUUUUGAGCCUCAAUUUAAGGAGAUUUUUGAACUCAUUGUGUGGUUAUAUUUUGUUGCUUUUUCUACCUUGUAUUAAAGUUUCUCAAUUAGAUCAACAAGCAUUAUGCUUGAAUUAAAUUGUGCAACGUUCGUUUCUUUUGUUUGAUUAAAAAAAAAAUCAAUAAAAAAAAACAAAAACAAAAACAAAAAGAAAAAAGAAAAAAGAAAAAAGAAAAAAAAAAAGAAAGAAAAAGAAAAAGAAAAAUCGAAAAAAAAAGUUUACAUUCUUGGUGACUUGAGUAGAAAUAAGCAUUUUGAUAUCAUAAGUUCAUUCAAUGAGUUCAUUCUUCUCAUUUUAUUUAUUUUUCUUUCAUAGACCUUUCUUUUUUAUUUCACCUAUUUAACCCCAUUACAACCCUUUUAAGACCCUUAGAUUUUUGCAUUUUAUUCAUGUUUUGUGGAUUGAGAUGUGAUAUAUGAGCAAGCUUAUGGUAAUAGCAUUCUUUGAUUUGAUUUGAGUGGAUAAAUGACACCCUAAACACUUUGAGUGCAUGGAGUGAAGUCAAUGAGAGGGCUAUUAAAUCUUGUUGCACUUGAAUUUUAAAUGGAUCUUCUUGGUGGUUGAAUGUUCUUAUUCUAUCUUAUGAAAUUCUAUGCUUUAAAAUCCUUGUCUCUCGAAUGUUGAUCGACUUAAUUUCUUGAGGUAUGCUUGCUUAAAAUUGUUUUUGGAUGAGUUGAGAUGAGAAUUGAGUGGAGAUUUGGAAUUAAUCUUGAGUUAUAUGCUUGAGGACAAGCAUCAUCUUGGUGUAGGGGAAUUUGUUAGAGUGCAAUUUACGCACUAGUUUUGCAUUGUUUACUUCCCUUAAUAUCGAUGUUUUGCACUUAAUAAUAAUGAUUUACUUGUGUUUUACUUUUGUAGGUACAAUUCUAGUGAUUGGUGAUAAAAUUGAGAUAAAAGAUGAUGUUUAAGGAGAAUUGUUCUCUUGGAGAAAUUAUGAGCGUCAGAAGAACUUUGUUGAUAAGGCGUGGGCGCGUGCUGUCAACUGCGGACCUGCAGUUUUUAGUUUAACGUGUUUUGUAUUUUUGGUUAUUUUUGUAAUUACGAAUUUAAUAUUUCAGAUAUUAGGAUUUUAUUUUAAAUAGAAUUCUAAAAGAGAAGAGAGAGAGAGUAUUUAAGGGAGGAAUCUAUUGUGGAAAAGGGGGAUUUUUGGAUGGGAGAAAAGAAAGAAACACUAGAUUUAAUUUUUCUCUUCUCUCUAUGAAGAACUAAACUUAUUUUUCUGGUUGAAGGUUAAUGAAGCUUUGAUUCAUCACUACUGUGAGAUCUUUCUUGUGCUUUAAUUGUUUUAUUGCUUUUUGGGUAUUUGUUUAUUCUCUGAAUUAUUUUCAUGAUUAUGUUUGUUAAUUAGGUAAUUGGCCACUAUUUAAUUAUCAACUUAAUCUAUUGUCAAUUAAAGGAUUCAUCGUAUGAAGAAUUUAAUGUUUGUGACAAAUAACAUAGCAGAGAGUUGUGUUGUGAGAAUAAACAAUCUAAUUUAAAUGAAUCAUCAUAUGUGUUGAUUAGGAUUUGGGUCUCUCUGGUUUUUCAGGCUGUCAAUUGAUUAAAUCCUAUGAUCGUAUUUAGGGUUGUCUAUUGAUUGGGGAAAUAACCAACGGUCAUACCUUGGUUAUCGACUAGUUAAGGAGAGAUUGGCUAUUAGAGGGUCUCAGUAGCUAUAACUGGUCUAUUCAUGAGUAAUAAUAAUCUAUAUUUGAAUCAAUGAUCAGUAGUCGAAUCAAGCUGAGUUAAUUCCUUCAACCAGAGCUUUCUCCAAUUUGAAUUACAACUUUAAUUUGCAUUCUUGUUAUUUUAAUUUGAUUUUUAUUAUUGUCAACAAAACCCCCAUUUUAUGUUUUACGUUUUAAAAGGAUUUAAAUAACUACCGAUCUCUGUGGACACGACCCUGCUCAAUUACUAUACACAAUUUAUUUAGAGUAGGAAUUUAUUUUUGUUGGCUUCGACACCCACCAGUUUGCUAGUCUUAAGUCCUUCAUUUUAAACUACCUAGCUAAUUGUGCCUUUAAUUCUUGGACCCAAUCUUUGUUUGAGCCUGCUACUAACAUGUUAUCCACAUACAAUAGUAUAAUGAUAAAAUUAUUAUCCUCAAACCACUUGUAAUAUGCACAGGUCUAAACCGAGUCUAUUGUAGCCAAGACUCAUGAUGAAGGAAUCAACUCUCUUAUACCAACAUCUCAAUGCCAGUUUAAGACUAUAUAGAGAUUUGUUUAACCUGCAAAAGAAGUUUUCUUUACCUGUUUAAGCAAAACCUUCUGGUUAGAGUAUAUACAUUUUUUCUUUAAGUUCUCUAUGAAAAAACACAGUUUUCACAUCUAAGUGCUCUAGGUUUAUGUUAAAUACAACACAUAUUGCAAGGACUAUUUUGAUUGUCGUGAGUCGAAUUACUCGGGAAAAUAUAUCGUUAAAGUUAAUACAUUCUUUCUGAGCAUAUCCUUUCACUACCAAUCUUACACGAUACCGCUCUACUUGGUCAUUGCCAUCACGCUUGAUCUUGUAAACAUAUUUUUUUCCUAUGAUUUUUCUUUCACGUGGUAGUGGUAUAAGUUCCCACGUCUUAAACCUAUGUAGAGCUUUAAUUUCUACCUGCAUUGUUGUCAUCCACAAAACAACAUUUAAGCCAUUUAAAGCUUUAUGGAAAGUUGAUGGCUCUGCAUCCUCUGUUAGAAGAUAGUAUACAACAUUGAUCCUAUAACAUACUCUAAGUGCCACACCGACGGUUGUCUCUCGCAAGUUGACCGAUGAACUUCUGUAGCCUCAGACUCCACUGGUUCUUGCUUCUCAUGCUUUAGUGGUGUUUCAGAAUAAUCUAAAUCUUCUUUUCCCGGAUUAUUUUCAUAUACAUUGGUACAAUCUCUGACUUGUUCUUCAAAGUGCUAUCAUUCUCAUUUUUCUUUUGUAGUCGAUCUUCUACAAAGAUAACAUUUCUACUUAUGACAAUCUUGUGGGCAAUGAGAUCCUACAGAUAAUCUUGAUGAGAAUCUUGUAGUCAAUCUUCUUUCUUGAGCAUUGUAAGUGCAUAGGGCAUCCAUAUGCAUGCAAAUGAGAAUAAUCAGCAGGUUUCCUAGUCUACAUCUCCAUUGGUGUCUUUAACUUAAUUAUUGUAUGUGGCGAUCAAUUUACUACAUAAUAGGUGGAUUUGGUUAUUUCUAACCAAAAUGAGUUGACUAGAGCAGUCUUCAAUAUAACUUGUAUUCAUUCUGUAAGAGUAUUGUUCAUUCGCUCUGUCACUUCAUUCCAUUGAGGAGUGUAUGCCACAAUGAAUUAUUUUUUAAUACCUUUUUGCUUAUAGUAUAUAAAAAACUAACUAUUUGUAUAUUCUCCACUAUUAUUUAUUCCCCAAACUCUUGAUAUUUUUCCUGAAUUUAAGUUCCACCCGUGCUUUGUAUUCUUUGAACACUGAAAAUGCUUUUGACUUUUUCUUAAUUAGAUAAGUUGAGUGUUAGAAAAUGUAUAUUUAUAAAGGAGAAAACCGUCAUUUUACAUUUCAAGUCUUACUAACAACCCUUACUUUUAUGUAUUUAACCUUCUUGUGAUUUAAUUACAUGUGUUUUAUUUUAAUUAAGUAUUUUAUUUAUUUUAGGGGCAUUAUAGUCAUUUCACAAUAAAGGAGAGAUCAGACGGCAAAACGAACAUCACUUUUGAACUCAGGACGGUCGAAAACCUUAGGAGGAGCAUAAAAGGAAAAAUGACACUAUUCACAUGUACGGUACUAUUCACGUGUACGGUACUGUUUACAUUACUGUUCACGACACUGUUCACAUAGACGGAUCGAUGACGUGGCAUUGACCGAUGAUGUGGCAUUGACUGAUGAGGUGUCACGAUCCUGUUGGGCUAAAAUUCUUAUGUACUGUUGAUGAUGACGUGGCAGUAUAUCAGUGGAUGAAAAAUCUUGCGUACGGUACAUGCAUCACACAGGAUUAUUUUCAACCAAACCGCAUUACUGUUCAUCCAGGUCAAACCGUGUUACUGUUCAUCCGCGUGGUCAAACCGCGUACUGUUGACUGAUGACGUGGCGCAAUCCUGAGCGUCCAAACUAUUUUUAAUCCGAUGGCCAUGAUUUACUCCAUGUAUCUAUAAAAAGGGGGCCUCUCCCCCCUAAUUUGAUAUCUCCGAAUCCAUUUUUGGGAUCCAUUUUCUGUAAUUCCUUUUCCAUCUUGUAUUUUCUUCAUAUUUUAAUAAAUUUCCAUUUUGCCCCUAGUUCAAUUAUGAGUGGCUAAUUUUCUUUCAAGCUUGGGUUGAAGGUGAAGUCUCAACAUGUGUCAUGGGCUUUAUUUGGUAAAUUUAUUUUCUCUUCCCCUCUAAUUUUUGUGGAUGUUUUGACUUCUCGUCGACAAAUAAUACUAAUCUUGUCUAGUACCGCCUUGGUUUCACCGGCCCUCUAGUACAAGGUUAUUAUUAUUUGGCACGAUAAGCCCUUAGCACCAUAUUGAUUAGAGAGUGGUUCAUGAGGUGUGGAUUCCCCCCUCAUGAUUUAAUUGGCAUUAAUAAGGAUUAUUUAGUCCAUGAUGCAUGUUGAUACGGAUCCAGAUACCCAAGUAUGUCAUUUCAAUAGCUUUCUAUUCAAUUUAUUCUCGCCAUUUCAAUUCCAAUUGUAGAAUUUAAUCUCGCCAUUUCAAUUCCAAUUUUUAGGAUAAUUUAAAUCACUUCCACCAUAAUUCCAACCACCCAUUUACAAAAUUAAUUCUAUACACAAUUAAAAUCCACCUCCUCGUGGGAUCGACACUCGUCACCAUUAGUCUAUACUACAAUAGAUUCGUGCGCUUGCGAGUACAUUAAAAUUUGCACAACAAGAUACACCUAACAUCUCUUGGAAUAAUCAUCUAUGAAAGUCAUAAUGUACGUUACACCUCCUAGGGACAUAUUCCGGUGAUUCCCAAACAUUAGAAUGAACCAAGUCUAGAAUGCAUUUACUUUUGGUAUCAGAUUUACUGAACUUCAAUCUAUGUUACUUACUGGUAACAUAAUACUCAUAAAACAGUAAGUUCACCAAUUUGAGCCCCGAAGCAAUUUUCGUUCUAAGAGAAUCUUCAAACCUUAUUUUGACAUGUGGUCAAGUUUGAGAUACCACAUCAUCAUCGACUUUUCUCCAUUUGACGAGACACAUACAUUAGCUUCUUGUAAUGUUUCCUCUUUAAGUAUGAACUGACUAGCACUAAUUUUUUCCCAUCUUUAUCAAUACAAGCAUAUCUCUUAAAAUCUUCAUGAUUUUAUUGUCCACAUGAGUUUUAUAGUUAAGACUAUCUAUUUAUCCUAAAAACAAUAGAUUUUUCUUCAAUCCUUUGAUAUGUUGUACCUUCUGAAUUGUACGAACUGUACCAUUAAAUAUUUUUAUUUUGACAGUAUCAAUACCAACGAUCUCCAAGACAUGAUCAUCACCUAUAUAUUCUCUUAAAAUGGGUUCAUUUCUAUGGAACCAUUCUCUUCGAGAGGUCAUGUGCCAAGUGGUUCAUAAGUCUAUAAGCCAUACAUCAAAUAAUUGUUUUGUCUUCUGCAACCAUUGCUGCCUUGCUGUAUAAAAUGUCACCAUCAACUGAGGUACUUGCUACACGUCCUUAAACAUUUCAUGACUCAUGAUUUUUACUCUCUUUUCUCUUUUAGUUACUCCAAAACUUUUUCUUAACAUGCCCCAUCUUACCACAUUUGUAGCACCUAAUUUUCUUCUUCUUGAUUUUGAUCUACCAUGCACUGGAACCACGUUCCACUAAUUUUCGUCUCACCAUUAUUAGUGUUUCUGCUUGCUGCAAACUUGCUUGCCUAUCUUUAUUGUUCUUGCGUCUACCCACUUCCUCUAAUACAGAGGCUAUAACAUCGUCAAAGACUAAAUACUCUGUGCGGAUAUUAUUUGUCAAGUUGAUGAUGAUUUGAUCAUACCAGUCAGGUGAACUUUGAAAUAGAAGCUUUGCAUGUUCAAUUUUCGCUAUUUUAUGACCUAACAUUGUAAGUUGUAAAAAAAAAGUUUUCAAAGUGUUGAUAUAGUGGGUCAUUGAUAUGGUUUCUACCAUUUGAACACUAUAAAGUCUUCUCUUUAAGAAGAUUUUGUUGUGUAGCGACUUGGCCUUGUUUACUUUUGCAAGGGUAUUCCAAAUACACUUCCCUGUCUUUUGCUUUGCCAUACUGGAUAAUAUCUUAUCUGCAAGUGCCAAGUGUAGAUCAAUAAUUGCAUUGUCGUCCAUUUAAUUCCACUUGUCAUCGGUGAUUUCUAUAAACCUUUCUGCAAUUACUUCUAAAUAAUUAUUUUUCCUCGGGAUUGCUCAUGUCUUUAUUUUUCACAAUGAGAGAUUGCUCAUAUUGAACUUCUCAAUUUCAAACUUUGUUGCCAUUUUGUUAAUAAAUACCAUACACAAGUUAGUGUACCACCUUGAGUAGUUAUGAGUGAUCGCACGUGUGAAAAUGCACAGCAGAAAAGUUUCCAGGAAUGACUGGAGGGAUUACAACGGUGCCAUUUAAAACCCAAACUCUCUAGGCUCUUAUCGCCUUUGUGACGGAACUAUCCUAGACAUGUACAAGACCACGUGAUUACUUCUACUCACACCAAUACUCCUUACUUUACAUUGUGGAAUUCUUCGAUCGCUCCCACUAUUUUAAGUAAACAGUAUCAUAUACAUGAAGAGUAUUGUAUACGUGAACAAUAGCUGACUCCAAAAACUAUAACUAAAUGGCUCUGAUACCACUAUUAGGAAAUUGAUGUGUGAAGCAGACACAUAAUUAAAUUGAAAUUGAGAAAUAAUGAUCACAGGAUGACACCAUAAUUUAAGUGGUUCUGCUUUUCACCUACAUCCACGGGCGAAGGCAGAAGGAAAUAUUUUACUAGUGAAAAGGAGUUACAAGUACUGGAGUAUUUUGUCUCACAACCCAAAAAACCCAAUGCACCCAAACUCUCAAGACACUAGAAUAAGAGCUUAAAACUCUCAACACACUCUCAAUCUCCAAAUCUUGGCUCUUUCACUUCUCAAUUAGAUUGAGAAUUGAAGAAAAUGAGAUGAAUGAAGAGGGCAAAUAAAGCCUCUAUUUAUAGGCCAGGCAAUGCCCUAAAAUCAACAACAGUGGGCUUUAAAAUAAUAUAUAUUUUCAUUUAACUUUCCCCUUUGGUGUCAAAAACAAAAGUUGUGUGCUAGCUAAAUGCUUUCCACUUACUCAUGUCUCCCACUUACUUAACAAAUUAUGCCAAAAGUCAAAAGUUGCAUGCGAGCCACAUGAAAUUGUUUGCCACAUGCAUGUGCUUGUUCAACAGUAAAAACCACAAGCAAGGAUUUAACUAGUUUAAACAAGGACUACAAAACCUUCAACGUUGGUGGAUUUCACUAGUUUAAACGAGGAUCACAAAUUUAUCUUUUCUCUAAACAGUAAGAGAGAACUUGAAAUACAAGAAUGCAACCCAAGAGGGGGGGGUGAAUUGGGAUUCUAAAAAAUUAUUCAAUUUAUUAAAGAAAAUCUUAAUGCAAUUAUAAAUCAAAUUCAAAGCAAUAACAAUUAAGAGAAUCACAAUAUAAAAAGAUAAGGGAAGAGGGAUUCAAACACCGAGAUUUUUACGUGGUUCGGCCAACCUCGCCUACGUCCACGCCUCCAAGCUUUCCGGGCUUGAGGAUUCCACUAAGCAAGCCUCCAAGGCUUCAAAUGCUUACACUUGACUUCCAAGGUGUCAAUGAACCUUUACAACAAGAGAUUAUCCCCAAUCUCUUAACCCAAGUGUAUCCCAACACUUACAAUCACUCAAAAUAAAAGAUUAUAAAUUGUUUUGCCUCUCACAAUAUAUAAGAUUACACAAUGAUGCUUAAUAUGUGAAUAGAUGAAGCAAGAAUAUGUUCUAAGCUCUAUGAAGAUUGUAUUCUCGAAUAUUAGCUCAAAUGGUCGUGUUGUGAUCAAUCUUCUUUGAAUUUGAAUGAGCUUAUUUAUAUUUGGAGCCGAAAAUCUAGCCGUUACAAACUGUCGGACAGAAAACGGUUCGCUGUUAACCAUAAACGGUUAACCGUUUAGGCUGGUCAAAGUUACCGUUGGGCCAGAUUUCAAAUAAACGGUUUGCCGUUUAGGGUUGCCCUUUCGCCGUUAACUUCCAGAGACCUGCAAAAUGAGUAUUUGUUAUCCGUUUACGCUAAACGGUUAAGGACUUGCGUGAAGUGGCUUCUCUGGACAUUAUCGGUUAACCGUUUGAUAUAAACGGUUCGCCGUUUGUCUCCAGUAACCUGCAAAACAAUUUAGCCUUAUCAGUUUUCGUUAAUCAGUGCCAGAGGAGGACAACCUUCAAUUCUGGACGUUAUCGGUUAACCGUUUAAAAUAAACGGUUCACCGUUAGGUUCCAGUAGCCUUCCCAUCUUGGGUGUUUUCCGGUAAGCAUAAACGGUUAGAGCUUAGGUAAUAUGUUGCUCUCUGGUGAUAAUCGGUUAACCGUUUAAAAUAAACGGUUCACCGUUAAGUUCCAGUAACCUUCCCAUCUUUUGUGUUUUCCGUUUUUCAUAAACGGUUAGAGGUUUAGGAAAUAUGUUGCUCUCUGGCUGUUAUCGGUUAACCGUUUAAUAAACGGUUCACCGUUUAUAACCAGAAUUACAUUUUAAACCAGUUUUUUAUUUUUGCAGAGAAUCUUUUUCUAAUUUUAAAGUCCAUCUUUUAUGAAGCAUGAAUUGAAUGAUUACUAAGGCUCUCGUUUAUUAAGAAAUAGCUCCAAUACUUUUAUAAAAAAUCAUUUAAAAUUUGUUAUCAUCAAAAUCAAUAUUAUUAACAUAUUUAUGUUAACAAUCUCCCCCUUUUUGAUGAUGACAAAUUCUAAUCAAUGUUUAGCUCCCCCUUAAUAUGUGCUCCCCCUAAAUGUAUGGCCAAAUUGAGAAAUGUGAAUAAAAGGAUAUUUGCUUUAAAUUGCCCCAUUUUAAAUCCAUCUUAAAACAAAUAUCUCCCCAUUUAAAAACCAUCUUAAAAAAAUAUCUCCCCAUUUAAAAAACUAUCUUAAAAACUUAAAAACCAUCUUAAAAACUUUAAUUAUCUCCCCCUUCAUCAUCAAAAAGAAAAGAGGAAAUAAGAAAUACGCAAAUCCAUGAAAGAAAGUGCCCGGUUUUGGCAAACAAAAAAAAAAUUUUGGCAGAGUUUCCCCUUAAAAAUGAGUAAAACCAUAAAUACAAAAUGAGAUAAAACACUUCCAAAAUUAGAUCAACAUUAACUUCUGCUUUCAACAAGCCAACAACUCCAUGAACAAGACAAAAUAACACUUCAAUAUCCACAAAUAUACCAACACUCCAAUAUCCACAAAUAAACCAUUUCUACAAUAUCCAACCAAUUAGGCAAUCACAAAGCAUCAAUAAGCUAAUCAUCAAGAACAUCACACACAUAUGCAUCAAAAUCAAAAUAAUAAUAAAAAUGCUAGCAACCAAAAUGUAAAAUGUAUGUGCGAAGACAAAGCUCAGAAACUACGGAGGCGGAGAAGAUGUGCUCCCUGGAUCAUAGCCGAAAUAGCCGAGAAUAGUGCGCUGUCCAGCGAUAAGCUCCAUCUGCUGAUCAAGGCUCUGCCGCUGGAAUAUCUGAAAGUCAGAACGCAGCUGCUGGUGGUCCCGGGAAAGAGUGUCCAACCGAUCAAGAAUCAGCUGCUGGCGCUCCGAAAUCCGCUGAACAUCAGUGAUCAGCUGCUGCACUGCGUCUGAAGCAGGGGGCUGAACUGGAGCUGGAGGCGGCAUAGAGGCAGAUGGCUGCUCGGGAACAGCAGAAGGCUCAGGAGCAAGAGGCGGCUCGGAAGAGGAGGGAAUAUCAGCAUCCAUCGCACGCUCCUCAGAGUCUGAGUCAGCUGGAGGCUGAGGAACAAAACGGCGACGCGGAGGAUGAGGAUGAGCGCCUAGUCUAAAGUCAGGAAGCUGGUCGGGACGAUAGACAUCAUUGAGCAUCCGAUCGUCCUCUGGAGCAAUCAAGGUAUCCCGGUUUUUGGAGUUGCUUGUCUUUAUCCACACUCCAUUCUUUCUAGAGAAUCCGAUACUGGUUACUGCCUCGGAACCAAUCCGUCGAGUCUCCAUAUGUCCAGUAUCAAGAAGUGGCACCUCAAAGCGUCGCAGUAUUUUAGUGAUGAUACUGCCGUAGGGAAGCAAGCGGUGGUUGACCACUGGAGUACUCAGCAUAUGUCGCACAAUAAUAUACCCGAGGUUAAUGGGACGGUCUGUAAGAAGGCUAUCCAAUAAGGCGACGUCUAACCUCGUAACCUCAUCCGAGUGACCCUUCCUAGGAGUCACUAUGUGCUGUAGAAUAGAGUGAAGAAUACGAACUUGGAGCGGUAAAAGUUGAGACCGAAAUGGAAGCUGACAGACAUCAUCCGAUAAGUCUCGACGACGACAUAUAUUACGGACGCCGUGAGUAUGAGAAAAAGUAUCAAAGGAGAGGGUUUUCCUAGAGGUGUAGAUGUCAAUCCCCUCACAAGAGAUACCUAGAAAGUCAGCUAAGUCCGCAUCAUCAAAUUCUAUGGGUACACGGCCGACUUGAGUGACUAUCCUAUUUGGACGAGUAUUGGAGAUUUCCAUGUUCGAAUAAAAGACUCGCACUAAGUUUGGAUAAACUCGGUCAUCAAAAUCAAUGCCAGACUCCCAAGGCCGAAGCAUAUCCCGAAUACUUCUACCACAUACAACCAAAUUAUGGAAUUCAUCAAUGUCAACAAAGAAGGAGUCAAGUACCUUUCGACCAUUGAAGCGUUCUUCGAAUCGCUUGGCCAAGGAAGGAGUGGGGAAGUGAAUCCUUGCAAAUUCCGAGACUUCCCGAGGUGGUAUGGGAUUCCUUGGAGGCACAGAUUUACGUCUGAGAUUUCUCCGAGGAGGUUCAGCCAUGGAAACACGUAAUGAGGAGUAGAAGAUGUGAGUAGGAUGUUUAAUUUGGUUGAAGAAAGUUGGAAAUCGGAUUAAGGACAAGGAAACCCGACCCGCGACAGUUAGGGUUUAGAUUUGGGAUUUUUGAAUUUUGGGUUCGAUUUGAAGUUUUGAAUCGGUAGAAAUGUUCUAAAGGUGAUAAGAAAUGAUUUUGAAGGUUUGAUUUGGCAAGGAAAGCAAGAAAAAUGAGGAUUUGAGGACAGAGAAACCUUCGGCUGCGCAACAAUGGUGGAAACGGUGAAAGGGUAACUGGAGAAGAAGAAGAAAACCUUUAAACAGUUUAUACACUUCGCGAAAACGGUUAACCGUUUAUUGAAACGGUUAAAGGGUAACGUCCAGAGGCUGAAGAAAGGGAAACGGUGAAAGCCUAAGCGCUUAACGGCUAAGGAGUAACUGUUAGAGGACUCUCUGUUGAAAAACGGUUCACCGAUUGUGGCAAACGGUGAAAGGGUAAACGGGCAGACACAUAAUCUCGUUUCUGGAAUUAAACGGUGAUCCGUUUAUAGGAAACGGCUAACCGUUUAUUCAAUCUGUAAUUUCGCACAUUUGAUUUAAUUUUUGGCCAGCAAAUAAUAUAUUCCAAGAUCAUUUAAUUGAUCUGAAAAUAUUUUAUGAGCCAAUUUUAAUGCAUGAUUCAUGGACAUGUUUUCAACCAAUCAAUUCAUAUAAUCAAGAGUUAUUAAUGCAAAUUCAUCAUUUGUCUACCAAGCUCAAACAUUUCAUAAAUAGUAAUCAAUCAAUUCAGUACACUCAAUAGCAUGAAUAGAGAUGUUAAUGCAAAAAUUUCAUCAUCCCAAGUUCAUGCCGAAUUUUUGAAAAUUGUUCUUCGCAAAGCGGUUUUGUGAAAAUAUCGGCAAGUUGUUUUUCCGUGGAAAUAAACUCUAAUGCAAUAUCUCCCUUUUGAACAUGAUCUCUCAAGAAAUGAUGUCUUAUUUCUAUAUGCUUGGUUCGAGAAUGUUGAAUGGGAUUCUUUGAAAGGUUUAUAGCACUAGUAUUAUCACACUUAAUAGGAAUUUGUUCAAGAUUAAUGCCAUAAUCUCUAAGUGUUUGUUUCAUCCAAAGUGCUUGUGCACAACAACUUCCGGCAGCUAUAUAUUCAGCCUCAGUAGUUGAAAGUGCAACAGAAUUUUGUUUCUUGCUAAACCAUGAAACAAGAGAGUGUCCUAGAAUAUAGCAAGUUCCACUAGUGCUCUUCCUAUCCACUUUAUAACCAGCAAAAUCCGCAUCCGAAAAACAUGUUAAAUCUAUAUGAGUUCCCCUAGGAUACCAAAGGCCAAUAUCUAUGGUUCCACUCAAAUAACGGAAAAUUCUUUUAACAGCGAGCAAAUGAGAUUCCUUGGGACAUGACUGAAAUCUUGCACACAAACAUACACUAAACAUGAUAUCGGGUCUACUUGCAGUCAAAUAGAGUAGGGAUCCGAUCAUACCUCGAUACAUUUUGAUAUCCACUUCUUUACCUUUUUCAUCUUUGUCCAGCUUGGUUGUUGUGCUCAUUGGUGUAUUCUUGGUCUUUGAAUCAUCAAUGCCGAAUCGUUUGAGUAGAUCCUUUACGUACUUGGCUUGAUUUAUGAAAAUUCCUUCCUCGCUUUGUUUGAUUUGAAGUCCAAGGAAGUAUUUCAACUCUCCCAUCAUACUCAUCUCAAAUUCUUUGCUCAUACACAAUGAAAAUUCUUUACACAACAACUCAUUAGUAGAACCAAAAAUAAUAUCAUCAACAUAAAUUUGAACAAUAAGUAUGUCUUGGUUCUUAUGCUUAACAAAAAGAGUAGUAUCCGCUUUACCCAUAGAGAAGUCAUUUUCUAGCAAGAAAUUUUUAAGUCUAUCAUACCAUGCUCUAGGUGCUUGUUUUAAUCCAUACAAGGCUUUGAGCAACUUAUACACAUGAUUUGGAAAUUUUUCAUUUUCAAAACCAGGAGGUUGUUUCACAUAAACUUCCUCCAAAAUAUAUCCAUUUAAGAAAGCACUCUUGACAUCCAUUUGAUAUAAAAUAAAAUCCUUAUGACAUGCAUAUGCUAACAACAUCCUAAUGGAUUCUAACCUUGCUACAGGUGCAAAGGUUUCAUCAAAAUCAAUUCCUUCCUCUUGGUUGUAACCUUGAGCCACUAAUCUAGCUUUGUUUCUUACAACCACACCGGAUUCAUCCAUCUUAUUUCUAAACACCCAUUUAGUACCUAUUAUAGAUUGAUGUUCAGGUUUAGGAACUAGUUCCCACACAUUGUUUCUUUCAAAUUGAUUUAACUCCUCUUGCAUUGCCAUAAUCCAAGAUUCAUCAUUUUCUGCAUCCUCAAAGGAUUUUGGUUCAAUUUGAGAGAUGAAUGCAUUAUGCUCACAAGUAUUUCUAAGUGAUGAUCUAGUUGUUAUACCUCGUGAGGGAUCUCCUAAAAUUACAUCUUUAGGGUGAGAAGAGACAUACCUCCACUCCUUGGGGAGUGUUUGAGAAGUACCUUCAUUUUGCUCCACAUUUGGUUCUUCAUGAUGUUCCUCUUGAAUUCCAUGUGGUGCAUCCUCUUGAUUGUCAUUUGAUGCUUCUUCUUCUUGUUCUUCUUCUCUUGCAUCAUCAUCAACAACGACUUUCUUCGUAGAGGAGGGGUUAGACUCAUCAAAUGUGACAUGCAUAGAUUCUUCCACAACUAAAGUUCUUUUGUUAUAAACUCUAUAAGCUUUGCUUGAAUUUGAAUAACCAAAAAAAAUACCAACAUCGGAUUUUGAAUCAAAUUUACCAAGAUUGUCUUUUGUGUUCAAAACAAAACAUUUGCAUCCAAAAACUUUAAAAUAGCCAAUGUUGGGUUUUCUAUCUUUCCAAAGCUCAUAUGGAGUUUUAUUAAGAUUAGGUCUAAUCAACACCCGAUUUAAAACAUAACAAGCGGUGUUGACGGCUUCGGCCCAAAAAUAUUUUGGUAAUGCAUUUUCAUUUAACAUGGUCCUAGCCAUUUCUUGAAUAGACUUAUUCUUUCUCUCAACAACUCCAUUUUGUUGUGGAGUUCUAGGUGAAGAAAAUUGAUGCUCAAUGCCUAGAUUAUUGCAAAAACUCUCAAAUGCAUGAUUUUCAAAUUCUCCUCCAUGAUCACUCCUAAUGCAUACAAUACCAUGCCCUUUUUCAUUUUGUAAUUUCUUACAAAGCACUUUAAAUGCAUCAAGAGCAUCAUCCUUAUUGGCUAAGAAUAAUACCCAUGUAUAUCUAGAAUAAUCAUCCACUAUCACAAAAGCAUAAUAUUUGCCAUUUAGACUUGCAUAUCUAGAUGGCCCAAAAAGAUCUAUGUGAAGAAGUUCAAGUGGUUUUGAAGUAGAAAUAUGGUUUUUAUUCUUGAAAGAAGUUUUAAUUUGUUUUCCAAAUUGACAAGCUUCACAAAUCUUAUCCUUUUGAAAACCAAUUUUCGGAAGACCUUUAACUAAAUCAUCUUUCGAAAUUUUUGAAAUCAAAUCCAUACUUGCAUGUCCUAACCUUCUAUGCCACAACCAACAAUCAUCAUGCAAUGCCGAAAAAUAUUUAUCAAGAGUAGAUGCACAUUCUAUGUCAAUGAUAUAAACAUUACCACAUCUAUUUCCAACAAAUAAGGUUUUGCCAUCACAUGAGUUCUCAAUAACACAACUAAAUUUAUCAAAGAUAACUUUAUAACCUUUGUCACAUAAUUGACUAAUGCUAAUUAAGUUGUGUUUCAAGUUUUCAACCAAACAUACAUUCUCAAUUAGAGUUGAAGAAACUUUACCAACAUUUCCAAUUCCAAGGAUUUUUCCUUUUGAGUUGUCUCCAAAGGAUACGUCUCCACCAUUUUCAAUUUUGGUAAAGCUUGAGAACCAUGCAUAGUUUCCGGUCAUGUGCCUUGAACAACCGCUGUCCAAGUACCAUUUAUUCUUCUUCUUCUUCAAGCCCUACAAGAAAAAGUCUCAAGUUUUAGGUACCCAAAGCUUUUUGGGUCCUUGAGAGUUAGCAACGGUUCCUUUUGGAACCCAAAUGCACUUGACACCAUAAUAUGCAUUCCUUUUCACGGGACAUUUAAAUUUCAUGUGACCAUUUUGAUUACAAUAAUGACAUACAAUCUUAUGAUCAUUUGUGGAGGUAGCUUUAACAAAAUAAUUCUUAUAAUACUUUUGCUUCAAAUUUGGCUUAUAUCCAAGUCCUCCUUUAUCAAAAACACAUUUUUGUGAGUUAAGCAUAUUAUCCAACAUCUUUUGCCUAUUUGUAAAUUUCAAAACAAUUUCAUUUAAUUCAUUAUUCUUUUUCUUGAGCAAUUCGUUCUCAUUUUUCAACUCAUCUAUGUGUGAUUUCAAAUGCUCAUGUAAGAUGCUAGGUUUCUCAUUUGAUAAUGCAAUUUCAUCAUGCAAUGUUUUGUUUCCUACUUCUAGGCAUACAAUUCUUGCAUUUAGAGAUUCAUUUUCAUUUUUAAGCUUUGCCAUUUCCUUUUUAAGACAUACAUUCUUUUUACUAAUUUUCAUCAACUCAUUAUGCAAAUCUUGAAAAGCAUCAUAUAAUUCAUCAUAGGUAGGAUCACUUACCUCAUUGAGAUCAUCAUCUCCUCCUAUUGCCAUGAGUGUUAGGUUUGAUACUUCUUGCGAUCCUUCUUCAUCAUUUGAUUCUUCCUCACUAUCAUCCCAAGUUGCAACCAUUGCUUUCUUCUUGAGUUUGUUGAUAAGUGGGCACUCCGAUCUUAUAUGUCCAGGCUUCUUGCAUUCAUAGCAAGUGAUUGCCUCCUUCUUCUCCCUAUAGUUCUUGAAGUUUCUGAAAUUUCUUCGCUCUCCGGUUUUCUUGAAGAAUUUUCUGAACCUCCUUGCUAGCAUGGCUAGUUCUUCAUCAUCCGGUUCACUCUCCUCAUCACUCUCAUAUUUUGAAGCUUUGAGAGCAAUGCUUUUCUUCUUCUCCUCAUGUCCUCUUUCUGCAGCUAAAUCCUCUUCAUACGAAAUAAGAGAACCAAUUAAAUCAUCAAGAGGUAAAGUAUUUAAAUCUUUGGCCUCUUCAAUAGCGGUUCGUUUAGGUCUCCAUUCUUUUGGAAGAGACCUAAUGAUUUUCUUAACUUUCUCACUAUUUGAGAAGGUUUUCCCUAAGGCACCUAGGGUGUUCACUAUGUCCGUGAAUCUAGUAUACAUAGAAUACACAUUUUCAUUUUGUUCCAUUUGGAACAACUCAUAUUGACGAGUGUAUCUACUGAUUUUAGACUCUUUCACUUGAUUUGUCCCUUCAUAGACAACUUCAAGUUUGUUCCAUAUCUCUUGUGCACUUUCACAACUAGAUACUCUAUGGAAUUCUUUCUUAUCAAGGGCACAAAACAAAGCAUUCAUAGCCUUGGAGUUUAGAGACAUCUUUCUCUUUUCUAACUCACUCCAUUGACUCGAUGGUUUAGGAAUAUCAUCUCCUACUUCAUCUUUGAACGUAGGCAUGAAUGGACCAUCACAAACAACUUCCCAAAUUUCAUAAUCUAAGGCUUGCAAAUAAAUUCACAUUCUAGUUUUCCAAUAAGCAUAGUCAUUACCAUCGAAAAAUGGUGGUCUAGUUGUGGAUUGCCCUUCUCUAAAGGUUGAGUCAUUUAGGGUUGCCAUGGAUCUUUUACUCUAGACGAUUAAGUCUUAACAAGAGAACGAGGCUCUGAUACCAAUUGAAAUACAAGAAUGCAACCCAAGAGGGGGGGUGAAUUGGGAUUCUAAAAAAUUAUUCAAUUUAUUAAAGAAAAUCUUAAUGCAAUUAUAAAUCAAAUUCAAAGCAAUAACAAUUAAGAGAAUCACAAUAUAAAAAGAUAAGGGAAGAGGGAUUCAAACACCGAGAUUUUUACGUGGUUCGGCCAACCUCGCCUACGUCCACGCCUCCAAGCUUUCCGGGCUUGAGGAUUCCACUAAGCAAGCCUCCAAGGCUUCAAAUGCUUACACUUGACUUCCAAGGUGUCAAUGAACCUUUACAACAAGAGAUUAUCCCCAAUCUCUUAACCCAAGUGUAUCCCAACACUUACAAUCACUCAAAAUAAAAGAUUAUAAAUUGUUUUGCCUCUCACAAUAUAUAAGAUUACACAAUGAUGCUUAAUAUGUGAAUAGAUGAAGCAAGAAUAUGUUCUAAGCUCUAUGAAGAUUGUAUUCUCGAAUAUUAGCUCAAAUGGUCGUGUUGUGAUCAAUCUUCUUUGAAUUUGAAUGAGCUUAUUUAUAUUUGGAGCCGAAAAUCUAGCCGUUACAAACUGUCGGACAGAAAACGGUUCGCUGUUAACCAUAAACGGUUAACCGUUUAGGCUGGUCAAAGUUACCGUUGGGCCAGAUUUCAAAUAAACGGUUUGCCGUUUAGGGUUGCCCUUUCGCCGUUAACUUCCAGAGACCUGCAAAAUGAGUAUUUGUUAUCCGUUUACGCUAAACGGUUAAGGACUUGCGUGAAGUGGCUUCUCUGGACAUUAUCGGUUAACCGUUUGAUAUAAACGGUUCGCCGUUUGUCUCCAGUAACCUGCAAAACAAUUUAGCCUUAUCAGUUUUCGUUAAUCAGUGCCAGAGGAGGACAACCUUCAAUUCUGGACGUUAUCGGUUAACCGUUUAAAAUAAACGGUUCACCGUUAGGUUCCAGUAGCCUUCCCAUCUUGGGUGUUUUCCGGUAAGCAUAAACGGUUAGAGCUUAGGUAAUAUGUUGCUCUCUGGUGAUAAUCGGUUAACCGUUUAAAAUAAACGGUUCACCGUUAAGUUCCAGUAACCUUCCCAUCUUUUGUGUUUUCCGUUUUUCAUAAACGGUUAGAGGUUUAGGAAAUAUGUUGCUCUCUGGCUGUUAUCGGUUAACCGUUUAAUAAACGGUUCACCGUUUAUAACCAGAAUUACAUUUUAAACCAGUUUUUUAUUUUUGCAGAGAAUCUUUUUCUAAUUUUAAAGUCCAUCUUUUAUGAAGCAUGAAUUGAAUGAUUACUAAGGCUCUCGUUUAUUAAGAAAUAGCUCCAAUACUUUUAUAAAAAAUCAUUUAAAAUUUGUUAUCAUCAAAAUCAAUAUUAUUAACAUAUUUAUGUUAACAGAACUAUUACUCAUUUUCGUAAUAGUUGGGGGCUUAGGCCUAAGAUGCAAAGGUAUGCAUCCAACUUAAAUGACUAGUUUUUCACUAGUGAAUUUGGGACACACAACUCAAUAGAGAGAACACAGCACUCUCUCACAAAGCUUAGGCCCUGUUUGGCAUUAUUUUCUAAAUGAUGUUUUCAUGAAACAAAAAUGAGAAUGGAAAUGACGUUUUCAAAUUUGUUUUUAAAAUUUAAAGUGUGUUUUGUAUCAUUUUAAAAAAUAAUCUUGAAAAUGAAAAAAGUUAAAUACUUUCGAUAAGAAAAUCUUCAAGAAUUAUUAUUAGAAUAAUUUUCCUAAACUUAAAAUUGAGUAAUGAAUAAUUAUUUUUAUUAUUUAAUCAGUUUAUUUUUUUAAUUUUAAGAAUAAAUUAGGUGAUCCCAUUAUUAUUUUUUGUUUAAAGAAAAGUUAUAAACUCUACAUAUUUGAUUUAAUUAAUAUAUAAAAACAUAAAUAUUAUAAUGUAUAUAAAAAGAAAAGAUUAUUGUGGAGGAGGGAAAUCAAUUUUUUGGGAAUAAUAAUAAUAAUAAUGUUGAAAUUAUUAAUAUUUUUUGAGGUGUUGGAAGAAAAUUGUUCAUUUUGAAACUUAAUACUGUAUUGGAAAAUAAGGAAAACAAUAAAAAGCUGUUUUCCUAUUUCUUUUGUUAAAAAUGUAGAAUGAAUUUUAUAUUUUCAAAAAUAUGUUCAAAAAUGAUCUACCGAACAAGUAUUUAGUGUUUUCUGAAUGCAAAAAACAAGAAGCAGGAUUUGGAAACAAUACUAACGUACCUUUACUUGCUCUCAAACAAUGAUCUUGCAGAUACUUUAUUUUAUCGAAAUGAACCUCAAACAACUUUAUUUGCUUCUGGCUGUCAUUGACUCAUUGACCAUUAGCAAUAUAGCAUUAGGUAGUGCCCUCUCUUUUCUUUUUUGUCUUUGUCUUCUCCAAUUCGGGCUACAAAUGUUGCGAAGAAUUCCUUUUCCAUCUCCUCUCCAUUGUUUGGCUUCAAUAUUUUGGAGUUGAAUGGAAUCACAAUUUCUCACCUAUUGUCACACAAAGUUUCGAAUACAUUAUUAUAUAAAAGUGUAAGUUAAAAAAAAUUAGAAUAAAAUUUAAUAAUAUCAUAAAAAAAUUUAUAUUUUACAUCAUCCAAUUUUUGAUAAAAACUCAAGUAGAUAUCACAAGUAACGCAGCACCAACAUUUGAUUUUUUUCUACUUUUGUACCCAAUUUUGAGCCAGAGUUAAAGUAAAUAACUUUUAAUUAAUUAUGAAAAAAUAAUAAUAAUAUGAGAUCGACGGGUCCCAUCGAGAUUUUCUUAUCUCUUUAGUAAAUUUCCUGCAUAUUUAUUUUGCAUCAACCUUAACAUUGUAUGUGAAAAAUUUCUGCAUAUUUAUUUUGUCCUACGGAGACAAUAUUUUGAGAUUCAUAUACAAUUAACAUAAGGAAGCUUCCAAGAAAUUUCUGGGUGGACUUCAAAAUGAGAAAAGAAAUUAAAUUUGUUGGACCACCAUCAUGAAAUUUUAAAUUUUUUGGACCCCAAUCUGCCUUUGUCUUUUCAUCUGAUUGGAAGCCACUUGAUGACAGUGACUGAUCAUUGACCAUUUGGUGCUCUCUUCUCUUCGUCUUCUAAUUCAACUUACCCUCAUCAAAUUAAACGAUCAUUCUAGGCAUCUUCUUUGAAAUUAUUUGUUGCGACAAUCCCAUAAUAUACGGCAAAUAUCAAUCGCAUAAAGCAUACAAGGAUAAGUCAAUGUUUACGGGGAAAUAUAAAAAAAAAAAAUAUUUCACUAUAAAAAUAUAUAGUGAAAUAUUUGAUCAUUUCUCUAUCUACUCUAAAUAAAGACAAUCUGCCUUUGUCUUUUCAUCUGAUUGGAAGCCACUCGAUGACAUUGACUGAUCAUUGACCAUUUGGUGCUCUCUUCUCUUCGUCUUCUAAUUCAACUUACCCUCAUCAAAUUAAACGAUCAUUCUAGGCAUCUUCUUUGAAAUUAUUUGUUCCGACUAUCCCAUAAUAUACGGCAAAUAUCAAUCGCAUAAAGCAUACAAGGAUAAGUCAAUGUUUACGGGGAAAUAUAAAAAAAAAAAAAAAAAAAAAAAAUUCACUAUAAAAAUAUAUAGGGAAUACAAAUAUUGAAAUAUUUAUCACAUAAACCAAAUUCUUAAUAAAAUCAAGUUCUUAGAUCACUCGAAAACAUUUUAGUUAUCUCAAAGCUAAAGAAUUGCUUCUCAUAGAACACACGUUAAGUUUUCAAAUUGUUGGAGACUUUUCUAACACUGGCUCAUGGAUUCUGCAUCCAAUUUAUAGGCAAAUCUAGAUUUCAAAUGUCAAGAAUAACGGAAUCUAAUAGCUCGCAAUUAGAGCAUGCAAAUCUUGACUUUUAGAAUGCGAAAUCUCUGACUUUUAGGCCUGGUGAAAAAGUGAACAACGAACAUGGCUUGUUUCCAAUUGCACGAUAAAAAAAUUCUAGUGGACGGUAAUUAUUGAAACAUGAAUAACGAGAAAUAUUUUAGAUGGUGUAUUAAUUUAAAGAAAAAAACGUACUAAAAAAUCUAAGUCGUGUAUUGAUGCGCAUGGGAGUUGUUAAUAGACCCAAUUGUUGUAGUUAAUUAGAUGACUCAAUGUAUCGGCUUUGACUGUGAUCUGAGAGAUGAAAUUACAAAUAUAAAUGUGGGUAAUAAAAGAAAUUUUCUUGUCAAAAUCUUUAAAAAAUACGCUGAAAUGUCCGGGGAAAAUUUUUGUUUUUUUUUUCCCCUCAGACGUGUAGUUUGGGGCAAGCAAAGUUUUUUCUCUUCUAAUAUAAAUAGGAAAAUUAUGAUUUUUUGUCCUUCACAUCCAGAAAGGCUCAAGGAAAGUAAGUAAUCGUGAGUAUGAGUUUAUUGAAAAAUAUGCUGUGAGAUUAAUUGGUCUUUUAUUUUAUUUUUAUUUUUAUUAUUUUCUUUAGUGACGGUGGCGAAUAGUAUUUACACCUUUUUUUAAUAUUAAUUUUUAACCAUCAUUCACUAUUUCUUUUGUUUUUUUGGAGAAACGCGGUUCAACAGUAACCAUAAAGCUGCAUUUAAUUGUGGAGGGUGCACAAGAGUAAUAUAGAGUGUUUUAGUCUAUUCAGUGUGCAAAUAACCCAAUGUUAUAAGAGUUAUGAAUAUAUGUUGUAUGUAUUUGUAAUAUUUUUGUUUUGGGAGGGGCUUAUAUUAAUUUAAGAAUUCAACUUCAAUCUAGACAUCAAAAUAUGACCAUUUAUUUCGUUCAAUCAAUUAACCCACGAAUUUAUGGUCAGACCCUUGGAUUGUUUGUUGAUUGGAGAGGCUAAAAUUGAGUGGGAAAGUAAAGCAAUGAGGAAUAGAAAAGAUCUAUGGCAAAGAUCGAUGAACAGUGGGCAUGAUUUAAUAAUGAAUUACAGAUAUGUUGGCGUUACGGAAUAUGUUGUUGACAAAAUUAUGGAGUCUUGAUUUCUUGGGGAUGAAUUUUUUUUGUUUUUUCAAUUUAGGUUAGGAAUUGUUAUUUACUAGUAUAAUCGUUGAGGAAUGAGGGAAAAGAGUCGGUAUUCUUUCUCUCUUUCUUUAUUAAGUUUUAAUAUGUCAUCUAUGCUUUUUGUUUUCUGAAUCUUAUUUUAUUAAAGUUUUAUUAUCACAUAAUCAAUUAUCUCAUACCGUGGAUUGAAUUAAAUAAAUUUUCAAGUUUUCAUGCUUAGAUUACAAUCAAAUUCUUAAGUUAAAAUCCCCCUCCCGUUUGUUUUGUCUCUAAAAAAAAAACAUUGGUACUAAAAAAUAAAUAAUCUUAUUUUUAAUGAAAAUAUAAUAUUUUUAGUCUUCUAAUUUGUUUAUUUUAAAAGUAACUCAUUCACUGCUUUGUAAAAUCAAAAUCUCAUGUGGCAAUGAAUUUAUUUUACAAGAAGUAAUUUUAAAAAGUUUUUAUCAAACACUUAAAUUAAUCAUUAGCUUUUCAAUAUCACUUUUGAACAUCCCAACAACAAUCUCAAAUUGGUCAUAAAUUAUUUCGUUUUCUAGAUAAUAAAUGUAAAUUGAUGGAAAUAAUUUUUAUAUCAUAAAAGUAAAAAUAAUUUUAUUAUUUGUAUCAAAUUAAUAUUAUUUAGAUAUAUUUAUAUUUAAUUAUUAUGUUAGUAAAUUAUCAAAUAAUAUUUUUAUUCAUAAUAAGACAAAUUUAUGGUGUGUUUACUUCAUGGAAUGAGAAAUGGGAAUGAAGGAAUGAGAAUGAAACCCAUGUUUACUUGGCAAAAUGUAAGUUGGGAAUGGAAAUAAAAUGUGUGGGUCUCACAUAAUUUGGGAAUAAGGAAUGGGAAUCCCAUUUCCAUGGGGGGGUUGUGAAUGAAAAUGAGGGAAUAUGAAUGAAAUAUAUGUUUACUUUUGUAUCUCUCUAAUUUUUUCAUAUUUCCCAAAUUACCCUCAUUCAAAUCACAAUUAAUUUUAUUAUUUUAAAUGUCAUUAAUAAUAAUAAUUAUUAUUAUUAAAUUUUAUUAACUUUAUUAUUUUAGUUAUUAUUAAUUAUUUUUAUUAAUAUUAUCUAUAUUAACAAUAAAAAAUGAUAAAAAUAAUAAUUAAUAAAAAUAAUUAAUUUAUCAUUAUUAACAAUAUUAUCAUUAUUGUUGUUAUUAUUAAUAAUAAAAAUAAUAAUAACAAUAAUUAAUAAUAUCUAAAAUAAUAAAGUUAAUAAAAUUUAAUAAUAAUAAUGUAAUUUUCAUUAUCUAGAUACAUGUAUAAAUUAUAUUAUAAAAAUGAUAUUAAUUAAAAUAAUAAUAAAUGUUAAUAAUGAUAAUAUUAAUAAAAAUAAUAAUAACAAUAAUUAAUAGUAACUAAAAUAAUAAAUUUAAUAAAAUUUAAUAAUAAUAACAAUAAUAAUAAAUGUUAAUAAUGAUAAUAUUAAUAAAAAUAACAUUAAGAGUAAUUAAUAAUAACUAAAAUAAUAAAUUUAUUAAAAUAUAAUAAUAAUAAUAAAUAUUAAUAAUGAUAAUAUUAACAAAAAUAAUAAUAACAAUAAUUAAUAACAACUAAAAUAUUAUUAAUAUUAUUUUUAUUAAUAAUAAUAAUAACAACAAUAAUAAUGGUAAUUUUGUUAAUAAUUAUAAAUUAAUUAUUUUUAUUAAUUAUUAAUAUUAUGAAUAAUUUGGUAAAUUGAUUCUCAUUCUCAUUUAUUAUUCUAAUUUAUUUUGCCAAAUAAACAUAUCAAUGACAUUCCAGCACAUUUUUAUUUCUAUUUAUUUUUGUCAAAUAAACAUUAAAAUUUCAUUCUCAUUUCUUAUUUUCAUUCGAGUCCAUUCUUAUUUUUAUUUCUUAAAGUAAACGCACCAUUCGAGAAAAAUUAGAAGGUGUUUGCUAGGAAACUUAAGAGAAAAAUUAAUAUGGAACUGUCCCACCACUUGGGAUUCUUUCACGUAUUGUUUCAGUGGAUCUGAUUGAAUUUUAUUUUGAAAAAUCAAUUGAUAAUACUCGGAUGGUAUAGCCUGGUAGGGUGAUACUCUAAGCGGUCCCUUUAACCUUUUUAGUUGUCGUACACGAAUUAUUUCUUCACUUGAAAUAAAAGUCAACAAAGCUGCAUCUUCACUGAAAUUAUUGUCCACAGUGCUUCCUGGAAAAUGAGAUAAAGAUAAUUUUAAAGAAACUUUUAGGAAAUUUUCCGGGAAAUUUUUGCUUUUUCUCUUCAAACGUAAAGUUUGGGGGCAGAAAUGUUAAAGGUUUAAAGGUGGGUACAAUUAUUCUUCUUCUUGUUAUUUAAGCAUUUCCUUCCAUUCACAUUAGUCGGUCUUCAAUUAAUUUUAGAUAAGGAGAUGAAACUACCACAAAAUUAACUCCAAGUGAAGGACUACUAAAGUAGCCAUAUAUUCCACGCACAUUUUAUUCAAUUAAUUAAUUUAUGAUCACAUCCCACAUCAUAUUAUUAUUGUAUCAACUUGCACGGUCGUAACAAUUAACAUAAAUUUUCAUUAAAAUUAUUACAUUAAUUUUUAAAUAGAAAUAAGAAAAAAAUUCUUAAUACUGAAAAAACAUAAGAUGAAAUCGUGUGUCGUUUGUCACGAGUCAAACUUUUGAGAAAAAUACACGAAUGAAUGUGGCGCGUAAAAGGUGUUGAUGUACUAUCAACAUUUUCAUUUUAUUUUUAUUGAACUUUCAUAUAUUUUUUUUAUAAGCUGUCAUCAAUUAUUUGUUUCUUGCUCUGCGCGUGCACGACAAGACCUACUAUUUGCACCCUUUUAACCCUUUUAGUUGUCAUGCACUAUUUUCCUUCUUCACUUGAAAUGAAACAGUCUGUAAAGCUGCAUCUUCAGUGGAAUUCUUAUCCGCAGUGCUUGGAAAAUAAGACGAAAUUGAUUAUUAGUUGGGUCUUCCUAAGCUACAACUCAUGUAAUUUGAACUUUACAUGUUUCGCAUGAGUUGUAAAUUACAUAUUUUUACAUGUUUUGCAUGGAUUGUAAAUUAUAUGAAUUGUAAAUUAGCAAAACCCUUAUCACGAAACUUAAGUCUCAGGAAGAUUCCCCCUUCCAAGCAUAAUGUGUUCUUGAUUUCAUCUCGUCGAAAUUUCGAAGUUGGUAACUGCUUUUGGUAAUUAUAUCUUCAUCACUUGCAAUCUUUUAUUGCUUUUCCAAGUUAAUUUUUAGGGUAAGUAUCAUAAACCUCUGCUAGAUUUGAUUUAUUCACAGUUUCAUAGAUUGUAUUCGUAUAUUCUCAAAUACCUCCCUUAACGUUAGUAUAAUGUUUCUUUGAUUGUUUGUUGCAUAAUAAAUUAUCAAAAUACUCCAGCAAAAAUUAUUUUAUACUGAAAAUAAAGAAUUCUGUACCAACAUGUUUGAUUUGGCGCCAAGGGAUGUAAAUAUAAUUAAAAUACCAAAUCACCCCCCACUACUUUUUAAAAUGACUUUGAUGGAUGAAACAAACAAAAGAUUUGACUUAUGUCAAAUAUCAGCGAAUUCGAAAGGAAGCUUUUUUGCACUUUGCCUCAUUGCUCUGCUUUCUACAUCAAAUUUCUUUAAUCUUGGUGAAGAUUUUGGUGUCCCGAUUUGUGUCUCUCUCUCUAAUUUUCUAUUUUUCAUUUCAUGAGCACAUCUUCCCUUAAAAUUGUAGAGAUACUAUAUGAAAUCACCAAACCAUGAAAAUAUUAUAUUAGAGAAAAAAAACAAUUAUAACUUAAACAAUAUUUGUAAUCAGCAUUUGCACUUUCAUUCAUGGUUAAUUUCUUUUAUACAUAACGAAAGCUUGAUUAGGGAGAGAGAAUUUUAGUCGAUCCCAAAAGAUAUUCAUAAGAAGAAAAAAUUAUUGGCUAAAUUCAAGCCUUGAGCAAUAAUAAAUUUUUGGCCAAAUCGAAAUAUAUAACAACUUCAUGCAAUUUUAAUUCAGUUGAAUAAUAUAUGGGUUUUCAUGAUCACGUAUAAAUUUUCUCGCGCUAUCAAUUAUCGCGUCGCAGUCAGCUUUCUAUUAUCCAUUCUGCAUUCAAUCAACCUAUCAUAUUCUAUCUCUUCAAUUAAUUUAUUUCGUGAGCUUUGUCAAACUAAUCAAAUUAAUUCAUUAAUGGAGCAAAACCGUGAAGGAUUAUUUUUCAAACUUUUUAAGAAAAUAAACAUGUUAGCAACCAAUCAGGGGCAUGAAAAUGGUUGUGCAUAUAUAUCUUUGUUGACAAUUCCUCUUUGAAAUUAAUUGUCUUGUUUAGGUUAUAAUAGUAUUUUAUGUUAGAGUUAUUUUAUUAAUAAAAAAUUUAGUUAAAAAAGGGUCUAAUGAAUAUUUUGGAGGGUUUAAAUAACCUCACCUUUUUUUUUUUAUCAUUAAUAGAUGCUCUUAUGAUUUUAUCCUCACCAACCUAAUUUAUAUGAAAUAGUAUACUAUCGCUAGGGGAGAUAUUUAAAAAUAUGUGAAUAUAAUUUAUAAAUAGAGAAUACGCCAAAAAUUAGGGGAGGUUUCCGAUAAUUACCCUUUCAGUUACUCCUCCUCAAUCCGUCCUGGUGCAUGAACUUGAGGGAAGGGUCAGGUUCUGUGGUGGUGUUAAUAAAAAGAUAAAUUAUAUUGGAAAGUAAAUGGUGUUUGUUGGGAAAUUCACACCCUUUAACCUUUUUAGCUGUCAUUCGCUGUUUUCUGAUCAAAAUGAGUCAACAAAGUGAUUCAACUUCCAAGCACCGACAUAUUCCACAGUUCUGUGAUUCAAUUAAUGUUUUAUCUGAUCAAAAUCUAUCUAAUCAAUUGAACUGUUUCUGCUAUGGCUUCAGGUACCAGUACCACAAUUAACAUGUAAAUUAGAAGGAUCAUGCUAAGUUACGAUUUAUAAAAUGGGAUGUCCGAUAUACUUAGAUCCCACCAGUUAAUUCAUUGGGUUUAUUUUAGAGCAUCUCUAAAAAUUUUUAUAAAUUUUAUUUUUUAAAUAUUUAUUUACUUAUUUAUGUAGUAAAUAGAAGGGUGAAAAAAUAUGAUAUUUUUAAAAAAAAUUUUUUUAAAUAAAAUAAAAUAAAUAUUAUUUUAAUUAAAUAAUUAUUUUUUUUAAAAAAAAGUCAAUAGUAAUUAAAGUAUUUCUUUCUCUUUCUCUAAUAAAAAAUAAUAAAAUAUAAAUUGAUGAAAGAGAAAUCAACUCUCUAAAUUUAAAAAGUGAAAAUCAUUUCUUAUUUAAAAAACUUAAUUAGAAUAUCUUUUGAAACCUUAAAUAUUGAUGUGUCUCUUCAAAUAAAUAAUAAAAUCUUAUUUGAAAUUUUUUUUAAUGAUGCUCUUAAUUUUGCCUAACAUAAUUUGUACGGUAGGCGAGCCGAAGGUUUAAUAAAUCACGUGUUCAAUAAGAAGCGAUAAAAAAUUGUUAAACAUAAUUCUAUAUAUUAUGGAAGUGGUGUAAAUCGCGUAUUUAUAGAAAAAAGUCAUAUAUUGAUCUACAAGUGAGUGGUCAAUAGACACUCUGUAAUUAAUUAGAGGAGCUGUGAUUUGAGAUAUGAAUUUACAAAUGUAAAUUUCGGAGGAAAAAAAAAAUUUCUAGUCAAAAUCUUUGAAUACUGUAGUGAAUUGAAUGAAACUCGUCGCUUUUUCUGGGAAAUAUUUUAGUUUUUUGUCAUUGCCUCACAUUAGUCGGUCUUCAGUGGUCGUGAAGCAUCCAUAUGUCUCACGUGCAUUUCAUUCAAUUAAUUAAGUAUUAUCACAUCCCACAUUAUUGUUUCACCUUGCACCGUUAGAAUAACUAACAAGAAUCUUUAUUGAAAUUAUUGUGUCACUUUUAGAAAAGAGAUAGGAAAAAAGUUGAAUUCACAAGCCCAACUUAAUUAAAGUUUUACUGUCAUAUAAUCAAUUAUCUCAUACCUUAGAUUGAAUUAAAUAAAUUUUCAAAAUUUGAUGCUUAGAUUACAAUCAAAUUCUUAAGUUAAAAUAUCCCUUCCCGUUUGUAUUUUAUUUAAAAAAAUCGUUGGUACUGAAAAAUAAAUAAUCUUAUUAUUACUGAAAUAUAAUAGUUUUAGUCUUUUAAUUUGUUUAUUUUAAAAGUAACUCAUUCACUACUUUGCAAAAUUAAAAUCUCCUGUGGCAAUGAAUUUAUUUUACAAGAAGUAACUUUAAAAUUUUUACCAAACACUUAUAUUAAUCAUUAGCUUUUCAAUAUCACUUUUGAACAUCCCAAUAAGCAUAAACAACUAUUUCAUUUUUUAAAUAAUAAAUGCAAAAUGAUUGAAAUACUUUUUAUAUCGUAAAAGUAAAAAUAAUUUUAUUGUUUGUAUCAAAUUAAUAUUACUUAGAUAUAUUUAUAUUUAAUUAAAUUAUUAUAAAAUUAUUAAAUAAUAAAAUAAUCUUUUUAUUCAUAAUAAGACAAAUUUAGAGAAAAAUUAGAUGGUAUUCGUUAGGAAACUUUAGAGAAAAAUGAAUAUGGAACUGUCCCACCACUUGGGAUUCUUUCACAUAAUCUUUCAGUGGAUCUCAUUAAAUUUUAUUUUGAAAAAGGGUAAUUUUUAAAAACUCUCCUGAAGUUUGAGCUUGUUGUAAGUAGAUGGCGAGAAUUUGUUUAUUUGUAAAAAACCCCAUACCAUCAGUUAACUUUAACAUUGACCGUUAGUUGACUGUGCAAAGAUAAUAUUACCCUUAACAACAGUUUGUAGAUGGAAAUAACAAAAAAAAAAAUUAAAAUUGUUGGCUAUUUUACCCUCUUUAAAUUAUUGAUAUUUUCUUAAAGUUCCUACAAGAAAGAUAAAAUUAAAAAUUUGAAAAAUUCUCUUUAAAUUAUUGAUAUUUUCUUAAAGUUCCUACAAAAAAGAUAACAUUAAAAACUUGAAAAUGAAAUAAUUAUAAUUUUUACCUAUGAUAUUGUAAAUCUUUGGAAUUGACAAGGAUAAAAUUGUCAAAAAAUAGGAUUUGUUCUUUUCGCACCAAUAAUUUUAAUUUUUUUUAGUUAUUUUCGUUUACAAACUAUUAUUAAGGGUAAUAUUGUCUUUACAUAGUCAACUAACGGUCAAUGUUAAAGUUAACUGACGGUAGGGGGUUUUUUACAAAUAAACAGAUUUUCACCAUCUACUUGCAACAAGCCCAAACCUCAAUUGAUGGUAUAGCCUGGUAGGGUAAUACUCUAGGUGGUCCCUUUAGCGUUUUUAGUUGUCGUACACUUCACUUGAAAUAAUAGUCAAUAAAGCUGCAUCUUCACUGGAAUUAUUGUCUACAGUUCUUCCUGAAAAAUGAGAUAAAAAAUAAUUUUAUGAUAAAUUAUUUAAAUAUACUCAUAAGAAAUUAUUUUUUAUAAAAAAUGAGUGCUUAAAAUAACUGUUUAGAGUGCAAAUAAUAUCGUCUAAUUAAUUGAUAAUACUCCCAGCACAAAUACAAUUUCUUAAUAGGACACGUGUCAGUAGAAUUGAGCACAGAAGCGUGAUUGGAAAAGUCUAUGGUGGAUUGUUGGGAAACUUAUACCAUCUCCACCUUUUUAUAAGAAAUUAUUUUUAAUAAUAAUAAUAAUUUAUAUCAUGAGUAUUUUUAUGAUAAAUUUUUUAUAAAAAAUGAGUGCUUAAAAUAACUGUUUAGAGUGCAAAUAAUAUCGUCUAAUUAAUUGAUAAUACUCCCAGCACAAAUACAAUUUCUUAAUAGGACACGUGUCAGUAGAAUUGAGCACAGAAGCGUGAUUGGAAAAGUCUAUGGUGGAUUGUUGGGAAACUUAUACCCUCUCCACCUUUUUAUAAGAAAUUAUUUUUAAUAAUAAUAAUAAUUUAUAUCAUGAGUAUUUUUAUGAUAAAUUUUUUAUAAAAAAUGAGUGCUUAAAAUAACUGUUUAGAGUGCAAAUAAUAUCGUCUAAUUAAUUGAUAAUACUCCCAGCACAAAUACAAUUUCUUAAUAGGACACGUGUCAGUAGAAUUGAGCACAGAAGCGUGAUUGGAAAAGUCUAUGGUGGAUUGUUGGGAAACUUAUACCCUCUCCACCUUUUUAUAAGAAAUUAUUUUUAAUAAUAAUAAUAAUUUAUAUCAUGAGUAUUUUUAUGAUAAAUUUUUUAUAAAAAAUGAGUGCUUAAAAUAACUGUUUAGAGUGCAAAUAAUAUCGUCUAAUUAAUUGAUAAUACUCCCAGCACAAAUACAAUUUCUUAAUAGGACACAUGUCAGUAGAAUUGAGCACAGAAGCGUGAUUGGAAAAGUCUAUGGUGGAUUGUUGGGAAACUUAUACCCUCUCCACCUUUUUAUAAGAAAUUAUUUUUAAUAAUAAUAAUAAUUUAUAUCAUGAGUAUUUUUAUGAUAAAUUUUUUAUAAAAAAUGAGUGCUUAAAAUAACUGUUUAGAGUGCAAAUAAUAUCGUCUAAUUAAUUGAUAAUACUCCCAGCACAAAUACAAUUUCUUAAUAGGACACGUGUCAGUAGAAUUGAGCACAGAAGCGUGAUUGGAAAAGUCUAUGGUGGAUUGUUGGGAAACUUAUACCAUCUCCACCUUUUUAUAAGAAAUUAUUUUUAAUAAUAAUAAUAAUUUAUAUCAUGAGUAUUUUUAUGAUAAAUUUUUUAUAAAAAAUGAGUGCUUAAAAUAACUGUUUAGAGUGCAAAUAAUAUCGUCUAAUUAAUUGAUAAUACUCCCAGCACAAAUACAAUUUCUUAAUAGGACACGUGUCAGUAGAAUUGAGCACAGAAGCGUGAUUGGAAAAGUCUAUGGUGGAUUGUUGGGAAACUUAUACCCUCUCCACCUUUUUAUAAGAAAUUAUUUUUAAUAAUAAUAAUAAUUUAUAUCAUGAGUAUUUUUAUGAUAAAUUUUUUAUAAAAAAUGAGUGCUUAAAAUAACUGUUUAGAGUGCAAAUAAUAUCGUCUAAUUAAUUGAUAAUCCUCCCUGCACAAAUACAAUUUCUUAAUAGGGCAGAAUUGAACAUAGAAGCAUGAUUGGAAAAGUCUAUGGUGGAUUGUUGGGAAAUUUACACCCUCUCUACCUUUUUGGCUGCAUUCACUGUUUUCGUAUUUCUUCACUGGAUAUGAAAGUCAGGAAGAAAGCUGCACCUUCAGUGAAAUUAAUUUGUCCACAGUGCCUCGAAAAUGAGAUGAAAUUAAUAAUUAUUCCCGAAACUUUUUUGUAGGGGGGGUAGGAGGGAUAUAUUUUAUUUCAUAUAUUUACUUCUCCGUUUAAGAUCCUUCCACUACAAUCAAUGAUGCAACUUUUUGAACCAUUUCUCAAAUGGAAGGAUUUCAAAUAUCCCUUUCUUUUUUUUUUUUGGGACAGUUCAAUUGCUGUCUUAUUAAUUAUUAUUAUUAUAUAUCUCUCCUUUGAUUGUCUCACGUCUUUAUGAAAUAUUUUUAGAAAAGUAAAUACUAAAUAGCUUUUGUUCACAAAUUAUUUUUGUUAGAGCUCAUAAUUUAACCAAAACAAAAAAAGAGGACAAAAGCAGGACACUAUUGCCAAUAGUUAUGGUCCGACAAAUUUGAGCAUCGAUCAAGAAAGCAAAGGGUAGCCGGUAGCGUAUGAAAUUGCGCGUUGAAAUUAGGGUGCUUUUGGGGAAUUCUUUGACCUUUUUAACAUUUUUCUUUCAACACUUGAAUAGCGCGGAAUAAUUUCAAUUAAAAGUGAACAAAGCUGCAUUUUAAGUGAAAGUAUUGUCCACAGUGCUAAGGAAAUCAAAUGAGAUGAAAUUAUCAAGAAACUCCCUGGAGGGUUCCAAGCAUCGUUUUACUCUUGACAGAUACUACAGUCACUAACAUUUGCUCGAGAAAACUACGCCGAAUUUUCCGGGAAAUUUUUUGCAUUUUCUCUUCAAACGUAAAGUUUGGGGGCAGAAAAGUUAAAAAGUUUAAAGGCGGGUACAAUUAUUCUUCUUCUUGUUAUUUACGCAUGGCAUCCCAUUUAGAUUAGUCGGACUUCAAUUAAUUUUAGGAGAUGAAACUACCACGAAAUUAACUCCAAGUGAGGGCCUAGUAAUGCAGCCAUGUAUUCCAUGCGUACUUUUUGUAUUGUAAGCCCCUUGUAUUCUGUUUUAUUUUAUUAAAACUCUUACAGUACCAAUUCGUCCUUAUAAUUUUAAAUUCCCAAAAUACCCUCCAUUUAAUUAAAAAAUAUAAUAAUUAUUAAAUAAAUUAUAAUUAUAAUAAUUAUUUUAUUAUAACUAUAACUAUAAUUAUAAUUUUAAAUAUAUCAUUAUUAUUAUUAUUAGUAACAAGAAUAAAAAAUAUUAUAAUUAAUUAAUCUAUUAAUAAUAAUUAAUAAUAAAUUUUUCGUUAAAUUGUUAAUAAUAAUAAUUAAUGAUAAUUAUUAUUAUUAAUGAUUCAUUUUUUAAUAAUAAUAAUAAAAAUAAUAACAAUAAUUAAAAUACAAAAUAAUAAUUAUGAUAAAAAUUAAUUAAGGAUUUUAUAGUAAUUUUUUACAAUUUAACUCAUUCUGAUUUUCAUUAUAAGACAAAUAAAACACAUAAAUGCUAAUACGGCUCAUUAUAAUUACGAUUCAUGCAGUUGAAGUAAAUAAAUUUUUCUAAUUUCAAUUCCUCAUUUUGAUUCUAGCUAUUUCGAUUAUAACUCAUUAUGUUUCCAACUAAUUUCAAUUUCUGUUUAGUGAACGCACUAUAAAAUUAUAAGCUACUCUAUAAAAUUCAUAAUACUUAUGAAUAAAUUGUAAAUAAUAUAGAGUGGUCUAAUUACAAUAAUAAAAUGUAAAUAAUAUAAAAUUCUAAUUGAAUGAUAUCAUUAUUCAAAAAUUAAUUAUUAAUAAUAAUGAUCUAUUAUUAUUAUUAUUAACAAUUUAACGAAAAAAUUCUUAUUAAUUAUUGUUAAUAGAUUAAUUAAUUAUAAUACUUUUUAUUCUUGUUAAUAAUAAUAGUAAUAAUCUAUUUAAAAAUCAUAAUUAUAUUUAUAGUUAUAACAAAAUAAUAAUAAUAAUUAUAAUUCAUUUAAUAAUUGUUCUAUUUUUUAAUUAAAUGGAGGGUAUUUUGGGAAUUUAAAAUUAUAAGGGGCGAAUUGGUACUCUAAGGGUUUCAAUGAAAUAAAACAGAGUGCAAGGGGCUUAAAGAAAGUUUACAAUACAGAAAGUUGUAUAAUACUUAUGAAUAAAGUGUAUAUAAUAUAAAGUAUAGGGGCUGAAUGAAAUUUGACAGGGCAGCUGUAACUUACCUCAGCUGUAAGUUAGCCAAAACAAUGGAGUUAACUAAAGUGCAUUUGAAGUCCAUUAGGGAUAUUCUUCUAAUCUUCUCUUCAUUAUUUUGUUUUUGCUCUUUUUUUUUUAAUCCCAUUUUUAGACGAUAUAGAUGUAUAUGUUUGAUUAGUCCUUGUCGAUUAUAUAUACAUAUGUACUUUUGGACUGUCAUGGGACUGUACCAUUUGGAAAUAUCACAUUUUAUUUCCCGAUGCGAUAAAUUUUCUUCUCCAUUGAACGUUCUCUGGAUGCUAUUAACCAAAAAAUGCAACAUUUUGUUCUGUUUAUAAAUUGGGAUUAUUUGCUUCUGACUGUCAUUGACUCAUUGACCAUUUAGCAAUAUAGCGUUAGGUAGUAGUACCAGCUCUUUUUCUUCUUUUGUCUUUCUCUUCUCUUAUGUUAAACCAUUAUUCUAGGCAUCUUCAUUGGGAUUAUUCCAUCUGUACUUUACCAAAGGGGAAAAAAAAUUGUCACGAAACAGCGUGGAAGGUUCAGAGAAAAAUUUGCUUGUGUUUUCUUUUUGUUAAAUUCAAUUGGUUGAAUUUAUUUUUUAUUUUUUUAAAAUAGAAAACUAUAUUACAAAACUUCCCGGUAGGUUCCAAGGAACUAUCUAAUAAAGCAUCUUUAUAUAACCUCCAUAGACUCAGUCGCAUUAAAUUAUUUUCACAUCCCAAAUUUUCUCAUCUGAUCAAUUUUCUCAUCCACUGAACUGUCAUGGCUUCUUCUUCUUUUUGUCCACCUCGAAACGCUAAGAAGAUGUAUGAUGUUUUUCUGAGUUUCAGAGGAGAGGACACCCGUGACAACUUUACUAGCAUUCUUUACUAUGUUUUGUCUCUGAAAAGUAUCAAAACUUUCAUUGAUGACCAACUUAUCAGAGGAGAGAACAUUUCUCAUUCUCUUCUUGAUACAAUUGAAGCAUCGAGCAUCUCAAUUAUCAUUUUCUCACAAAGGUAUGCUUCUUCUAGAUGGUGUCUCGAUGAACUUUUGAAGAUCCUCGAAUGCAAGCAUAAUUAUGGACAGAUUGUGAUUCCAGUUUUCUAUCACGUUGAUCCAUCACAUGUGAGAUCGCAAAGCCAGGAUUCUUCUUUUGGGAAGUAUUUUAGUGAGCUUGAAAAAUGUUAUCCAGAGAAGAUGCAAAGAUGGAAGAAUGCUUUGACCGAAGCAGCCAACCUCUCGUUUACAUAUAUUGAACUAUAUAAUUGCUGUUAUUUUUUUACCAGGUCUGAAUCUAAACUUAUUGAGGAAAUUGCCAAUGACGUUUUGAAGAGGCUAGAUGCGACUUUUCAAAGUAAAAACAAAGGCUUGGUUGGAGUUGAAUGCCCCAUUGAAGAAAUUGAAUCAUUAUUACGCGUUGGGUCUGAGGGUGUUUGCAAACUAGGGAUUUGGGGCAUCGGUGGUAUAGGCAAGACAACAAUCGCUGGUGCUGUUUUUAACAAAAUCUCUAGACAUUUUGAAGGUUCUUACUUUGCGCUUAAUGUUAGAGAUGCAGAAGAAACUGGCGGAAUAAAGGACUUACAAAAGGAACUUCUGUCCAAGUUAUUGAAUGAUGGAAAUGUGAGGAACAUCGAGUUUGAACUCUACAGACUUGCUCGCAAGAAGGUUCUAAUUGUUUUUGAUGAUGUGACUCAUCCAGGACAAAUAGAAUCAUUAAUUGGAUGCCUUGAUCAGUUAGCUUCAGGGAGUCGAGUGAUGAUAACAACAAGGGAUAAACAAGUUCUUGAAAAUUGUUGGGUCAAUCAAAUAUAUCCGAUGAAGGAAUUAGUAGAUGCUGAUGCUCAUAAGCUUUUCUAUCAGUGUGCUUUUAGAGGAGGCUAUCUCGACGCAAGUUACACAGAGGUCACAGCCAAGGCAAUAAAAUAUGCGCACGGAGUUCCUUUAGCUCUUAAAGUUUUGGGUCGCCAUCUAUGCGGAAGGAGCAAAGAGGUAUGGGAAAGUGCAAUGAGAAAACUGGAAAUAGUUCCUCACAUGGAUAUCCAAAAGGUGUUAAAAAUCAGUUAUGAUAGCUUGGAUGACUCUCAGAAGAAUGUUUUUCUAGAUAUUGCAUGUUUCUUCGAAGGAGAGCAUAGAGAUGUGGUGAUAAGCUUUUUUGAUGCCAGUGGCUUCCAAGCUCAAAUAGAGUUAAGUGUUCUUGAAGAUAAGUCCCUCAUAACUUUAGACAACUUUCACCGGAUAAGAAUGCAUGACUUGCUACGAGAUAUGGGAAGAGAAAUUGUUCGAAAUGAAUCUUUCGAUCAUCCAGGAAAGCGCAGUAGGUUGUGCAAUCAUAAUGAUAUUUAUGAAGUUUUGAAGAAAAAUACGGUAAGCAAUAAUAACUUUUCAAUUGUAUCUUGUUUAUGUUACAUUUAUAUUAGUAGUUUGUCUGAAUUUUUCUUUUUGAAUAAGAAUAGCAUUAAUACAGCUUAAAAUUAAUUGAAAAAUAAUAUUAAAAAAUUGGUAAAAUAAAAUAGAUAGAUCCGAUGUUUCCCCAUCUCAGUUUGAAACAUGCCUCUAAAAUCCCCAGCAAACUAGCGCCUUCGGAGAGAGACACCCCCCCUCCAAAAAAAAAAAACACUUCAAUCUUAUUGCAUUUCCUUUUCAACUCUGCCCCUUUCCUUAUUUGUCACUAAAAAAAAUUGAUUGAAUUAAUUUUACAGUUUACAUAUUAAGCAUUUUCUUGAAUUUUCUAUUUUACACGUCCUAAAAGCCUUACCCAAAUAGUUUAUUAUAAAGUGAUUGUAAUAUCUCUAUUUGGGUUUGACGGCUUAAAAAUAAUUGUUCAUUUGUUUGCUUCAAUUAUAUACCAACUUAUGAUCUCUUAUUUGAUUGUUAGGGAACUGAAGCAAUCAAGGGCAUCUCUUUAGAUAUGGAUAAAGUCAAUAGUGAGAUACAAAUAAAUACUUGUACUUUCUCAAAGAUGACUAGAUUGAGAGUCUUAAAAUUCUAUGGAUAUGAGAACAAAUGUACGGUGUCUUCUUUAGUGGGUGUGCCAUUUACUGAGGUGAGGUAUUUCGAGUGGCAUCAAUUUCCAUUGAAAACGUUGAAUAUAUUACAUUGGAAGAAUCUUGUUUCACUUAUCAUGCCAGGCAGCAAAGUUAAACAACUUUGGGAUGACGUUCAGGUAUAUAUUUAUUUGAAAUUCUUUUAGUAAUAAAUUCUAAAUACAAUUGAUGCUAUAAUAAAUAUAUGUGAUGGCAUCUCUUUAUUUAUAGAGAUAACAACAACAACAACAAUAAUAAUAAUAAUAAUAAUAAUUUAUUUUGGGGCGCAGGAUCUUGUUAACUUAAAAGAAAUAGACAUCAGUGGAUCCGAGUCAUUAACGAAACUCCCGGACUUGUCACGGGCCAAAAAUCUUGAGAUUCUGGAGUUAGAAGGCUGUUUAAGUUUGAUGGAGACUCACCCAUCUAUUCAAUAUCUAAAUAAACUUGAAUUUCUUGGUCUAGGUAAUUGCAAAAGCCUGACGAGUCUUCCAACUAGCAUUCAUUCGAAAUAUAUCAAGGAAAUUAGUCUUUGGGGUUGCUCAAAUUUGAAGAACUUCCCAGAGAUCACAUCUUGUCAAACUUCUUUUUUAGAUUUAGGAGAAGUUGGAAUCAAAGAACUGCCCUCAUCCAUUGAGUGCCAGUCCAAUCUGAAACGACUACUUAUUACGGAUUGUUCAGAGCUUGAGAGCAUCUCGAGUAGCAUAAUUAAGUUGAAGUCUCUUAAAUCUAUUGAAAUCUGUAAUUGUUCAAAUUUUAAGAGGUUUCUAGAGAUCCCAUCUUGUAAUGUAGAUGGAGGUGCUGGAAUUGAGCAACUACACUUAUGUGUGUUGGUAUUGAAAGAAUGUCCAAAUAUUGAGAGUCUCCCAAGCAGCCUGUGUAUUCUCAAAUCUCUGACGUCUCUUUGAAUCAUUGAUUGCCAAAACUUCAAGAGAUUGCCUGAUGAGCUUGGAAAUUUAGAAGCCUUGAAGAAGUUGAUCGUUAAUGGAACUGCCAUAAGAGAAGUACCAGAAAGCCUCGGUCAGUUAGCCAUAUUACAGCGGUUGAAAUUGACUAACUGUUCAGAGCUUGAGAGCAUCUCGAGUAGCAUAUUUAAGUUGAAGUCUCUUCAAUUUAUUGAAAUCUCUAAUUGUUCAAAUUUUAAGAGGUUUCUAGAGAUCCCAUCUUGUAAUGUAGAUGGAGGUGCUGGAAUUGAGCAACUACACUCAUGUGUGUUGGUAUUGAAAGAAUGUCCAAAUAUUGAGAGUCUCCCAAGCAGCCUGUGUAUGCUCAAAUCUCUGACAUCUCUUGAAAUCAUUGAUUGCCAAAACUUAAAGAGAUUGCCUGGUGAGCUUGGAAAUUUCGAAGCCUUGAAGAUGUUGAUCGUUAAUGGAACUGCUAUAAGAGAAGUACCAGAAAGCCUUAGUUACUCCUAUUAGUAAAAUUGGACCUAUCUAGCAAUAAUUUGCAGUGAAUACCAGAAAGCCUUGGUCGGUUAUCCUCGCUAAAACGUUUGGUACUGUCUAAUAACAAUUUGGGUAGAUUACCAGAAAGCCUCAAUCAGUUAUCUUCACUAGAAUAUUUGCAACUAUCCGAAAACAGUUUGGAGGGAAUACCAGAAUACCUGAGGAGUCUUCCAAGUAAGUUGACAUCACUCAAUUUAUCUGUUGAGUUGAGAAAUUGUUUGAAAUUGGACCCGAAUGAGCUCAGUGAAAUCGUCAAAGAUCAGUGGAUGAAGCAGGUGUGUCUCUCAACUCACUCCUUUCAUUCUAUUUUCUUUUUCUUUUUACUUUAAAUCAAGUUAUCAUUAUUUUUCAAAAAUUAAUAAUUUUUUAUUUUUGUGUUGCAGUCGUUUGAUGGUAACAUUGGGAUUACUAAAAGUAUGUAUUUCCCUGGGAAUGAAAUUCCAAAGUGGUUUAGGUAUCAAAGUAUGGGAUCUUCUGUAACCUUGAAAACGCCACCAGCAGAUUUCUUCAAUAAUAAAAUAUCAGUAGGCUUUGCUUUUUGUGCUGUUGUGGCAUUUCCUGCCUCAGAGUGGUUUGAGGAUCAAAGAGUGAAGUCUGCAGUGUGCUGUGGUUGGAAACGCAAAUCCAAAUACUAUCCCUACCGUCAGUCUUUGGGGACAAUUAGUUAUGUUGAGUCAGAUCACGUGUUUUUGGGAUCUUAUUUAUUCUGUAGUGAGGAUUUAAGUAAGAGAGAUGACGAGGUCUAUAUUGAUGAGGUCUCUUUCGACAUUUCGCCUAGUUUUGGUUGUAAAGUGAAACAAUGUGGGAUUCAUUUUGUGCACGCUCAAGAUUCUACGGAAUCAAGAGAAGAGGAAGAGGAACCACACACCAAAAGACUGAAAUGUUCUUGAACUCCAAAGCAGCUGGUACUCUUUGGCACGAAAAUCAAUCUGUAGACCUUGUUUUUGUCUUCAUUUUAUAUAUGCGUUUUUCAAAUACGUUCGUUUAUGUAAAAUUUAUUAAUUGUUUGUUGUUGGAUGGAUGAAUCAAUAAAUUCAAAAUAAAUGGUAAUUAACCGAGGAUGUAGAUCUAUGAGUUCUCUCUUUGUUUUAUCUUUAAUUUGUGUUCGGUUCAUGUCUGGAAUAUCCCAAAAAUUACAUAUCCAAUUACUAACUAAAAAUGCGCUGAUUAGAUUAAAGAUUAUUUUAGUUAUUCUUACUUUUUCAGUUUUCAAACUUUAUAAGAAUAAAAUCGUUUUAUUAAGUUUUGAGAUUUGAAUUUAAACCAAAAUACAAAUUUACUCUUGAGGAUUAAAUUUACCAUAUUUUAAAUUAAUGACAAGAUGUAUGAUGUGAAAAUUACUAUUCCUAUGAGUAGUGAUCUCAGCAAGACAGUAAAGUACAUAUUUACUGAGUCAUCAUAUAGUACCGCGCUGUAUGUAAUACAGCAGCUUCAACAGUGAAAAAAAAAUUUGAACAACCGGUAUUUUACCGGUUGUUCAUCUAAAAUUUGUAAAAAAAUUAUUUCUAAUGUGAAAAAAAUGAGGAAAUUUAUAAACAAUUAAUAUUAAAAAGAUUUGAGUGAGAAAAAUAUUUUUAAUUUAAAAGAAAGUUAAAAAAAGAGUAAAAUAAUCAUGUUCCAAUUUUUUUGGUUAAAUAUCAAUAUAUUAGGUGGACGUUUCAAAUUAAUUUUACAUGUCCCUAAUUUUCGUUAAACUUUCUCACUAAUUGGUUUAUUUGUUUCCACUUCUCAAUCCACUAGUUUUAUGUAUAGUAUUCCUACUAAAUUCGUUAAAUGCAAAUUUUUUAGGUUAGAUUCCAAGUAAAUUAAUUUCUCGUUGAAUUAGUUCCUAAAUUUGGUUACACUUUCUCCCUUUUUGGUUUAUAUGUUUCAACUAUUAUUUCACAAAUUUUACUUUCAAUAUUCCAAUUUGCUUGGUAAGAUUUCAUUUAUUUGGGUUAAAUACCGAAAUGAUUUUUUUUUGUUAAACAAGUUCCCAAUUUUGGUUAAACUUUUUCAUAUUUAGUUUCACAUGUUUCAAAUUAUUAGUCCACUAGUUUUGUGUUAGGUAUUCCUACUAAGUUCGUUCAAUACUAAUAUUUUGGGUUAGAUUCCAAGUAAUUUUCAUUUCCCGUUGGAUGAGUUACUAAUUUUCGUUAGAUUUUCUCGCAUAUUGGUUCAAAUGUUUCAUCUAAUUAUUCCUCUAGUUUUGCAUUGAAUAUUCCUAUUAACUUGGACAGAUUCCAAUUAUUUGGGUUAAGUACCGAAUUUAUUUUUCGUAAUUUUAUUUUUGGUUAAAUAAGUCCCUAAUUUUGGUUAUAUUUUCUCCCUUGUGGGGUUAUAUUUUCACUAGUUUUGUGUUCAAUAUUCCAAUUAACUUGGUAAGAUUUCAUUUAUUUGGGUUAAAUACUGAAAUAAUUUUUUUUUGUUAAAUUAGUUCCCAAUUUUGGUUAAGCUUUUUCGUAUUUAGGUUCACAUGUUUCAAAUUAUUAGUCCACUAGUUUUGUGUUAGGUAUUUCCACUAAGUUCGUUUAAUACCAAUAUUUUGGGUUAGAUUCCAAGUAAUUUUCAUUUCCCGUUGGAUGAGUUCCUAAUUUUCAUUAGAUUUUCUCGUUUAUUGGUUCAAAUGUUUCAUCUAAUUAUUCCUCUAGUUUUGUGUUGAAUAUUCUCAUUAACUUGGACAGAUUCCAAUUAUUUGGGUUAAGUACUGAAUUUAUUUUUCGUAAUUUUAUUUUUGGUUAAGUAGGUUCCUAAUUUUAGUUAUACUUUCUUCCUUGUGGGUUUAUACGUUUCAAUUAUUAUUCCACUAGUUUUGUGUUCAAUAUUCCAAUUAAUUUGAUAAGAUUUCAUUUAUUUGGGUUAAAUACCGAAAUAAAUUUUUUUUGUAAAUUAGUUCCCAAUUUUGGUUAAGUUUUUUCAUAUUUAGGUUCAUAUGUUUCAAAUUAUUAGUCCACUAGUUUUGUGUUAGGUAUUCCUACUAAGUUCAUUCAAUACCAAUAUUUUGGGUUAGAUUCUAAGUAAUUUUCAUUUCCCGUUGGAUGAGUUCCUAAUUUUCGUUAGAUUUUCUCGCUUAUUGGUUCAAAUGUUUCAUCUAAUUAUUCCUCUAGUUUUGCGUUGAAUAUUCCCAUUAACUUGAACAGAUUCCAAUUAUUUGGGUUAAGUACCGAAUUUAUUUUUUGUAAUUUUAUUUUUGGUUAAAUAAGUCCCUAAUUUUGGUUAUAUUUUCUCCCUUGUGGAGUUAUAUGUUUCAAUUAUAAUUUCACUAGUUUUGUGUUCAAUAUUCCAAUUAACUUGGUAAGAUUUCAUUUAUUUGGGUUAAAUACCGAAAUAAUUUUUUUUGUUAAAUUAGUUCCCAAUUUUGGUUAAGCUUUUUCAUAUUUAGGUUCAUAUGUUUCAAAUUAUUAGUCCAUUAGUUUUAUGUUAGGUAUUCCUACAAAGUUCGUUAAAUACCAAUAUUUUGGAUUAGAUUCCAAUUAAUUUUCAUUUCCCGUUGGAUAAGUUCCUAAUUUUCGUUUGAUUUUCUCGCUUAUUGGUUCAAAUGUUUCAUCUAAUUAUUCCUCUAGUUUUGUGUUGAACAUUCCCAUUAACUUGGACAAAUUCCAAUUAUUUGGGUUAAGUACCGAAUUUAUUUUUCAUAAUUUUAUUUUUGGUUAAGUAGGUUCCUAAUUUGGGUUAUAUUUUCUCAUAUUUGGUUUUAUAUGUUUCAACUAUUAUUUCACUAGUUUUGCGUUCAAUAUUCCAAUUAAUUUGGUGAAAUUUCAGUUAUUUAUGUUAAAUAUCAAAAUUACUUGUAUUACCGGAAACAAUAAUUUUAAUAAGUUGAAUUAUGUUUGAACCCUUACUAUUUUGUAAAAUAUCAACUUACCAUAUAAUACUAAAAAAAUUUCAUUGUAACACUUAAUCUUUUCCAAUAUUUUGGGUCCUUAACCUAAUUCCCUUUUAUAUAUAUCAUGAGAUCUCUUGAACUUGAUUGUAUAUAUACUUGAGCUUUUAGUCUCUAUACAUAUUUAUUCUCAUUUUAUCAUUUUAGUUGAUUAUUUUUAGUUAUUGUUAAAAUAAAUUAAUGCUUUUAUUUUCAUCUCUCUUUACUUUUUAAAAUAAUUUUUUAAUUUUUCAAAACUUCGACAGCAAAUAAAAAAUAACAUGUAAGAGCGCAUGGAAUUGCUAUGCUUCUCCAAAAAAUUAUUUUUAAAAAUUAUGACGGCAUAAGUUAUAAAAAAUAUUUAAGCUAACAAAAAUUGAAACUUUCUUAAUCUAUUUGUGUUGAAUUUUUUUUUUUUUUUUUGGAAUCAAUUGACUUCAGGAGAUUUCUUGAACUUGAAAUUAUUUAUACUUAACCUUUGAUCUUUAUAAAUGUUAUGCCCAUUUUAUAAUUCAAUUAAUUAUAUUUAUUUAUCUUUAAACUAAAAUAAAUCAAGAAUUAAGAUUUUUUUAUUCAAAUUAAAUUUUUACCACUAUGUUUUCUUUUCAAAUUAUUUUUCUUAAUUUCUUAUUACUUCAACCAAAAAUUUAUGCUAUUAAUUAUAAAUAUUAAUAUAUUAUACUUGUAUUAUUAUCACUAUUAUUAUUUUUUUUACUAUUACUAAAAGCUUAAUAUUUUUACUAUCUUGCCCCAUGAGAUUUGUUAACAAUUUUUUUUUUAAUAAUGAGUAUCCUUCUUUUUUGUUUUUAAGUAUGGAUAUAAUUUUUAAUUUAUAUAAUAAGUUCUUAAAUUUUCAAGACUUAACUAAAAUAAUUUUUAAGAGUUUGUUAUGACUAAUAUGGUUAUGAAAAUUUAUUACUAUGGUAGCAACACUUUAUACCAUACCAUUUUAUAUUUAUUACUAUACCAAAAUUUGUUUAUUUAUUUUAUGAUUAUCCCAUGAACUGUGAAAAUUAACUUUUAUAUUAAAAUUGAAAAUUUUUAAAUUAGUAUUACAUUGAUCCAAUUCUACUAAGCCACAAUUUAUUUAUCUUUAACGAAUGCUUUAAACACAGUAAACGCAAUUCAAAUUCAAAAAUAUUUUGUAAAAUAAAAAAAUAAAAAUCAAUGCAAUCAAGAAAGAAGAAAAUAUAUUAAACAUUAAUUUUUCUUCCUAAAUUAAAUAUUGAAAAGAUAUUUUUCUCUAGUAGGUAAAUUCAACACCGUAAUUUAACAAUAAUGUCGACUUUUAUUUUUAAACUAUUUUUUUAUUACUCCGAAUUGCAAUACAUUUUUAUAGGUCAUAAAAAUUAAUAACCAAUAAUGAAAGUAUCUUUAUUUAUUCAAUAUCAAUAUUCAUUACUUCAGGAGAUAUGAUCAUAAAUUUGAUUAUCCCUAGUACAAACAAAAUAAGUUAAUCAUUUUUCACGACUUAAACAAAAAUUAUCUUAGUAGCUAAAAUUAUUUUUAAAAGCUUAAUAUUUGGAUGGAUAUUCCAACUAAUAUGGUGUUACAACAUAACACUGUGAUAUAAGAAACAACAUUCACUUAUAUGAUUUUGGUCUGCACUUAAUAAUGGAGUUUCACAUUAAUAAUUUCACUCAAAUUCGAAGAGUACAAUUGAACCUUUAGAUAUACUAAAAAGUAAAAAAAAUAAUACACAAAAAUCUCUCAUUUCAACUUUUCAAUGCUUGCUUGCUCUUUAAAGAUGGAGAAAUCAUAGAGUACCUGUAGAAUAAGAACUCAAUUUAUAGAUUAAAAGAAGUUAAAGAGAAUUGCUCAAUUGGAGGAUGAAUUAAACAAAAAUUAAGUUCAUUUACAACUGAAUUAGAUGGUAGCCAAUUCUUGUUCAUGACUCAACUAUAUAGCAUUAGUUCAUUCAAAAACUUAUAAUUUUUAACAUUAUUUUUUUUAAUUAAGUAUCAUUCUCGUUUAAAUAUCCCUAUAAUUUUUCAUUUACCAAAAUAAGUUAUUCAAUUUUUAGGACUUAACUAGAAAUACAAUUAUUUAGGACUCAACUAAAAGAGUUCUUCAAUUUUUAUCAUGACUAAUAUGGCAUUAAAAAAAUAUCUUGUUGCAAUGCCUGCCCAUAUUUUUAACUCUGGUUAGUGAGAGUAAAACAAUUUCAAAUAAUAAAAUUCUUAUUUUUACACCUAUGAAUAAAGAAAUAAAACCGCACCUGCUCAGCUGUAAAUUCCUCGGGCGCAUCUGAGUCAAAUGAAAAUUUAUAUUGUAAGCAUGCGAGUCAGUCGGGCGUCAGCGGCUUUAUUGUGAUGGGUGUGGCGGCAGCCAGCAGCUUCAAAUUUGCGAGAGAAGGAACCCAGAUGAAUGGGUUAGGCUGUGGCUAUGUUAAAAGUGUUAGGGUCUGUUCUGUUUUGUGGCUUUAGAAAAUUGGGAAUUUAGGGAUCGGGUUUGGGUUUGGGUGUUUGGCUUUGAACAAUUUAUGCUUUUUUCUUUCAAUUAUAAGGUAUAACCCGAUUAGCUUCAGUAAAUUCAAUCUCCAACCUUCUUCGUGCUUUGGUAGCGCAAGAGAUGAUGACUCUUUUAAACGGUCAACGACAGCCUUUGAUUGACCUCCACUUGAUUUAGCUCACAGGUCUAGGAUUUGCGUGCAGAGAAAGUGAGAUACGGAAACAGCUAGUGGCUGAUACAUAGGACCGUAAUGGGCGUAGGAAUGAAGACGGCGGCAACUGCUCGCUUGUUGGCUUGUGAGGGUUUGACGUGAGUGAGCGUCUUUGAUGGUUUAAGGAGAGCGGCUAGGGUUUCCAAAGAAAUGUCAUAAUGUGAGUAUUUAUAUUAUCAGUAGAAAUUGGAAAAAAAAAUAUGAAAGUUUUCAAAUUAAUAAAAAAGAUAAUAAAAGUUUGAUGAAUAAUAAAACUUCCAUAGAUAGAUUUGUUGUGACCAUUCAAAAUCUCAAAAUUCAUUUUUGUAAUUUGGUAAAUAAUAUUUUCAUUUUUACCUGCCAAGAUAAAACUUUUUUAUGUGAAAAUUUUACAUAAUACAUACAUACAUACAUACAUACAUACAUAUAUAUAUAUAUAUAUAUGUGUGUGUGUGUGUGUGUGUGUGUGUGUGUGUGUGUGUGUGUGUGUGUGUGUGUGUCUAUAUGUAUAUAUAUGUAUAUAUUUUGUUGAUAUAAAAUUAAUUAUUUACAACUAUAUUAAUAAUUUAAUAUAGAUGAGAUACACUACUAUGUAAAUAUAUUAAUAAUCAAAUUAUGGCUAUUAGUUAAUUUAGUUGUAAAUCAUUUGAGUUCAAAACAAAACAAUUGAGGUUUGAAUCUAUGGGCACAAAUUUAGUUGUUAUUAAGCUAUAUUGAAAAACAAUCAUAUUCAAAUUCAAUUCCUUUUACCACUAGAAUAAAAUUAUAUAUAUAUAAUUUAGUUAGAAGUAUAACGAAAACAUUUUUCACUGCACAUAAGAUAAUAUUAUAACAAGUUCAACAUGCAUAAAUAAAAAUAGAUUCAUAAGAUUAUAUUUCUCUCCAAUAGAAUAGAGAGUUUCAAAAGUAAAUUUAGUCAAACAUACUACUUAAUAUGAAAAUGGAUAUAUAAUUUUUAUAUUUUUAUAUGGUUUUAUAUAAUUUUAUUAUUUUUAGUUGUUAUAUAAAUUAACUUAAUUUUAGAAAAAUAUGGAUAUAAAUGUAAGAUUGAACAAAUUUUGUGAUAAUUGUGCAUCAUUCAAUAUAAAAAAUUACAAAUCAUGUAACUAUCUAGUGAGUGCAGUAUUACUCAAAUAAUUUGAUUUAAUUUAGAAAUAUAUUUGCCAUGCUUAAAUUAUUAUAUUGUAAGUACAAUAUAAUAUAACAUUAUUCAAUAUUAGUUGCAUUUAAAUUGUAAUUACCCAUGUCAUGUACCAAUAUGAAUUUGAUUAAUGUUUAACAAAAAAAUUAUUAUAGCAAAAAAGAUUAAAUAAAGUAAUUAAUUUACAUAAGUUUGUAUGAAUUAAUUUGCAUAAGAGAUUGUUUGUGAGUUUUAUUUAAAAAUAUCAAAUAUUAGAUGCUUUAUAUUUGUGGUAUAUAUAAAACAUAUUAAUGUUAGCCUCUAAUAAUAACAACAAUAUUUGAGGGGUAAUUACAUGUUUGGAAUCAUAAUAAUUCGAUAGUUGGAUGAACAUUACCAUCAUUUUAGUAGGUAGAGAUUUAAAUCCCUAUAUGUGUAUCAUGAGAUAGUAAGAUUGAUUUCUUCCAAAUAUUUAGAAAUAAAUUGAUUUCAUUAUGUGUUUAGAUAUUUAGAUUGUAAUGCAAUUAAAGAUGAUAAAAUUGUUUUGAUAGUUUCUUAAGAAAAAUAUCAUUACAUUUAUAACAUAAUAAUAAAAAUAGCUUAAUUAAUAUAUAAUUUAUUUUAAUUUAUUAUAUUUAAAUAUUAUUCUCAUUAGUACAUAAGUUACGUUUUUUAAAGCAAAAUAUCAUUUAAUUUAUAACAUAAUAUUAAAAAAUAAUAUAAUUAUAGUUUUAAAUAUAGUAGUUUAAUUAAUUUUAUUUAAUUAUAUUUUUUCAUUAGUACAUAGCUUAAAUAUAUUAACUAUAUUUUCCAUGAAUUAAAAGAAAAAAGAAGUAUUUUCAUUUUUUAAAGUUGAGGGGUUCUUUGAUAGUUUAAUAGUUUUGAAUUGCUUUUCUUAAUAUUUACCUAAAAUGAGGGAUCUGUGUGAUAGUUACCUUUUAAUUUUGACCUCUUUAACCAAUUAAAACGAUGGUACCGGUGGCCGGUUACCUGCUGAAUUAAAAAAAUAAAAAAAUGCGGCUGUACGAGAUACAGCGGCUGUAUUUUAAGCGGACCCAUACUACUUGUGAUAAAUUACAGGCUCUGUUUAACAUAUAAAAAUAACAAAUUUUAAAUAUUACAAACAAUAACAGAAUCAUAUGCUGUUAUUGUAAAUAAACCCCACCAUUCCGUUUCAAGUUUCCACAGUCAGUUCCAUUGAUCAUAUGCUGAAGCUACGGUGGAAUGAUAGAUCUUCUUUUAGUUUCCUGCACAUCGAAACUCUCUAAUUGGUGUGUUGUUUUUUCGUGAAAUUUCUAAUAUCUAUUAAUAAUUUCUUAAUGUAAAUGAGAAGUUAGUAGAUCAUGGGAUGAGAGCCGAAGACUUUUUGGCUGAUCUAACUCCUAUUACAAUCAAGUUGGUAACUGCAUUUGGUAAUUACAUCUUCAGUACUUGCAAUCUUUUAUCGCCUUUAGUAAGAAAUCAGAAAAAGGAUGUUUGGAAGCUGAGAAAAUUUAAGAACUGAAAGCUUUUAGCUCACACGAUUUUAUUCAUCUAAAACUUACUUAUGAAACUGUACACAGAGAUGCUUAUAUACACAACUGAUGCUCAGCUCAAUUAGUUAACUAAUUACAAAACUAAUUCUAGCUAGCUAUAACAACUUCAACUAAUUAUCACGUGAACAAGUGAUUACAUAACCACCAGGUGCCAGCUGGCAUGCCAUGUCAUCAACUCUUAACUGUAAGCUGGAGCUGCUGCUAUCCUCUGCUUUACAGUCUAUGCUACUGAUGUGUGCUUCCUUAACAUCCCCUCUCAAGCUCAAAGGUCUACUAACGACAUUGAGCUUGGAUCUAAAAAAGCUGAAUUUAGAAAAAGAUAAGGGCUUAGUCAGAACAUCAGCUACUUGUUCUUCAGUAGGAAUGUAUCUAACCUCCAAUUCUUUUCCAAGCACUUUGUCUCUAACAUAAUGAACAUCCAACUCUAUGUGCUUAGAUUUUGAGUGAAACACAGGGUUGCGAGCUAGCUCCCCUGCACUUUGGUUAUCACACCAAAGAACUGGAGUAGGUAGUUUAGCAAUGUUGAGUUCUGAAAAUAAAGACUGCAACCAAGAAAUUUCUGAGCAUGCUGCUGACAGGGCUCGAUAUUCACUUUCUGUGCUUGACUUUGCUACAAUUGCUUGCUUUUUGGAAGACCAUGAAAUCAGAUUGUUACCCAAGUAUAUACAAUAGGCUCCAAUUGAUUUUCUGUCGUCAAGAUCACAAGCCCAGUCAGCAUCUGUAUAGCCUGUUAUUCCAAUUUCCAGAGUUGCUUCCUUUCUAAGAUAGAGACCAUAGGUGAUGGUUGACUGGAGAUAUCGAAGAACUCUUUUGCAGGCUAACCAGUGCUGAACAGUAGGAGAACUGAGGUAUUGACUGAGCUUAUGAACUGAAUAAGCUAUAUCCGGCCUGGUGAGAAUUAGAUAUUGUAACCCUCCAACUAUGCUUCUGUAUUGUGUUGGAUUUUCGAACUCCUGACCCAAAGGACCCCUGACAUUUCUUUCUAGCUUCAAACCAGUACUAAGAGGAGUAUCAGACCCUUUGCAAUUCUCCAUAGAUGCUUUACUCAGCAAGUCUUUAAUAUACUUUGUUUGAGAUAGAUGCAUACCUUCAUCAAAGUAACUAACUUCAACACCUAGGAAGUAAGCAACUAAUCCCAGAUCUUUCAAGGCAAAUGUCUGACUGAGUUUAACAAUAAAAUCCUCUAGUAAAGCAGAAUCUGGUCCAGUGACUAGAAUAUCAUCCACAUAGAUCAAUACUAUGAUUAAGCCCCUUGUAUCAUGUUUAAUGAAUAGAGAUGUAUCAGCCUUUGAAUUAAGAAAUUGCCAAGUAGUUAGACAACCCUUCAAUUUUUCAUACCAGGCUCGUGGAGCUUGUUUUAGACCAUAGAGAGCUUUAUUGAGUUUGCAGAUGUACCCUUCCUUAGUUACAAAGCCUUCUGGUUGUGUCAUAUAUACGUUCUCAGAAAGAUCUCCAUUAAGGAAUGCAUUAUUUACAUCAAUUUGUCUGACUUUCCACCCUUUUAUAACUGCCAAGCUGAGUAUGACUCUAACUGUUGAAGACUUCACCACUGGACUGAAAGUUUCUGAAUAAUCUACCCCUGCUGUUUGGUGAAAUCCCUUUGCAACCAAUCUAGCUUUAUACUUGCUGACAGUUCCAUCUGUGUUAUACUUUGUUCUGAAUACCCACUUACAACCAACUAGCUUGUAUGUAGAAGACAUUGGCACAAGAGUCCAAGUGUUGUUGUGAAUAAGAGCAUCAUACUCAGUUUGCAUUGCAUCUUUCCAUUUAGGAUCUGAUAAUGCCUCAGGGACAGUGGAUGGUUCUAAGCUGUUGUGAGUUGUUAGAAAGGUCUUUGGUUUGAAAAUACCAGCUCUAGCUCUGGUUAUCAUAUGAUGGGUGGAAGUAGAAGGUUUAGGCUGAGAUGUUUGUGUUGUGCAGGGUAUUUGUGGUGCUGGUGACUGGGGUGCAGGUGAAGGCAAAGAUGUAGAGGUCUGAUUUGUGGGUGACUGAGAUUGAGGUGAAUUUGAUGAUAAAGAAUGAUUGACAGGGAAUUGAUCUGCUGCAGUAGCUUCAAGACUGUUCAGAUUGCUAUUAGGAACUGACAGAGUAAACCUUUGAAAAAGAUUAUAUUGAAAAUCAGAGGAAGUGUGUUUAGAAGAGGAAGAAAAAUUUGGAUCUGAAAUGUAAGGGAAAGUGGUUUCAUCAAACAAUACAUGACUGGCAAUAUAAAUUUUGCCUGAUGAAUGUAGACACUUAUAGCCCUUAUGUGAAGGACUAUAUCCUAAGAAGACACACUUUGAAGUAUGGAAAUGGAAUUUAUGGUUAUUGUAUUCUCUGAGAAAAGGAAAACAAGAACAUCCAAAUGUUCUUAGAAAGUUAUAGUCUGGUUGAUGAUGAAAGAUUGAUUCAUAUGGAGUUUUCAUUGCUAGAAUAGGUGUUGGUAAUCUGUUAAUGAGAUAGGCUGCUGUAUGAAAAGAAUCCCACCAGAAUUUGAUAGGUAAUUUAGCUUGUGCAAGAAGAGUAAGACCUGAUUCAGUAAUGUGUCUGUGUUUCCUUUCUACCAAACCAUUUUGGUUAUGUGUAUAAGGACAAGAGUGUCUAAAUUCUAUCCCUUCUUCUUGAAGAUAUUUGCUAAAGGAUCUGAAUUCCCCUCCCCAGUCAGAUUGAAGACAUUUAAUGGGCUGUUCUAAUUGUUUUUCAACUUGAGCUUUGAAAAUUUUGAACACAUGAAGAGUUUCAUCUUUGGUUUUCAGGGGAAAUAUCCAAGUGAAUCUGGUAAAAUCAUCCACAAAGCUCACAUAAUAUUUAUAACCUUGUGUGGAAACCACUGGAGCUGGUCCCCAUAAAUCAGUAUGUAAAAUGGCUAAAGGUUGUUUUGUUUUUGUUUCAGUUGCUGGAAAGUGUAAUCUAUGCAUUUUCCCAAAUUUACAAGCAUCACAUGAAUCAAACUCUUUAUUUCCAUUGAUAGGUUUGAAAGAGGAACAAGAUUGUAUUACAUGGUUUAAGAUCUUAGAGUUAGGAUGACCUAGCCUCUGAUGUAAUACAGAAGUGCUUAAAAGACACUUAGAGUUCAUACAAGGUUCUGCUGCCACAUUUUGCAAGCAGUGAUUAUUUGACUGACUGAGAUUGACAGUUGAUAGCAUUGACAAAGGAACAAAUGACUGAAAAGAAGACUCAAUAUUGGCAACAUGACCUUGAAAGGAAGACUGAGCAGAAGUUUUAUUUGAGGACACUAAUAGCAAUCUGUACAAGCCUUUUUCAGCCUUGCCCUGCAGUAUGAUCAAAUUCUUCACCUUGUCCUUCACAAAACAAGAUUUGUCAGUAAACUCAACUGUGAUAUUGUUGUCUUUGGUUAGCUGAGAAAUGCUUAUAAGGUUCUUGGUUAUUUGUGGAACUAAAAGUAUAUUGUUUAGUUUAAUCACAGUGGAAUCAGUGCAGUUGUGCAAUCUCAGAACAGCUUUUCCAAUAUUUGUAAUAUUCAAGCCAGUACCAUUACCAAUAAUGAGUUUAGAUGUACCUGUAAAUGAUUCAGAAAUCUGCAUAUUGUUCAUGUCAUUUGUGAGAUGGUGAGUGGCACCACUGUCAAGGUACCAAUUUGUAUCAGAUGAUCCUUCCAUGUUUGCCAGAUAUGCAGAUUUCGGAUUCCUGUUUGGAGGUGGUCUAUAAGCUCCUGAAGCAAUAAAUUCUUCCAGCUUCCAGCAUACAUUAGCUGUGUGGCCUAUUUUGAGACAAACUUGACAUGUAGGCUUAGAAGGAUUCCACUGAGAUUUAGGAUUUCCAGGUGUUUUGCCAUUAUUGACAGCAUUAUUAUUAUUCCAGUUUCCUCCUCCUCCUCCUCCAUAGUUUCCUCUGUAACCAUUAUUUCCAGCACUUCCAACAGCAAAACCAGAUGAUCCAUAAUUUCCUCUGUAACCACUAUUUCCAGAAUUUCCAGCAUUAUUGUAGCCUGUAUUAUAUCCAAGACUACCAAAACCUUUUCCUCCUGAGAAGUUUCCUCUCUUAGGUCCUCUAUUUUGUGCAAAGUUAGCUUCUAAAUUGUGUUUAACAUCCAUAUUAGCAAGUGUUGUGCAAAUUUUAAUGAACUCGCAAGCGCACGAAUCUAUUGUAGUGUAGAUCAAUGGUGACGAGUGUCGAUCCCACGAGGAGGUGGAUUUUAAUUGUGUAUAGAAUUAAUUUUGCAAAAUGGGUGGUUGGAAUUGUGGUGGAAGUGAUUUAAAAUAUGCUAAAAUUGGAAUUGCAAUGGCGAGAAUAAAUUGUAGAGAAAAUCGAUUAAAUUGACGUACUUGGGUAUCUGGAUCCGUAUCAACAUGCAUCAUGGGCUAAAUAAUCCGUAUUAAUGCCAAUUAAAUCAUGAUGGGGGAAUCCACACAUCAUGAACCACGCUCUAAUCAAUAUGGUGCUAAGGGCUUAUCGUGCCAAAUAAUAAUAACCUUAUACUAGAGAGCCGGUGUAACCAAGGCGGUAUCUAGACAAGAUCAGUAUUAUUUGUCGACGAGAAGUCAAAACAUCCACAAAAACUAGAGGGGAAGAGAAAAUAAAUUUACCAAAUUAAGCCCAUGACACAUGUUGAGACUUCACCUUCAACCCAAGCUUGAAAGAAAAUUAGCCACUCAUAAUUGAACUAGGGGCAAAAUGGGAAUUUAUUAAAAUACAAAGAAAAUACAAGAUGGAGAGGGAAUUACAGAAAAUGGAUCCCAAAAAUGGAUUCAGAGAUAUCAAAUUAAGGGGGGAAGGCCCCCUUUUUAUAGAUACAUGGAGUAAAUCAUGGCCAUCGGAUUAAAAAUAGUUUGGACGCUCAGGAUUGCGCCACGUCAUCAGUCAACAGUCCACGGUUUGACCACGCGGAUGAACAGUAACACGGUUUGACCCGGAUGAACAGUAACGCGGUUUGGUUGAAAAUAAUCCUGUGUGAUGCAUGCACCGUACGCGAGAUUUUUCGUCCACUGAUAUGCUGCCACGUCACCAUCAACAGUACAUAAGAAUUUUAGUCCAACAGGAUCGUGACACCUCAUCAGUCAAUGCCACAUCAUCGGUCAAUGCCACGUCAUCGAUCCGUCUAUGUGAACAGUGCCGUGAACAGUAACAUAUACAGUACCGUAUACGUGAAUAGUACCGUACAUGUGAAUAGUGCCAUUUUUCCUUUUAUGCCCCUCCUAAGGUUUUCGACCGUCCUGAGUUCAAAAGUGAUGUCUGUUUUGCCAUCUGAUCUCUCCUUUAUUGUGAAAUGACUAUAAUGCCCCUAAAAUACAUAAAAUACUUAAUUAAAAUAAAACACAUGUAAUUAAAUCACAAGAAGGUUAAAUACAUAAAAGUAAGGGUUGUUAAUAAGACUUGAAACGUAAAAUGACAGUUUUCUCCUUUAUAAAUAUGCAUUUUCUAACACUCAACACACCCCCCAACCAGCUUAUUGCUAGUCCCUAGCAAAUAAAGCGAAAACAAAAUUCAAAUUCAAAAUGAUUUUUUUUUUUUUUUUUUUUUUUUGAAACACUCGUGUUUAUUCAAUCAGAUUAAUGAUAGCAAUCAAAUAAAAAUAUAAGCAUUAUCUCCAGUCUAAAGCAACAUCACACCCACAUCAACCAUCCACAUGAAUUAGCCCAGUAGACUUUGUUAUAGCUACUUUCAAGAAUGACAUGUCAAACCCCAAAAUCUCACUGGAAGUAGUGACACUCUCACAAAGAAAUUAAAACCCAAUAAACAUAGUCACUCCAAUGAAUGGUAAUUGAGAGAGAAAAUAAUAAAGAAAUGAUAUCACAUGCUCUCACCAAGAUGAAAUAAAUAUGCCCUCAGCUUAGAAAUAAUACGAUCUCAAGUCAAAUAAAAUGUUAGUCAACCCACUUUAUUUAUCUUUUUUUUUUUUUUUUUUAUUAUGCAUCACUACAUCUUUUUAGCCCAUAUAACUAGCUUCUACUUCAAACUAUAGUUCCCUAAAAUCAAGAAGGACUUUUAUUAGGACGUAACGUAGGCUAGGGAUAUGGCUAACAAAGAAAGGAAAUAAGGAAAACAAAGUGUAUGUUUGAGAAAAAUGCAGAAUUUUUUUUUUUUUUUUUUUGGAACUUGCAAGGUGGAUUUCACCUAUUAUUGUUAUUUUUAUUCUUUUGAAACAACAACUUUUGUUUUUGUUUUUUUUUUUUUUUUUUUUUGCUUUUAUUUGGCAUAACUUCACUGAACAACAUAAUUAUUUACAUUUUCUCAAACAUAAAUAGGUGAUGGAACUUAAAAGACAUUGGGUAAUACUCCAAAUCGGAGUGGGUCAAGAUGAUAAGUUGACAAAGAAAAGGUUUUUGUUCUUUUUUUUUUUUUUUAAAGGCUCAAAAGGGGUAACUAUGGAUAUUUAAUAAAAGGGAUGGCUAGAAAGGCUCAAACGGAUCAAAGAUGGCCUUUCCAUCGUCUUUUAGGGCUCUAAAUAAUCAUCCAUAUCUACUAGUUAGAUGGGCCUCCCAAUGUAGCAACACACAUUUUUUUUUUUUAAUUUUACCAUUUUUUUUUUUUAAGGGUUAACUCAAAAGAAAUCUAGAGAUCGUGUAUAAAAUAAUAAACUACUAAGCUGUAUAGAGAAUGGGCAAAAGGGUUACUCUCCAAGAAAAUAAUAGGCUCAACUACUCACUUGGCACUUAUUUAUGACAUGUUCAUUCCUUCAAGCAACUCAUAUUUGUCUCCGACAUCAACAUGUAAAGUAGCAAACAUAGCGUAACAUCACUUAAGACCAAAGAUAAUACAAAUACUAAAAUUUGAAAUUAAUCAUGUCAUCCAAUGUUAAAACAAAUAACACAAAUUUUUUUUUUUUUUUUUAAACAACAUUCUACCCCCCAACCUAUUCUAAACAUGAAAGGAAAAUAUGCAUGCGGAAAUGUGAAAAUGAUGUAGAAAAAUUAAUUAGAAAAAGAAUUUUUUUUUUUUUUUUUAAACUAAGAAGAUGCGUUUCUAGAGGCACUACACUCCAUAUUCAGCCAUCUUCGACUCAAAAAUUUGAAACUACAUAUUUAUAAAGGAGAAAGAGGAAGAAAACAGGUUUUUUUUUUUUUUUUUUUUUUUUUUUUUUAAAACGAUGAAGAUGCGUUUCUAGAGUAACUACACUCCAUAUUCAGCCAUCUUCAACAUAAAAUGUUAGCAACUGUUAGUUUCUACAACAAAAAAUCAGUAAAAACUUAACCAAGAUUCCACAAUUGUCGACUAUUCCCUCCCCCCAACCAGAACGAAACAUUGUCCUCAAUGUUUUAAAGGAAAGAAGUAGAGUUUAGAAGACAUCACCUGGGUGGUGCAACACAGAAGAAAAUAUUUACAGGCGGAGAGUUAAAUCUAAUUUGUACUUCUUACUGCGGCUACUGUUACCAUCAUUAUUUGGUCGCUCCAACACAAAGGUCCAGGGGUCUGGCUCCGGUUUAUAAGCUUGUAACAUAUCAAGUAGCUCAUUAGCAGUGUGAGCACAAAUAAAGAGUUUUUUCACAUUAGAAGGAAUGAAAUAGUUUUUUAUUGCAUGGUUAAGAAAUGCGAUAAAGCCAUCAUAAAAGUUAUUGACAUUUAACAAACCGAUGGGUUUCUGGUGGAUGUGCAGAUGGGCCCAAGAUGCUAGUGUCAUAAGUGCCUCUAGUGUUGCAAGAUCUCCUGGAAGGAAAAUAAAAGCAUCAGCAUGAUUAAGCAUUUUAGUUAUUCUUUCUUGCAUACUUGAGACGACUAACUCUUCUCCUGUUGAUGAGUCAGACGAACUGCCCAAUGGUUUUAGGACUCUUGGGAUGAUGCCUAACACUUGACUUCCUCUGAUAAAAGCUGCUUCUGAGACCAUUUUUGAUAACCCUCGGUUACCUCCUCCAUACACCAAAUGUAAUUUUCUCGCUGCUAUGCUUCGACCAAGAUCUAUGGCUGCCUCAACGAACUCUUUAUGUUUGCCAUAGGUAAAUCCAGAAAGCACACAAAUGUUCUUGAAUUGUCUAUUGGGAGUGGCUGCCAUUGUGAUACUUCUCAAAAAUAAUUUGUGAGUGCUUGACAAAAAGUAAAUCACAUUUAAGAAUCUUGGUGACAGUGGAUCACAGCUGUGAAUGAGGUAACAUGUCAGUGUCAAAUAACGCGUAAAGCACGUGGCUCGCGAGUCAAAAAGAAAACAGUAAAAAGGAAAAAGCAAACAGUAAUAAAAUUAUUAAAGGCAAUAAUGCAAACGAUAAAACAAUAGUGAAAUAAAAUAACAGAAAGUAAAAGGAUAUUUACACGUAGUUGCGACUGUGGCUCACAUCUUCCUCUGGUUUUACGUCCAGAAACGGCUUGAACGCCCUCUAUGGGUCGAGGAUGGGCUUCCCAUCCAGUUUUCUUAUAAACUGGCAAACAGGGUCGUUUAUAGUCAGAUUCCCGAGACUAUAUCGUGCAUGCUCUUUCUGGAAUAAUGGCCAUAACCGGAGAAUCGCUCCUUGCACAUAUCCACUGGGAUGCGUUUCAAGAGACAAAAGGAUAUCAUCCAAUGACUCCUUAUUCAAGCCAUCCCUAAUGAAUUGAAUCUUAUCUUCCCUGUUAUCAGACACCAUUCCUAAAGAACAUGGGUUUCUAUCGCAACUCAUUCUGGCACACUUAUGACAAGCAACAGAAAUUCUUCGAGCUCGUCGUUUUCUUGCAUAAUUUCCUUUACCACAACCAGGCAUGUAUGCAAUAAAUUUAGGAGGUAACUCACCUGCCAAUCGUACUUUAGCCUCGAUUAACCAACGGAUGUCUGCAGGUAUGUUAUUCUUCAUGAGCAAUCGCAUGCGUUCAGACCGGGCUUUAUAGAUCGUAAGGAGGGCAUUCUGAGGAAGUGAAGGGAAUCGCUUGUGAAGCUUCGCUAGAAUCUCGUUUCUGUCCAUACCUUCGCCUCAGAAUGUCAGUUAUUAUGGGAAACUGAAGUUAACCGACUUGAUUGUCACGGAGUACCGUUAUCCGCCACUUCACCGGGGUAACAAACUAAAGCACACAAACAGAAAAACAAAUUAAAACACACAAAGAAAAUUAAAAUCGUCCUCUUAUUGAAUUUACCUCAAGCUCCAACUGGAUGUCGUAAACACUUCUCUCAAUGUCUCUGAGUUGGCGUUCUAAACCCUCAACAUAGGCUACUAACUCUGGUGGUUGUAGAGCCCAAAUGCGUUGUGUUUUACAAAAUUGAAUCUGCUUUUUGAGAUGAGUUUUGACACGUUGAAGUGGUUUAAGAAUGUUCAGAAGGAACGGUCUAAGUAUGGUACUCAUGAUUAACAAUGAUAAGAAAAAAAGAAAACUUAAUGGUAAAACAAACACACUUAUGCAAAAAUAAUUUCAAUUAGCAAAAGACUAAUAAAAAGAAAGAAAGAAAAAUCAAAUCAACAAAAAGAAAAAAUCAAUUCAAAUCUGGUGGGUCACUCAAAUUUAUUUCGGUGUCUUCUCCAUGUGGUUGGUACUCUAGAUAUGGCUUUAAUCUUUGACCAUUAACUUUAAACGUGACACCGUUCUUUGGGUCUUUAAUUUCAAUUGCCCCAUGUGGAAAAACAGUAUGAACAAUAAAGGGACCAGACCAUCGAGAGCGUAACUUACCUGGGAAUAGGUGCAAGCGAGAAUUGAAUAAAAGUACUUUCUGACCUGGAGUGAAAGAUUUUCUCAUAACGUGCUUGUCGUGGAAGACUUUCAUUCGUUGCUUGUAAAUCUUGGCAUUUUCGUAUGCAUCAUUGCGAAUUUCUUCAAGUUCUGCCAGCUGUAAUCUUCUUUCUGAGCUGGCUUGCUGCAUGUCAAAGUUGAAUUUCUUGAUGGCCCAAUAUGCACGAUGCUCGAGUUCCACAGGUAGGUGGCAAGCUUUUCCAUACACUAGCCUGUAGGGUGACAUCCCAAUCGGGGUCUUGAAAGCCGUUCUAUAUGCCCAUAAUGCAUCAUCAAGUCGUAAUGACCAAUCUUUCCUGUCUGGCCUCACCGUCUUUUCUAAUAUGUGCUUUAUUUCUCGAUUGGAGAUCUCAACUUGGCCACUGGUUUGCGGAUGAUACGGGGUCGCCACUUUGUGUGUGAUUGAAUACUUUGUCAAAAGAGUCUUGAAUGCUUUGUUACAAAAGUGGGCACCACCAUCACUGAUUAUCGCUCGAGGGAAUCCAAAGCGUGAAACAAUGUUGCUUUUCAAAAAUCCUAUCACCACUUUGUGAUCAUUGGUUCUGCAUGGAAUUGCUUCCACCCAUUUCGAUACGUAGUCAACAGCAACCAAGGUAAUACUUCCACAUUCAUUAAUUGUUCAUCUGGAAAUGACUCAUUUAAUAUUAAUGGCUCUGUAAUUGUGUCAAAAUGGAGACGAGAGAGGUGGUCCGCCACAACAUUUUCUGUGCCUUUCUUAUCCUUGAAUUCCAAGUCAAAUUCCUGCAAAAGUAACACCCAACGAAUUAGUCUAGCUUUUGCAUCUUUUUUUGUGAGAAGAUAUUUAAGAGCAGCAUGAUCUGUGAAUAUAAUUAUUUUACAACCAAUGAGAUAAGAUCGAAAUUUCUCUAAUGCAAACACUACUGCUAGCAUUUCUUUUUCAGUAGUUGAAUAGUUCAACUGUGCAUCAUUCAAUGUCAUACUAGCAUAGUAAAUAACAUGGGGAAUUCGAUCAACUCUUUGUCCUAAAACUGCUCCUACUGCAUAAUCAGAUGCAUCACACAUAAGCUCAAAUGGUAAGCUCCAGUUUGGGGCCUGAAUGAUGGGUGAUGAUGUCAACAAUUGCUUUAAUUUUUCAAAAGCCAUAAGACAUGAAUCAUUAAAGAUAAAAGGUACAUCCUUAGCAAGUAAAUUGCAUAAGGGUCUAGAAACUUUGCUAAAAUCUUUAAUGAAACGUCUAUAGAAACCAGCAUGCCCAAGGAAAGAUCUUACUUCUCUGACUGUUUUAGGUGGAGGAAGAUUAGAAAUGAGAUCCACCUUGGCUUUGUCAACCUCAAUACCUUUGCUCGAAAUGAUGUGACCGAGAACAAUACCUUGUUUUACCAUAAAAUGGCACUUCUCCCAAUUCAAGACUAAGUUCUUCUCGGUACAUCUCUGCAGAACUAGUGUUAGAUGAUGUAAACAUUGAUCAAACGAGUCACCAAAGACAGAAAAAUCAUCCAUAAAGACUUCAAGGAAUCGUUCAACCAUAUCAGAAAAAAUGCUCAACAUGCAUCGUUGAAAUGUAGCAGGUGCAUUACAUAAUCCAAAUGGCAUUCUCCUAUAUGCAAAUGUGCCAAAAGGGCAAGUGAAAGUAGUCUUCUCUUGAUCUUUUGGUGCUAUGGGAAUCUGAUUAUAUCCUGAGUAGCCAUCUAGAAAGCAAUAAAAUUCAUGGCCUGCUAAUCUAUCAAGCAUUUGAUCAAUAAAUGGUAAAGGAAAAUGGUCUUUACGUGUGACAGAAUUCAACUUUCUAUAAUCAAUGCAUACACGCCAUCCUGUAGUUACUCUAGUUGGUAUCAAUUCAUUAUCAGCAUUGGUAACUACUGUGACUCCUGACUUUUUGGGGACGACUUGUACAGGACUGACCCAUGAACUAUCAGAAAUUGGGUAAAUGAUACCUGCAUCUAAUAGCUUAAGGACUUCAGUUCUAACAACUUCUUUCAUGUUAGGAUUUAACCGACGUUGCAUCUCCCUAGUAGUUUUAGCAUUUUCAUCAAGGUGAAUGUAAUGCAUGCAGUCUACUGGGUUUAUACCUUUUAUGUCUGCUAUGGUCCAUCCUAAUGCCCCUUUGUGCUCUUUUAAAACAUCCAACAACUUACCUUUUUGUUCGUCAUUUAGGGAUGAUGAGAUGAUUACCGGCAGAGUACUUUCUUCUCCCAAAAAUGCAUAUUCCAGAGUGUUGGGUAAUGGUUUGAGCUCGAGUUUCGGUGGUGAUUCUGAUGAUGGGAUGAGUUUCUUCUCUGAUGGUGCUAGUUGUUCAACUCUUGACUUCCAUUUAUUAGUGUCCAUGGAUGGUGCUGAGUCAAGUAGGGCGUUGACCUCAUCGACCGAUCUGUCAAUAUCAAAAUCCAAACCAAAGUGAGUUAAACAUGUUUGUAAAGGAUCAUCACUAAUGUUUGAAAUAAAAGUAUUAUCGACUAUUGUUUCUAUUAAAUCCACAUCAACAAUUCCAUCAUCUGCACUGUGAGGUUGUUUGGCAAUGUUGAAAAUAUUUAGCUCCAUAGUCAUGUUGCCGAAGGACAAUUGCAUAUUUCCGGUCCUACAUUGAAUAUGAGCAUCUGCAGUUGCCAAGAAAGGUCGGCCUAGAAUAAUGGGGAUGUGCUUCUUUGAGUCCUGUAUUGGUUGAGUGUCAAUUACAAUGAAAUCAACAGGAAAAUAAAACUUGUCUACCUGAAUAAGCACGUCCUCCACAAUACCACGAGGUAUUUUCGUGGACCGAUCUGCAAGCUGUAACACCACUGGAGUUGGGUGUAAUUCUCCCAGUCCAAGUUUCACGAAAACAGAGUAAGGCAACAAAUUUACACUAGCUCCUAAAUCCAACAAAGCAUUCUCAAUUGUGUGGUUCCCUAUACUACAUGAGAUAGUGGGGGAGCCUGGGUCUUUGCAUUUUAAAUGAAUUUUGUGUUGGAGUAUAGAACUAACGUUUUCUGUUAAAAAUGCCUUCUUUUGAACAUGCAUAUUUCUCUUUUUAGUACAAAGGUCUUUAAGAAACUUGGCAUAAGAUGGAACUUGUUUAAUCGCAUCAAGUAAAGGGAUGUUAACACUUACCUGUUUGAAGAUUUCAAGAAUCUCACCUGUGGAUUUUCCCUUCUUUCCUUUCGCUAACCUAUGAGGAAAUGGAGCUUUCGGAACGUAUUCUCGUGGGUUGGUUUCUUCUUUCUCCUCCGGUGGUGAGUCUUCAACAUUCACAGGUACAAUUUGAUUUUCUUUUGUCACCGGCAUUUCCACUUUGUUGUCGACUUCUUUUCCUUUUCGCAAGGUCAUGACUGCUUUGACCUCUCCAUGCUGCUGUGGUGAACUGGUACUUGCUUCAUGCACUCCUUUAGGAUUAGGCACUGGUUGACUUGGAAACUUACCUUUCUCAACGGUUAUUGCCAAGGUCUGAACUGAAGAAGCGAGCUGUCCCACCAUCUUCUCGAGGCUUGAAACUGAUUGGGCUUGUGAAUUGAAGCCUGCUCUCAACUCAUUUCGUAGUCCAUCAAUAGUGCGGUUCUGUUGCUCAAUCGUAGAGUGAGUAACAUUCUUGAGAUUCUGGAAUGAAUCCUCCCACGGUCUGGGCUGAGUGUAGUUCUGGUUCUGAUUGUAUGGUCUGAAUGGGGGCUGAGAGGCUUGAGGAAUUGGUUGCAUUGGUGGAGCUGGAGUUGUUGGUCCAUUCUGUUGGAAUCCUUGAGACCAUGAAAAAUUGGGGUGGUCUCUCCAUCCAGGGUUAUAUGUGUUGGAGUAUGGGUUGUAAUUUGAUGGCUUUCUCAUUAUCCCUAUGGCAUUGGCUUCAUUUGAAUAUGAGUCAUGGUCAUGUGGUUCUGUUGAUUUAGCAGUCGAUAACGAUGCUAUUUGUCGAGCAAGACCUUCAACAAUCUCCUUGACUUCUUUAAUUCCCGAAGUUGACUCGCCAAUUUGAACCUCAUUUACUCCUUUAAUUCUUCUGGUAUUCCUGAGUGACCGACUCCGUUGUUGGGAAUUAUCCGCUUGUCGCUGGAAGAAUUCCCAAAUCUCUGAUGCACUUUUUGACAUUAGCUCCCCUCCACUUGUUGCCAUUAGCCAUUCUUGCACGUUCGACAAUAAUCCCUCCAAAAAGUAUUGGCAUUGGUGCCAUUUCUCGUACCCAUGAUGUGGACACUUCAAGAGUAGCCCAUUGAAUCGCUCCCAUGUUUCAAAAAACUGCUCGUCUUCUCUUUGAGUAAACUCUGAGAUUUCCCUGCGAAUAGCAUUGGUUUUAUGCACUGGGAAAUAUUUAUUUAGAAAUUUUGUUACCAUUUGUUCCCAUGAUGAAAUGCUAUUAGCAGGUAAUGUAUUAAGCCAUGAACGAGCUCUAUCCUUUAAAGAAAAUGGGAAUAAUCUGAGUUUAACAUCAUCGUCUGAAAAAUUUUCGUAUUUAAAAGUUUGACAAAUGGCAUGAAAAUCAUUCAAAUGAUUAUAUGGAUCCUCAUUUUCUAGGCCAUAAAAUGUGGGGAGACAAUUUAACACACUAGGUUUUAAUUCAAAACUCCUAGCAGCUACAUUUGGGUAUCUUAUGCAUGACGUGCUCAAAUUAGCUAAGGGACUAAAAUAGUCCUUAAAUGGCCUCUCCUGUGGUGCUUGUAAAUCCAUUUUAUUUUUAACGUGUUUGUGUGUGCGAAGUGUUUUUUCUAAUUCAAGGUCUAUAGGUUCAAGAUUUGGUAAUAAUGACCUACGACCAUGCAUGCAAAACAAAUAAAAUAAAAAUAAAGAUGCAAACAAAAUAAAAAUAAAGAUGGGAACAAAACAAAUAAAAAUAAAGAAGAGGGAGAAAUUACGAUACUAACCUUAUUGCGCUAUUACAACCUUUCUAUAAAAAUACACAAAAAUAAAUACGUGAAAUAAAUUAACUAAAAAUUAAAUUAAUAAAAUAAACAAAAAUUACAAAGAAAAAAAUAAAUUGAAAAUUAAAUUACAGAAUUUUAAAGAAGAGAGAGAGAAAAAAAUACUAACCUUUAAAUGCGGAUUUACUUUUUUUUUUUUUUUUAAUAAAAAAAAAAUACAAGAAAACAAAUAAAAGAAAUUAUUCACAAAAAUUAAUUCUAUGAAUUAAAAUUACUUACCUCCCCGGCAACGGCGCCAAAAACUUGUUGUGCAAAUUUUAAUGAACUCGCAAGCGCACGAAUCUAUUGUAGUGUAGAUCAAUGGUGACGAGUGUCGAUCCCACGAGGAGGUGGAUUUUAAUUGUGUAUAGAAUUAAUUUUGCAAAAUGGGUGGUUGGAAUUGUGGUGGAAGUGAUUUAAAAUAUGCUAAAAUUGGAAUUGCAAUGGCGAGAAUAAAUUGUAGAGAAAAUCGAUUAAAUUGACGUACUUGGGUAUCUGGAUCCGUAUCAACAUGCAUCAUGGGCUAAAUAAUCCGUAUUAAUGCCAAUUAAAUCAUGAUGGGGGAAUCCACACAUCAUGAACCACGCUCUAAUCAAUAUGGUGCUAAGGGCUUAUCGUGCCAAAUAAUAAUAACCUUAUACUAGAGAGCCGGUGUAACCAAGGCGGUAUCUAGACAAGAUCAGUAUUAUUUGUCGACGAGAAGUCAAAACAUCCACAAAAACUAGAGGGGAAGAGAAAAUAAAUUUACCAAAUUAAGCCCAUGACACAUGUUGAGACUUCACCUUCAACCCAAGCUUGAAAGAAAAUUAGCCACUCAUAAUUGAACUAGGGGCAAAAUGGGAAUUUAUUAAAAUACAAAGAAAAUACAAGAUGGAGAGGGAAUUACAGAAAAUGGAUCCCAAAAAUGGAUUCAGAGAUAUCAAAUUAAGGGGGGAAGGCCCCCUUUUUAUAGAUACAUGGAGUAAAUCAUGGCCAUCGGAUUAAAAAUAGUUUGGACGCUCAGGAUUGCGCCACGUCAUCAGUCAACAGUCCACGGUUUGACCACGCGGAUGAACAGUAACACGGUUUGACCCGGAUGAACAGUAACGCGGUUUGGUUGAAAAUAAUCCUGUGUGAUGCAUGCACCGUACGCGAGAUUUUUCGUCCACUGAUAUGCUGCCACGUCACCAUCAACAGUACAUAAGAAUUUUAGUCCAACAGGAUCGUGACACCUCAUCAGUCAAUGCCACAUCAUCGGUCAAUGCCACGUCAUCGAUCCGUCUAUGUGAACAGUGCCGUGAACAGUAACAUAUACAGUACCGUAUACGUGAAUAGUACCGUACAUGUGAAUAGUGCCAUUUUUCCUUUUAUGCCCCUCCUAAGGUUUUCGACCGUCCUGAGUUCAAAAGUGAUGUCCGUUUUGCCAUCUGAUCUCUCCUUUAUUGUGAAAUGACUAUAAUGCCCCUAAAAUACAUAAAAUACUUAAUUAAAAUAAAACACAUGUAAUUAAAUCACAAGAAGGUUAAAUACAUAAAAGUAAGGGUUGUUAAUAAGACUUGAAACGUAAAAUGACAGUUUUCUCCUUUAUAAAUAUGCAUUUUCUAACACUCAACAGCAAGCAUAUGAGUUUGUUGAUCAAUCCUAGCCUCUUGAGUUAACAGCAUAGCAUAAGCCUCAUUAACAUUCAUUUUUCCAGUUCCUACUUGUCCAGUGAUGUAAGUAGCAACAGAAUUAUAAUCAGGACCUAGACCAGAGAGUACAUGUAAAAUCAAAUCAUCAUUGCUUAAUGCACUUCCUGCUGCAGCCAUGUUAUCAGCAAUAGAUUUCAUUUUAAUGAAGUAUUCAGUCAUUUUAAGAUCAUCCUUUCUAGUGGAAUUCAUCAAAUAUCUCAAAUGUAAUAACCUAGACUUUGAUUGAGAUCCAAAUUGAGUUUCAACAGCUUUCCAUACCUCCAAUGAAGUCUCAAGAUUGAACACCAAACUGAUGAUACCUUCACUCAUGGAUGAAAGAAGCCAACCGAGAAGUAUUUGAUCUUGUGCUCUCCAGGUUGCAAAUUCUGGAUUCUCCACAGAUCUAAGCUCAUCAUCAUAUCUCUGAGCAAUAUGAGAAGGAGGUGGAGUGAUUGACUCAUCGAUAAAUUUCUCAAGUCUAUUUCCUCGAAUUGAAGCAAGCACUUGAGAUCUCCAGAUCAAAUAGUUUGAUUGAUCAAGUUUAACGGGAGUAUUGAAAGUGAAAUUGACUGUUGUUGAAUGUGCAGCGGUAUUAUGAACUUGAUUUAAGGAAGAGGCAAGAUUCACAGAUGCCAUUGUGGCUCUGAUACCAAGUAAGAAAUCAGAAAAAGGAUGUUUGGAAGCUGAGAAAAUUUAAGAACUGAAAGCUUUUAGCUCACACGAUUUUAUUCAUCUAAAACUUACUUAUGAAACUGUACACAGAGAUGCUUAUAUACACAACUGAUGCUCAGCUCAAUUAGUUAACUAAUUACAAAACUAAUUCUAGCUAGCUAUAACAACUUCAACUAAUUAUCACGUGAACAAGUGAUUACAUAACCACCAGGUGCCAGCUGGCAUGCCAUGUCAUCAACUCUUAACUGUAAGCUGGAGCUGCUGCUAUCCUCUGCUUUACAGUCUAUGCUACUGAUGUGUGCUUCCUUAACACCUUUCCAAGUUGAUUUUAGUUAUUUGUUCUUAAUAUGUCUAAGCGUAUGGACUUGAUGGAAGGUGGGGUUUAUUUACAGGUUCCGUCAUGAUAUUCUCCCGUGCCAUAUAAAUCAUCAUUGUUUUGCAAGUGCUCUACGGCAUUCUUUACUGGAUAGGCUAGCCAGGGUGCCUUAGAGGCAAGCGUCAAGACGGAAAUGAAAUAUAUCUAAAGCUACACACAAGCACAGGUUGGUCAUUUUAUCAUUUAUAAGUCUUCUAUCUCUUUUAACUUAGUCUAACAUCUUGUUGAACCCAAGCACGAUUCAUUUCACAUAGGCUUGACUGCUAUGUGGUCCAAACUUCAUUUGAAACAUUGGAAACUCCUUGGCAACGUUUUUUAUAUUGCAGAUUCUAUAGGUCAAUCCUGUUGCUGUGCAGUUAGGCACGAGUCAACAGCAAUGAUAGACUUGAAAGUAAUUUUUGCUGGGCAAGAGACUGAGGAAACAUUUUGUAUUUUGCUGGUCUGAUAGUGCUGUGCCAUAAAGCAAUUUACCAAGCAUAGCUUUACAAAUAGAUUGCAGAAUUAUUCAAGGUGUUCUGCAUUUUCCAUAAUUGGACCAACGAACUAUUCACGAGGCAGUAGUGAACGAGUGUUCUAUAUGGUGGUUUGCUUUAAAUACUGAACGAAAAAUGUGGUCCAUUGUGUUUUUUUUGUGUCGUUAUAGCUCUAAUCUUUUCUUAUGGCCCCUGUGUAGGUUAGUUAUAUGUUGAGCACAAUGAUGCUAUUUUAGUAGUCAUAAUUCCUGCAGCCAAGCACCCGAAACUGCUUCAUCUCAAGUUCUUACAUUUUGGAGCUGUAACCCAAGAUGUAUUAAAUAUAAUUUUCAUAAGCUUUAGUGAACCAGGGCAUUCUUUGCAGUUCUCUUCAAAUGACAAGACAUCUAUUGGGAUCUUACUUUUGUUGAUGAGAGGGUCUGAAACAGCUGGUGCAAUAAGUAAAAUUGAUUUUAUGUAGACUAGAAAGCUCUGCCCGCUGUGAAGGCUUUCCUGUUAAAUGAAGGUCCUCCAAAGCUGCACAGUCUGAAUCAGAGAGCUUCCUAGAAACUGCAUGGAGGGUAGAGUGCUGAGGGCACGAGAUAAGCUUUGCAAAUUUGCUGCAAAUUUGAGGAUAAGUUUCUGCAGCACAUUACAACUGCUGACUGCUGAGGUGAGUUUAAUUUGUUUUAGAUAUUUAUUAUUGUUCUUGCGAAUUUCCAAGUAGCAUAUUAAAAAGUUUGAUUUUUUAAUGACUUUGCUUAUAUUCUUUUCAUUCAUACAAUUUCAGAGUUGAAAAAGGAGAAAACCAAGACGUAAAUGAGAAUGUGAUAAUAUCCUCUCUUAAACUGAAGCCUUGAAGAAAAUUUCUUGAUUAGUAGCUGUCAUGAUGCGUGGUUCUGGUUGGAAAGCUGUUGCCAAUUUUGAGCGGUGUUUCUUUAACGAGAUCAAACAGCUCUCUUUGGACGGACAUUUUGAUUCGAUAAUGUCAAGAGGGAUUGUCUUGUGCCAAUUCCCUUCCUGAUCUUUUAAUCUUUUCAGGAUUUGCAAGUCAAGCAACCUUCUUGUAUUCAUUUUCUAUUCGAUUGUGUUAGAAGCUGAUGGCUAACAACUAUAUCUAUUAUACCCUGAGAUCUUUAAUAAUAGGUUUCCUCGAGCUUGCAAAAGACCUAUCACGGCUUUGUGUUGAUGAGGCAAUGGAACCAUCUGUAUCCGAAGCUCCUUACUUCUAAUUCUUAGAGACUUUUGCCCUUCUACCCUUUUCAUGAUGCUGGAUGUUCGAUUUUUUGUUUUGGUCAUAGUUUAGAUUCUUUACAUCAGAUAUAUUGAUGGGUCCUACAUGGAUAGUAUUGCUCUCUGUUUGGUGCAUGAUUUGAAUAUUCUUAUUCUACACUAAUAUAAUACCAAGGCAAUUCUUGUUUCUAUUUAUUGAUGAAGUUACUGGCUGACUUAUGAAACAGGUACGUAUAGUUCUGGUUAAGGUGGUUUGUGGUGCUGCAAACGCUACACCAAGCUUGGAAGAUAUCCUUUGUUCAAGAGAGAGGUGUGACUCUUAUUGUUAUGUCACAUAAUAUUGUUGUACGUACAUGCAUGAUUUGACCUGUAUGUGGUUCAAAUUUCCUUUUCUCCUUGUCACAAUAGUAUUGUUUGGAAAUGAGGCAGAGCAAGCUUGCUAUCAUGAACAGUGUCAUUUUCCUUUUGUUUAACAUUUUGGGAUCAAUGGUUGGAUCAAAACUGCUAAAUGGUUGCGAAGAUCUUUUCCCAAAUUCCUCUGAAAUCUGUUUGCUUUUACUAGAAUGGAAAUACAGUGCCAAGAAGAGGAGGUAAAGACUUGAUCUUCGAAGAAAGCAAAUGAGGCAGAGCAAGCUAGCGAUUCUGAACAGGGUAUACAUGCAGGACACGAUGGCUUGUACACUUGCUAGCAUUGAAGGAGAACUAUGAUGGAUGUGUGUCAAGAAGUAGGUAGUUAUAUCAUAGAGAAGAUUUCGACAGUUUGGCUGCUUUGCCAAUUAAAUUUUCACUUACAAGUUCUAAGACUUAUGUGACUGCUUGCAAUUGUUUUUUUUCCAAGUUGAAAAAGCAAAGGAAGAAAUGUUGAAUCAGUUAAAUAGCUGUGUCAGGUUGAUGCUCUCUGCAUCAAUUCUUGAAAGGGGAGGGAUGUAUUUUAUUUCAUAUACUUACUUCUUUAUCUAUUCUGUGCAUUGAUAAUAUUCCUGAAAUUUUCUUAUGAUAAUUUGCAUAGUGCACAAAGCAAAGCAGGGAUUAAAGAGCUUCUUCAGGAGGAGGGAUUGCUUUCAGAGACGGUCUGAACUCCUUUCUAAACUAACACGUACGCCAAUUUAGCACCCCAUGAUCUUUGCUGAUAAUUCAUAUUUUCACUGCAUAUUUUUAUUGGGUGAAAAGGUGCUUAACAACUCCAUGAUCCCACCAGCGCUUUGCUUAAACUUCACUUGAUUAUAAUCACUAGAAGAGGGUACGGGUUUGUGAUUGUGUACUUAGGACUAUGUAUAGUUUUCUGAAUGUUGUGAUUUUACGGUGUGUCCCUAUGUCAGAACAAUGGAUUUAAAGUGUAUUUGAAUUCCAUUUAUCAUAUUCUUCUAUUCAUCAUUUUGUUUUUGCUUUUUCGUUUUCAUUUUUCAAUCAUUGAUUGCCCAAAACUUGAGAGAUUGCCUGAUGAAAUAGGAAAUUUAAGAGCCUUGUCCUAUUUAAGAGUUGAAGGAGCUGUUAUAAGAGAAGUACCAGUAAGCCUUGGUCAAUUAACCUCGCUAGCAAAGUUUGAUUCUAAAUGACAAUCGCAACUUGGAGAGAAUACCGGAAAGCAUCAGACAUCUUUCUAAUUUGGAAUUUCUCGAAUUAAGCUGUUGCACGUCACUGGAAGCAUUAUCUGCAGGUUUACCAUCAAUUUCAUUCGAGUUAUCUGGAGGUUUAAUACUUAUGAUAAAUUUAGAUAGUAUUUCAGCAAAUUACAAGAUCUGUUUAACCUACCAAAUUUUAAAAAUUACAAAGAAUAACAAAACAGAACAGAGGUGUUCUACAUCAUUUUUAUUUCUAUUUUGGUGCCAUGUCUAGAGACUUUUUCUAGCAGCGAAUUUUAAACAAGUCAAGGUUGAGCGUUUGUUAAUGUUUCUAGAUCUCGAUCUGCUUUAAAAACUGAUGUGGCAUACAUAUUUUUUUUAUUUUUUAUUUGGUAAAGAAAUAGCUUCGUCAGUCAGUGUCAAUCGCUUGAAAAGUCUGAAUCUUUGAGAGCUCCUUAGAAACCUCACGACACUGUCAAGUUCGCACUGACUAGUGAUUCGCAGAACAAGUUUGGUAGAAUAGCUCUGCUAGAUGCUCUAGCUCCGCAGAUUCGCAAGUGUUUGAAAGUCCGGGUUCUAAAUCUGCUCCGCAGGUUACAAAUGAAAUCUCAAAUAUUUCAGGAUGAGUUAUUACAGCUGUUAAGGUUAAAGAGAAAAAGAUGGAUGAAAUUCUAAGCUUAAACCAAAGUACAAGAAUGAACAACAACCAAUCAAGAACUAGAGACUUAAAGAAUAGCACAAUACAACCAAUUUGAAGGAACAAUCAGUUCACUUUUAUUGAUAGAAUAACACAGAAAUUGACCAAGAAUAGAGUAGAAAAGCUUUACAAAGAAACAAAUUUUUCACAAAAUGGCUAAGUGAUUAUAGAGAACAAUGCGAAGAAACAGGGCCCAACGCUCAGCACAGAUUUUUGUAACAAACUCUUAUUAGAUUCUUAUUUUGUCGGUUAUGCACCUCAGUUUGGAUAAUGUAACAAAGGCCCCAAACUAUAUGCCUUUAUGACAUAGUCCAGCUGACUUUCAAUCUUUUGCAAAACAGCCCAGCAACAAUAGCUGGGUGAGUUGAUGGUCCGGAGCGCUGAGGGGACGAGAUCUCUGGCUUUGCAACUUUGCUGCAAAUUUGAGGAUAAGUUUCUAUAACACAAUACGACUGCCGAGGCGAGUUUAAUUUCUUUUUGUUAUUUCUUCUUGUGCUGGCAAAUUUUCAAGUAGCUUAUUAAAAAGUUUGAUUCUCUAAUGGUUUUGCUUACACUCUUUUCAUUUAUAUAACUGGAGAAAUGUGAAAGGCAAAACCUAAUACGUAAAUGAGAAUGUGAUAAUAUCCUCUCUAGAACUGAAGCCUUGUAGAAAGUUUCUUGAUUUCAAGAUAUAUAGUACUAGUUUUAAAUUUGUGAUACAGGGGAAUUUUCUGAGUAGGAUCUAACAGCUCCAUUCGCAUGCAACUGCAAUCAAAGAGCUGCCGUCAUCCAAUGAGAUCUUAUUAGUUAAAUUUGAGCUUAUUUACUGUUCAAGGAUUUAGAGGAUUUCGAGAAGCAUAUGAAAGUUGAAAUGUUUUUGAGAUAUUGCUCUUUCCGAUCGUUUAAAUCCGAAGAGGUUUCCAGAGAUCUCAUCUGGUAACACAAAAGGGUUUUAUUUUGAUGGAACUGCAAUCGAAGAACUGUCCUCAUCCUUAGUGUCUAUCCAGUUUAAAUUUAAUAUACAAGAUGACAUAUCUCGAGAAGCAUAUUUAAGCUUAAAUAUCUUGAAGAUCUUAAUCUCUCUAGUAGCAUAAAUCUAAAGUGGAUACCAGAUAUGUCAUCUUGUGUAUUAAAUUUUUAUAUUUAGAUGGAACAACAAUCAAAGAAUCGCAUGCCUUGAUGCACUGCAUGUCCCUCCAGACCAGUUACCUUGACUCUUUCAAAUUUUAAAAGGCUUAAGAGUCUCCCAAGCAGCCUAUACAUGUUGCAAUGUCUUUGAGAUCUUUAUUUCAAAUGGUUGUGAGCAAAUGGCUUCAUCAUUGCCAAUUUCACGGACUUACCUAAAAGUCUUGACCGGUUACUAUCUCUAUGGCAUUUGUAUCUAGAUGAAAACCAUUACAAGAGAAUAUCAGAAAGCAUUGAUGAAUUGGUUUAUGUGCCCUACGCCAAAGUCCUUGCUCAUUACGGGAGUUAAUUGUGCUCAUUAAGAUAUUCCUGUUACUAAAAUCUCUAUUUAUUCAAAUCUUCUUUGCCUCUGGCCAUUUUUUUUCUAAAUUUUUAUAGGAUUCAGGAACAUAUAUGAAUCAUUGUCAGUUCUUCGGAUUAGCUUCCUGUAUGCGUUGUCGUCCAUUUCCAAAUAAUAUACGACAGCUAAUUCCAAAACCACAGACCACAUUGUCUGUCGCUCUGUUUUGAGAUCACAGAUUCAACUUUUCAGUGUUAAAAAAUUUUGGAAAUGAUAUGUCUUUCCAUGGAAAAUAUGUGUUGCGUCGCGUUAUCAUUCAUUAUUUCACUAUUCUUUAGUGAAUUACUAUUUUGGUAUGGGGACGGCUACAGUAAAUGCAUGUAUGUGACACAUGCAAGCUAGGGGUAUUCGCGGAUCGGAUUUUACGGAUUGGACAUCAAUCCAUAUCCAAUCCAUGAUUUUGCGGAUUAUAAUUUUUCAAUCCAAUCCAAUCCACGGAUUGAUAAAAUUCAAUCCAAAUUCAAUCCAUACAUCUGCGGAUCGGAUACGGAUUUGACUCAAUCCAUAUCCAAUCCAUACGUCUACGGAUCGUAUGCGGAUUUGACUCAAUCCAUAUGCAAUUCAUCAUUUUGUGCAUUAGUUUUCGAAUUAAAAAUUUUUAGUUCUCUCCAACUAAUGAAAUAAAAAAAUCUAAUAUAAAAAUAAUUUUGCUACCAAUUAAAUUUAAAAUUGAAAAAAAUUUAAAUAAAUUAAUUGUUUAAAUAAAGCUAAAAUAAUACAUUUAAAGUUUUAAAAUAUAACACAUCGAGACUAAUUAUUCAAAUAAAGCUACAAUAAUACGUUCAAAGUUUCAAAAUAUAACACACCAAGUUUAAUUGUUCAAAUAAAGUUACAAUAAUACGUUAAUAUAACACCGAAAUUAAUUGUUCAAAUAAAGCCACAAUUAAUUGAAAUGACGAAGUUUCGGAAACCAAACACAAUCUGAUCAUUCACCAGGGCUGUUGUACCUAUUGAAAAGUGGUGAUUACGGAGCCAUCUACGAUGGGAACCAGGAGAAGCCGUACGGGUGGCGAUCUUGAAGGUUGUGAUAGUGAAAUUGUUCAGUUAGAACCAGUGAAUGUGAAGUGGCUCGAUGGACUUGGGAAAGAAGAUGGCUUGCUCUCGCCAGAAUCGCGUGGCCGAUAUCCUUUAAAUCUGUGUCGAGAGUGUAUCCAACCAGUAUUGAGUGUUGCUAGUGUGUGUGACGGCGGGGAAGCUUAGGGUUUUUUGUUUGUAAAUUGUUGGUCACUUGGUGUUAUGUUACUUUGCUUUUAUUUUAUUUUACAAUUUUUACAAGUUAUAUUUGUAUAUUUGAUUAUUUAAUUAUUUUUCAUUUUAUAUUAUUAUUGGGCAAUGGUUAAGAUAUGUUAUAAUGCUUAGUAACUAUGCAAUGUCACAUUUGUAAUUUUUUAAUUUUAUAUAUAUAUAUAUAUAUAGAUAUAUUUUUUUUUUUUUACGGAUUCACGGAUUUAUGCGGAUUUACAGAAGUAAAUCCAUAUCCAAUCCAUCGACUGCGGAUUUUUAAAUUUUCAAUUCAUAUCCAAUCCACCAAUCCACGGAUCGGAUUUAUACGGAUCGGAUUCAGCGGAUCGGACGGAUUGAGCGGAUCGGAUUGGAUUCUGAACACCCCUAAUGCAAGCAAUAAAAAAAGGAAAAGGGUUAUUAUCAAAAACCUCCCUUGAGGUUUAGCGUAUUCUCAGUUUGAGAGAUUGGAUUCACGUAUUAUCAGCCACCUCCCCUGACGUUAGUAUACCGUUUAGUAUAAUUUGAGUUGGUGAGGAUAAAAUGGUAAUAGAACUCAUUAAUAAUAAAAAAUUCUAACAAACUUUAAAUUAUCACAUUCGAAUCGAGAAUGAUUUGAAGUUUGUUCAAAUCCAUUGGGUUUAAAAUCGAAGCAAGCAUUUAACCAAAAGAUAUUACCACUCUACCAAAAAAAAAAAAAUGGUUUGAUGUUCGUUCAUAUCCAUUGAGUAAAAACCAGAAGCAAGCAUUUAACCAAAAGAUACUAUCAAUCCACCUAAAAAGAAAGAGAAAUGGGUAUCUCCUUGCUCAGCUCAAACCAAUGCUACCGAGAACAACAUUCCAUCCAUUUUCUCCAUCUCUGUUAUGCUUUAGUAGAGAAAGAGUGCCAUAAGCAAGAAACAAUGACGACAAACCUGAAGACGCCAACACCAGGAACAACUGAAUCACGACCGCCAGGUGAAAGAAGACUGACCAGUGAGUUUCGUCGUCGACCCACAAACAACCCCAACUCGUCUGAGCCACGAAAAGGGUAUGAAAAUAAGCACACAUUUUAUAAAAGCAAAACCCAUAACCUCACUUGUUCAUGCUUUGAAACGAUGAUGUAAUAAUUAUUGCUUCGUAUGUGUGCUGUUAAAGUGGCCAAAUUUUUUUUUUUUGAACUUCUUUCGAACAUUUAGUAACGAGAUUAUGGUUUCAGAUCCCCAGUUGAGCAAUUCCCUGUUUCGUUGGAUAAAGAGGCUGAAUUUGAGUGGUUUGACCUUGCUGAAGUGAAUGAAAUUAUAGUGCCUGACUUGAAUGAAGCCGUAAUAACUUCAGAAUUUGAGAGCAAUAGUGUUAUUGUAGAAGAUUCAUUCAAAAAGCGGCAGCCAAUUGAGAUUGUACGAGAUGGGUCAGCCAAGAAUAUAACUGUUGAUGACUAUGUAGGGUGUGAAGAAAUAGUGGACAGUGAUAGUGGGGAUGAUGCUGGAAAUAAUAAUACUUGGGAUGCUGGUUUAGAUGACUACGAAUCAGCAGAUUAUAGUGGUUCAAACUCAGAUAUGUUGUCAGAUGAUGAAGUUCAGGAUGCGUGUAAUAGAUAUGAGGCCAAUUCAGAGGGUUUUGAGUUCAAUAUAGAUGGGGAAAUGAUUAUGUUGAGGGUUGGAGCAGUGUAUAGGAACGUGGAUGAGUUUAGGAAUGUGGUGAAAGUUUUUGCGAUACAAAAUGGUUUUAGGCUAAAAAGGGUAAAAAUGAAAAGAGUAGAGUCACACUGGCAUGUGCAGCAGUAUGUUGUACUUGGAGGGUUCACGCAAGUCCAAAUUGGAAUGGUAAACACUUUCAAAUCAAAACAUUCCGGCCUGAACACAUUUGUGCUAGAGGUAAUGAUAACUACGAAGCAAAUUCAACUUAGAUUGCUGCAACAUUUCUUCAUCUAUUUAGAGCCAACCCUCAGCUAAACAUUGAAGUAAUAGCAAGUGAGCUGCUUAGGAGAUUUGGUAUUAAAUGCAGUAAUCAGCAGUUGUAUAGGGCUAACAACAAGGCAUUGGAGCUGUUAGGGCAGGAUCAUAAGGCCAGUUAUACCAAACUAUACAGGUAUAUGCAUGCAAUUCUCAUCUCUAAUCCUGGUUCAACUGUAACUAUAGAUAGAGAUUGGUUAGGUGGUGGGCAGAACCCUCAUUUUAAAAAGUUCUUUGUUAUGUUUGAUGCAAAUAGGAGGGGGUUCUUUGAGGGAUGUAGACAGUUUACAGGGCUUGAUGGUUGUCAUCUAAAGGGGUUAUAUAAAGGUGUAUUGUUGUCUGCAGUUAGUAUAGAUGCUAAUAAUGGUAUCUACCCACUAGCAAUGUGUGUUGUUGAGAGUGAAAAUACUAACUCUUGGGUGUACUUUAUGAAUAAAUUAUAUGAGCAAAUAGGCUGUAAUGAUGGUAGUGGGUUGUGUUUCAUGAGUGAUAGGCAGAAGGGAAUUUUAAAUGCUUUGGAGAUAGUGUUUCCUGAAUCUUUGAAAAGGUAUUGUUGUAGGCAUAUAUAUGCUAACUUCAAGCAGAAAUUUCCUGGUGUACUAUUACGUAAUUCAUUCUGGAAAGCUUGUAGAAGUUCAAACCUAGCAGACUUCAACACUCACAUGUCUGAGUUGAAUAAUAUUCAUUCUGCAGCACAUGAUUGGCUGAUGCAGAUUCUAGUUUAUUGCUGGGCUAAGCAUAAAUUUCCAACGCACACAAAAUGCUCCCAUGUGACUAACAACAUGUCAGAGUCAUUCAACAACUGGAUUAAUAAUUUUAGGGGAUUGCCUAUUGUUAGGAUGGUAGAAGAGAUAAGAAGAAAGGUGAUGAAUCUGAUUCAUAGAAGGUAUGAGCAGGCUGUCAUGUGUCAAGAUGAACUGCCACUACAAGUUAGGAGGAGAAUACUAGAUGGAAGGGUGAAGUCCAGGUCCAUGUCAGUUAUAUUUGGGCAUAAUGAUACCUUUGAAGUUAUGGAGGAUGUUUCCAAGAGAAAAGUUGUCAAUUUAAAGGCCAAGGAGUGUGAUUGUGUGGAGUGGCAAUUGUCUGGUUUGCCUUGUGCUCAUGCACUAUGUUGCAUUGAUGCUAUGAGGUACAACGUCAAUGAUUUUGUGCAUCCUUUAUUGAAAGAAUGAAGCAUUGAAGAAGACUUAUAAGCAUCAGUACUAUCCAGUGCCUGAUGAAAGUAGGUGGCCUCCUGAAUUGCAUGAUAACAUGCUUCCACCUAUAAUCAUUAGAACUACUGGCAGGUCUCAAACGAAAAGGAGAAGAGAGGCGGAUGAAAACAGGGCAUUCAAGAGGAGUUCCAAUGUUAGGUGCAGUAAUUGCGAAGAGUGGGGGCAUAAUGUGAGGACAUGCAAAGUUGAUAAAGGGUUUAAAAAAAAUGACAAAGAAGAAAAAUUUAAAGUCAACACAGGUUACUUUGUGUAAUUAUAAGUUUUGAAGUUCUCUUUAUUUAAAUUUCCAGCUUAUAUAUCUGUUUAAUAAUCUCAUGAUUUGUUUACACUUCAACUCAAGGGAAAUGGAUCGGGGAUCAAUAAUGAAAGAGGACAGAGCUCAGGAGCCUAGAAUCAACUUGAGGCAGCAGCUGUCAUUGAAUCUGGAACGCAAGAAUUUGUCCAUGAUGAUGGUUUGAAUUUACUGAUUCAGCAACUCACUUUUCUUAAUUUAUUUGUUUAUAAACUAUUUCAUACUUGCUAAUACAAAUUUUUAUUAUUGAAGGACAAUUAACCCAAUCAUAGAGAGCUUGUAGAUGAUAAAUCCUGCAGCAACAACUUUAGUGGUAAGAAAUUUUUUUGUAUAGUAAUGACAGAGCCUAGACUAAUCCCAUACUACAAAUUUUUUGGAGGGAUGAGAUGAUACUUCACCUUACCUAUAUAAGCUUUAAAUUGUAUAGAUGUUGUAUCAUCUUUUUGUUCUUUUUUUUUGUGAACUGUGUGAUAGUGAAAAUACUCACACCAUUAACAAAGCAUUUCAGUUAAGUCAAAACUUAACAAACUGUUGAAAGUUGAUUUUUUUGUAAAUAUGGGUUGCUGUUGAUGUUGUAUUGGCUGAUUGUUUCACAGCCAUUGGUGACAGUUAACACUUGUGUUGUUGCUGGAUUUUAUUAAUAUUGAAAUAUCAUAUUACUACAUUUGGUUGCUUGAUGUUUUUAAGUUCAGUUUUAUUUGUUGAUGGAUUGGUUACAAGUGAUAUUGGAAUAUCACAUGAUUAGAUGUGUGAAUGUUCUUUGACAGAUGCUCAGAAAUUAUUAUUGUUUACUUUGUAGUUACAAUUUCUUUUUUGCUCGAACACAUUUGGAUGCUGAUAAUAGGUCAACUCAGUUAGUUUUUUUAAAAAAAUAUAUGAGUGGCAUGAUUGACUUUGUGUUUCAUUGCAAAUUAGAUUUAUAAAUAUAUUUCACUUAGAAAACACUAUUGCAUUUGAGUUAUAAAGUAGCAAAAAAAAAUUUAGUCAUCACUGGAACAUUUAGUUUAAAAAGCAUUAGACUUGGUGACACACUACAUAAGGUACAUCACAACAUUUAAAAGAAAGAAUAACACAUUGAAUACAACUAUAACCUUAGCAACAGUUGCAACCUUCGUAGGUUUUCGUGAUUUCUCCACUAUGGUCUUCAUUGUCUUCACGUCAUUUUCAAUUCUAGAUAGUACCGCAUAACAUACAUCUGUUGACACACAUCCUUCAAAUAAAGCUUCAUUGUUAAAAUCAUCUCUAUUUGGUGCCCACCACUUAAAAUAUCCACAACCAUUUUUUUUGGCACAACGGUAGUAAAGCAUAUGUGGAUUGUCAUCGGAUUCUGAAAUCUUCAAAUCAGCUCUCAUAUAGCAUUUGCAUAUCUUGUUUGAGAACCUAAUGAGCUUGCCAUUGACUGUAUUCCUCCAAGCAGGCUCAUAAAAUGUGCUUGAUCGAACAGAAUUGUUUGAACUUUGUGACUCCAUUGAUGUGCAAGAAUGUUCCAGCUUUGAAUAAUGCUGAGUUUUUUAAUUGAUUGAUGAAUAUAUCAGAGAUGGUUGAUAAAGAGAUGAAGUGAUAUUGGUAGUGUUGGGUUGGUGCCUUUGAAGUGAAAUGAAAGCUAAUUUUUUUCUUCAGUUUGAGUUCAAAGUGUAUGCUGCUUAUUUAGCUUGUUUAUGGCAGGUUAUAUAGCCACUGGUAUUGGCAAUAUAACCAUUAAAGGCAACAGUAAUAAUGUCAGUAACAACUGCAGUUCAAUUUCAAGUAUUAACUUCAAUAUUUCACAUCCUGUCCAAUAAUUAAAAAAAAUUGUAAUUGUUUGUUUAAUUCAUCCAAGUCAUUUUAGAAAGUCCAAAAGAUGAUUUGGUAUUUUUAUUGACCAUUUUGGCACCAAAACAUACAUGUUAUUAUCAACGCACAAUUCUUUAAUUUGUGUACAGAAAGAUAUUUUCCCACAAUAGGGGUAUUUUCAUCAUUUUAUUAAUCAAUAAACGGUCAAACAAACAAGUUAUUAACGUCGGGGGAGGUGGCUGAUAAUAUGCGAAUACAAUCUCCCAAACUGAAAAAUACGCUAAACCUCAGGGGAGGUUUCUGAUAAUAACCCAAAAGAGCAGGCAGCCAAACACCAAAAAAAAAAAAUUGGGAGCAACCGGUUGCAAAUAAAUUAAAUAAUAAUAAAAAUAAUAAUAUUCAAUUAUAAGAAAUAAAAUAAUAAUAAAAUAAUCAUUAUUAAAGGACAUAACAAAAAAAUUAUUUUUAUAAUAAUAAAAAAGGAGUUUCAAGUUUAAUGGUAUAGGUAUCAAGUUAAUGGUCUUAAUUUCAUGUUUAUUGGUUCAUUAAUUUCAUUAUUUUUAUGGUUGCGAGUUAAUGAUCUCAUGGUUCAUGUUUAUUGCCCUAGGUUUCAAUUUCCUUCAAUUUCAAGUUUAAUGGUCAAGGUAUCAACUUAGUGGUCACGGUUUCAUAUUUAUUGGUCCAUUAAUUUAAUGAUUUUUAUGGUUGCAAGCUAAUGAUAACAUAUUUUAUGUUUAUUACCAUCCGUUUCAUGUUCCUUUGGUUUCAUAUUUAAUGGUUCGGGUAUCAAGUUAAUGAUUAUGAUUUCAUGUUUAUUGAUUCAUUAAUUAAAUAAUUUUUAUGGUUGCAAGUUAAUGAUCUCAUGUUUCACGUUUAUCUUUGCAUAUAUAUAUAUAUAUAUAUAUAUAUAUAUCUAAUCACCGUAAAAUUUUGACAUGUUUUUUGCACCACUUUUGUUUCUCAACUUGCAUCGGUCAACCACUUUGAUACUAAAAAUGACUAUUUUACCCCCAAAUAAAUUAAAAUAUUAUUUUAUUUUUUAAAAUUUUAAAAAAUAAAAAUAUAAUUACAAGAAUACCCCUAAAUUAAUAAAACAAAUAAAUCUCAAAAUCUAAGAUGUUAAUGUUUUAUAAUUAUAAUUUCAUUUAAUUUUUGUAAGUAAAUUAAGUAUGGCAAAGUUUACAAAAAUUAACAUGAAGAAAAGAGUACCUUAUAAUUAUUGUAAACUUCCCUAUAAUUAAAAUUAACAAAUUUUUCUAUACAAAUUGAAGAUUCUACUAUAAGAAUAACUAGUUUUGAAGUCCAACAAAAAUACACUCACUAGUUGUGUUCUUGGAAUAUCGGCUUACAAAGUAGGACUUGUUACAAAUAUAACAUAUACAAUCACCAACAUAUAGGUUUUCUAUUAACCAUCAGCAGCAGAUACAAAACUUCCAAACCCAUAAUUAGAUAGUGUUAUACAUGAUCAUAUUAGGCAAGGAUUUGUGACAAAUGUCAAAUAACCAAAGUUUAGAUAUAAGCAAUAAAAUGAAAAUAUUAUUAAAAUAGUUGUAAAGCUUACCUAUUGAAGGAAAAUUACAGCAAGAAACAAUCACAACAUAUUCAAGUUGGAGUUGGAUUGCACUUGGAGUGGUGAUACUUGACCCUCUCAUUAUAUUUCACUAACCCCUAUUUUUUUAGUAAACCCUAUUAAAAAUUUUAAACUAAUCUUUAUCUCUCAACAUAUCCCAUCUUAUAUCGAAUUUACCCUUAUUAUAAUUUUUAUCUUUUUUCCAUAACAUCGUAUAAAACUUACAAAAUCUAUUUUAAAAGAAAAAAAAUUUAGAGUUACUAUAAUCUCUCUCUUUCUUUUUAAAAGUUUUAUUCACCAUGACCAUAACCGUAAAAAAAAUUGAGUUUUCUUCAUCAUCCUCUAUUGAGUAUUGCAAAUUAACUUCUUUCAUGAUUACAAAAAUAGAGUAUACAAUAAUUGAGAAGAGAAAAUAAUUUAAAAAAAGUUAAAAUAAAUUAAGGUUAAAGAAAUUAGAUUAGCUAAAUUAGAUAUUAAUAGAAAUUAUCAUUAUGAGUACACUUAAAAACUAUUUAUCCUUUUAAGUCAUUUCAUAUAAGGAUAAAAUAGUUAUUAGUAUAAAAAUGAUUAGUGAAGGUUGGUGAAAUAUAAUGAGGGAGUCAAAUAUGACAACUCUUGCACUUAAAGAGCAUCCAAGCACACACAAAAAAAAAAAAAAAAAAAAAUUAAUAAUAAUAGUUAUGUUCUUUCCCAUAGCUUUUAUAAGUUUUCCUAGCCCAAGUAUCUCCUCAUUCUUGCUUAAUUCUUUCGGCCCUUUUAACCCUUCAAGUUAUUUGAGCCCACUCCAGCUUCAAUCACCAUUUCAUUUUCCCGCCUCUGUGUUUUGUGCUCCAGACACAUAUGGGUGCUUUAUUGCACUUUAAGAAAUUAGAUUAGCUAAAUUAGAUAUUAAUAGAAAUUAUCAUGUGGGUGUAUUUUAAAAGCUAUUUAUCCUUUUAAGUCAUUUUAUAUAAGGAUAAAAUAAUUAUUAGUAUAAAAAUAAUUAGUAGAGGCUGAUGAGAUAUAAAGAGGGAGUUAAAUAUGACAGCUCUUGCACUUAAAGAGCAUCCAAGCACACAAAAAAAGAAAAAAAUACUAGUAAUGUUUUUCCCGUAGUUUUUAUAAGUUUUCCUGGCCAUAGCAUCCCUUCCGUCUAGCUUAAUUCUUUCGGCCCUUUUUACCCUUCAAGUUGUUUGAGCCCAUUGAGCCCACUGCAGCUUCAAUCAUCAUUUCAUUUUCCCGCUUGUGUGUUCUGCUCGGCGGAUAUUGUCGGCCAUUAGUGUUCCUGAAUUAUUCCUUUUUUUCGUCAUUUACGCAUCUCACGGUCUUCAAUUAACUUUAGAAAAGUAGACAUAUCACAAAAUUGAACUCCUAGUGAAAAGAGUGUAGUAAUUAGUAAAGAGAAAAAUCAAUUUCUCCUUGCUUUUUUUUUUUUUCAAGUGAGAGAGUUGUUUUCUCUUUUUUUUUUUCAUUUUAUUAAAAAAAUUGUUUAAUCCUCUAUUCUUUUGUUUAUCGGUAAUUUUUUAACCCAAUAAGUUUAAAAAUUUCCCACAUAAAGUGCUUGUGUAUAAUUUUAUCUUCAAUAUUUUUUCAAAUUUCACUAUAAUUAUUGCAUGUCAUAAUUCCCUAACAAACACAAAAUUCCUCUGCAGCUAAUAUAAGGCAGCUUCUGAGAAAUUAUUGGGCGUACUUCAAAAAGGAAAAAGAAAUUAAAUUUUGAAAUUUUGUUUCAAAAUAAUUUUCAUAGAUAUUUAUCAUAAAUCUUUUUUUCUAAGUCUUCUAAUUCCAACUCACAGUCAGCAAGUUAAACUGUCAUUCUAGGCAUCGUCAUUGAAAUUACCGAAUCUUUAAUUCGAAGAGGGUGUUUGUGUACUUAGGAUUUUAUAGUUCCUGGACGUCAGGAUUUUAUGGCUUUCUUCAUGCCAAAACAAUGAAUUCAAAGUGUAUUUGAUCAUUCCCUUUUUAUCAUAUUCUUUAUUCAUUAUUUUGUUUUUGUUUUCACAGACGAGAUAGGGACUCAGCUAUCUUGCAACAGUUGCAAGGUACCACCAAAUUUUGUCUUUUUCUUGAUUUCAGUCAUUUGCCAUUAGAUUUAAUAAAAAUGUAGUUUCAAUGGUAGAGAUUUGUACAUUUAAAUAUUAACAUUACACUUCUUGAUAUUUAUUAAAAGCACAAACAAGUUAAAAAUAUAAAAAUUUUAGCACAUAAGUCCGGAUUGUUUACAAUUUAUAUUGUUUAAUUAGUAGUGAGUAUUAAAAAUAAAUUUUAUUUUUUAAUAUUAUAUAUUUUAUUUAAAAGAAUAAAUUUUUAAUAUUACAUUUUAAAGGUCACUAGCUAAACUAUAUAAACUUAUAAAUAAAAUGUAAAUAAGAAAAAAAAUAAGCGGUUAAAUGAAAUUUAACGUUACAUAAGAUAAAAAAUAGUGGCUAGCUGGACCCACGAGAUAGUUGUAUUUACUUGUAUUUAUAUGCGUACUUUCGGACUCAUGUCCCUGUGUGAGUGGGAGAAAUUUCUUGUUAGUGCAGAGAUAUAUUUUAUUUCGUAUAUUUACUUCUCUAUUGAAGGUUCUGCUAUUGUAACCAAAAAUGCAUUUUUUUGAACUACUUCUGAGUUGAUAUGAUACUAGAGCUUGUGGCGAUUAUUUAUUUUGACAGUUCAAUUGGUGUCUAAUUAUAAUUUUAUUGAAGAAAAGAUAAACAGAAUGUAGAAAAAGAUAAAAGAAAUAAAAUUUCUGGAUGAAUAAAAGUCUGAAAAAGAUAAAAGACAAAAUCAUCUGCUUUGGGAUUCCAAAUUUAAUUUCUGAUCAAAAUCUCUUAAUAUUGUCCGAAUUUAGUUUAAUUUCUCCUCAAAAGUAGAGUUUGGGCCGACAACAGAAUUUUAGAAAAAUUAAAGAAUUAUUUUCUUUCUUUCCUGCGGUCCAUGAAUCAUUCUUUUUCUCAUUUCAAUUUCUACCUGCGUUGUCACUACUUUACUCAUUGCCCAACCUCACAUUAGUCUUCAGUGAAAUUAUUUAAUAUCACCUUUUGAAAAGUAGACAAUUUAUACUUUACCGGAACAAUCAGAUGAAAUUAUCACGAAACUUGCUGGUAGAUUCGAGGGAGUAGCCUGCUAAAGGCAUCUAUUCUCCGAUUAAAGUAUCUUUUUGGCCUAUUGUGUUUGCCUCUGGUCUAUUACUGUCCAAGCAUUUAGAGAAGUAAUUAAUCCAAAGAGGUGCUAUAUCGUAGAGAUAAGAUGCUCGAUUCAGUAUGUUCCAUCAAACAAUUGCUCCACCAUUUGGCAUUUUUGUAGAUAAGCUAUCUUAAUCUGAUUAUUUUUUCUUUUGAAUUGGUGUGCACGUCAACGUGGGAUUGUUUUUAAGAGCACAAAUACAGAAUUUUAUUGCUAGCCAAUUGCGAUAUGGAACAAUUAUGUGGUGAAUUGUUUUAUGCUCUCUGACAAACUCUUUGUUACAAGAGUUGAUUUUGAACAUUCAGUUAAUCCUGUUAAAAGCUCUGUUCAGUCAUUCUUCUUUGCCUUUGGUCUACUGUGUUGCAUAUUUUUAAAGGAAUCAGUUCACAAAUAUUGGCCAUAUGGAACACUGUUGCUCUUCAUAUUAAGUUUUAACUUCACAGCUUCCAUAAAAUUUACUGCCACAUCAACUAAGUUAACUGCAUGUUUUAUUUUAUUGGUUCUUCCUUAUUGAAGUUUACUUGCUUUUGACUCUAAAGUCCAAGCACAAUUUGAACUUGGACCUUGGCUGUAUCUUUCACAGCAUGACAAUUUGAUUUUCCCCUCAAUCUUUUAUAAUGUCUCUGCCUUUUCCUACUUGAAAAAAGAUAGCCACUGGCAUCAUUAGACCAAGACUGCACUCAUAAGAUAUGAAAAAAGACACAGAUAUCCCAAUUAUAAACAAAGAAUUAGCAAAAUAGAUCAAGAAAAGAAGAUGAACACAUACAGAUUUUGAUGGUUCAGCCACCACGUGGCCUACUUCCAUGCAAGUGACAAAUCGAUUGAUUUAUUGAUUUAACGAUCUAAAGAUUACAAGAAUAUUAAAAACUUUACAUAGAACAAUUUAUAAUAGGAAAUAUCCCUGUAAUCGCUCUCUUAAGUCAAGAAACCGAUUUCAGAGAUUUGCCGCUCUUUCUAACACACUUGACAGAGGUUUGGCAAAAUUUAGGUCAGAACAAGCGACUAACGUGUGUAUCACAUGUGACCACAAUUUUGCUAUAAAACCAGACUUGCAUUGGACUUGAACGAUUAAAAUGUAAAACUUCAAUGUACAAAACUCAGUCGUUUUGCAGCCGUUUGAUUAACCAUCAACAACUUGUAAUCCUCUGACAGUUUGAAACCAGAACAUAAUUAGUAUAAGCACAUAAAUUUUAGGAUCGAUUUAGACAUGGUAUGGUUUGAGUAUUUCUAACACUUCCUAGUGAUGCAUCUAUAGGAGUUUCUUUUAGAAAAUAUAUCAUUAAAUUGACCAUCUUGACCAUUGACCAUCGUCUGAUUAUUAUUUUUUUUUAUCUCGCUUACCACGUUGAUAGUGCGGCAUUUUGGGUACUACAAAAAGCACAACAACGAUUAAAGAGCUGCUUCAAAUAAUUCAUCUUUCACUUUUGUUGGGUGAAGUGCCGCUUAACUACUCCAUGAUCCCCCCAGCACUUGAAGAGGGUACGUGUUUGUGUACUUAAGACUAUCUAUAGUUUCUAUUUGUUGGGACUGUACGGUCUGCCCUUCUGUCAUAACAAUGGAUUCAAAGUGUAUUUGAAUUCCACUUAUCAUAUUAAUUAUUCUGUUCAUUAUUUUGUUUUUGCUUUUUCGUUUUCAUUUUUCAUUAAUCCUCCCCUCAUUUUUUGAGGAUAUAAAUUACUUAUUUGAUCAGCUCUAGUGGUAUGUACAUAUACAUACAUACAUACAUACAUACAUACAUACAUAUAUAUAAAUUUUUACAAAAAGAUGAUUUUGUCUUUGUAAUGUAAGUUUAACAAAGGUUAUAUUUGUUGAUUUAUACAUAUAAUAGAUUGUUUGAAUCUCCUAACAAGAGGAACAAAAGUAAUUACAAAUGAUUUGUCAAAUUUUGUUAAGUUACAAAAUAGUAUAUUAUACACUCAAAUCUAACAUCAAAUACAUAGCAAACAACAACUUCAAAAGCAAAAUCCCUAGAAGCAACUCCCAUAUCUUCAUCAACCAACGGCUUCAAAAGCAUCCCAUGAUUUUUGUUAAAAAUUCAUAGUUUCAUGACUGCAUAUUUUUAUUGAGUGAAGCCUUGCUUAAAAAACCCAUUCCACGAUCCCAGUCCCACCACGCACUUUGUAUAAAAUUCAAUUUAUUAGAAUAAUUAAAAUCAUUAGUAGAGGAAUUCAACCAACAACUUCAAAAGCAUCCCAUGAUUUUUGUCGAUAAUUCAUAGUUUCAUGACUGCAUACUUUUAUUACGUGAAGCCUUGCUUAAACAACCCAUUCCAAGAUCCCAGUCCCACCAUGUACCAUUUGGAAAUAUCACAUUUUAUUCCCCAAUGCGACAUAUUUUCUUCUCCAUUGAAGGUUCUCUGAAUGCUAUUAACCAAAAAAUGCAACAUUCUGUUCUGUUUAUGAAUUGGGAUUAUUUGCUUCUGGCUGUCACUGACUCAUUGACCAUUAGCAAUAUAGCAUUAGGUAGUGCCAGCUCUUUUCUUUUUUGUCUUUGUCUUCUCUAAUUCGAGCUACAAAUCCAUGUUCCGAUGAAUUCCUUUUCCAUCUCCUCUCCAUUGUUUGGCUUCAAUAUUUUGGAUUUGAAGUAAAUUUUCCGCAUAUUUAUUUUGCAUCAACCUUAACAUCGUAUGUGAAAAAAUUCUGCAUAUUUAUUUUGUCCUACAGAGACGAUUUUUUUGAAAUUCACAUACAAUAACAUAAGGCAGCUUCAAAGAAAUUACUGGGUGGAGUUCAAAAUGAGAAAAGAAAUUAAAUUUUAUUGGACCACCGUCAUGAAAUUUUAAAUUUUUUGGACCACAAUCCGCCUUUGUCUUUUCAUGUGAUUGCAAGCUACUCGAUGACAUUGACUGAUCAUUGACCAUUUGGUGCUCUCUUCCCUUCGUCUUCUAAUUCAACUUACCGUCAUCAAAUUAAACUGUCAUUCACAUAAUAUACGGCAAAUAUCAAUCACAUAAAGCGUACACGGAUAAGUCAGUGUUUACGGGGAAAGAUAAAAAAAAAAAAUAUUCCACUAUUAAAAUGGGGAAUAUAAAUAUUGAAAUAUUUAUCUUACAAUCCAAAUUCUUAAUACAAUCAAGUUCUCAGAUCACUUGAGAACAUUUUAGUUAUCUCAGUUACUAAAGAAUUGCAUUUUAGUUAUCUCAGUUACUAAAGAUUGCUUUUCAUAAAACACACGUUAAGUUUUCAAAUUGUUGGAGAACUUUUCUCACACUGGCUCAUGAAUUUUGCAUCCAAUUUAUAAACAAAUCUAGAUUUCAAAUGUAAAAUUAUGAUUUUUUGUCCUUCACAUCCAGCAUCCAGGAAGGCUCAAGGAAAGUAAGUAAUCGUGAGUAUGAAUCUAUUAAAAAAUAUGCUCUGAGAUUAAUUGUUCUUUUAAAUUAAUUGGUCUUUUAUUUUAUUUUUAUUAUUUUCCUUAGUGACGGUGGUGAAUAGUAUUUACGCCUUUUUUUUUAUUAUUAAUUUUUAGCUAUCAUUCCCUAUUUCUUUCCUUUGGAAAAACGCGGUUCAACAGUAACCAUAAAGCUGCAUUUAAUUGUGGAGGGUGCACAAGAGUAAUAUAGAGUGUUUUAGUCUAUUCAGUGUGCAAAUAACCCAAUGUUAUAAGAGUUAUGAAUAUAUGUUGUAUGUAUUUGUAAUAUUUUUGUUUUGGGCGGGGGUUAUAUUAAUUUAAGAAUUUAAUUUAAAUCUAGACAUUAAAAUAUGACCAUUUAUUUCGUUCAAUCAAUUAACACACGAGGAUUGUUUGUUGAUUGGAGAGGCUAAAACUGAGUGGGAAAGUAAAGCAACAGAGGAAUAGAAAAGAUCUAUGACAAAGAUCGAUGAACAGAAGUGGAGAGGAACAACAGUGGGCAUGAUCUAAUAUUGAAUUACAAAUAUGUUGGCCUUACGGAAUAUGUCGUUGACAAAAUUAUGGAGUAUUGAUUUCUUGGGGAUGAAUAUGAUUUGUGAGAAUGGGGAUGAAUUUUGAUUCCCCCAAUUUAGGUUAGGAAUUGCUAUUACUAGUAUAAUCGUUGAGGAAUGAGGAAAAAGAGUCGGUAUUCUCUCUCUCUUCCUUUAUUAAGUUUUAAUAUGUCAUCUAUGCUUUUUGUUUUCUGAAUCUUAUUUAUUAAAGUUUUACUAUCACAUAAUCAAUCAUCUCAUACCUUAGAUUGAAUUAAAUAAAUUUUAAAGUUUUGAUGCUUAGAUUACAAUCAUAUUCUUAAGUUAAAAUAUCCCCUCCCGUUUGUUUUUUAUCUAAAAAAAGAAAAAAAACAUUGGUACUAAAAAAUAAAUAAUCUUAUUUUUACUAAAAAUACAAUAUUUUUAGUCUUCUAAUUUGUUUAUUUUAAAAGUAACUCAUUCACUGCUUUGCAAAAUCAAAAUCUCCUGUGGCAAUGAAUUGAUUUUACAAGAAGUAAUUUUAAUAGUUUUUACCAACCAUUUAAAUUCAUCAUUAGCUUCUCAAUAUCACUUUUGAAAAUCCCAACAACAAUCUCAAAUUGGUCAAUAAAUUACUUCAUUUUCUAAAUAGUAAACAUAAAAUGAUGGAAAUAAUUUUUAUAUCAUGAAAGUAAAAAUAAUUUUAUUAUUUGCAUCAAAUUAAUAUUAUUUAGAUAUAUUUAUAUUUAAUUAUUAUGUUAUUAAAUUAUCAAAUAAUAAAAAUAAUAUUUUUAUUCACAAUAAGACAAAUUUAGAGAAAAAUUAGAUGGUGUUUGCUAGGAAACUUAAGAGAAAAAUUAAUAUGGAACUGUCCCACCACUUGGGAUUCUUUCACGUAGCGUUUCAGUGGAUCUCAUUGAAUUUUAUUUUGAAAAAGGAUAUUAUCAUUUUCCCACCAAAGUUAUUCUGACACAUCAUGUCAAUACCACGGUUUGGUAAAACUAUCAAUUUACUACCAAACAUUUAAACUGUUAGCAUUUUCCUACCAUUCCGUUAAAACUCAGUUAAUAUGUAACGAAAUUUUUUUAAAAGGUCAAAUUUACCCUUGGAGCAUAAAAGAUCAUGUAAUUAAUCUUUUAUGAAUUUUGUAAUUAAAUCAUCAUUUGUUGUUCUUCCUUCUUAAAGGAUAAAAAUUACCCUUUAUGAAUUUUGUAAAAUUGACCGUGUGGUGUUAGGUACUUCAUAAAUUGAUUUAAUUUAUUUAAUUUUUAAAGGGCAAAUUUAUUUAUUUAAUUUUGUGUAAAAUUAUUAUCAUCAUAUCAAAGAUUAAAUUGCUUCUUUUGCACAUUCUUUUUUUUUUUCCCUUUCAUAAAUUGAUUUUUAGUAGUAGAAUAAAUUGUCUUUAGCUCGUCAAUUUAAUAAAUAAAUUUGCCCUUUAAAAAUUAAAUAAAUUAAAUCAAUUUAUGAAGUACCUAGCACCACACGGUCAAUUUUACAAAAUUUAUAAAGGGUAAUUUUUGUCCUUUAAGAAGGAAGAACAACAAAUGAUGAUUUAAUUACAAAAUUCAUAAAAGGUUAAUUACAUGGUCUUUUACGCUACAGGGGUAAAAUUGACCUUUUAUGAAUUUUCUAUUACAUAUUAACUGAGUUUUAACGGAAUUGUGGGAAAAUGCUAACAGUUUAAACGUUUGGUGGUAAAUUGAUAGUUUUACCAAACUGUGGUACUAACAUGAUGUGUCAGAAUACUUUUGGUGAGAAAAUGAUAAUAUCCCUUUUGAAAAAUCAAUUGAUAAUACUGGGAUGGUAUAGCCUGGUAGGGUGAUACUCUAAGCGGUCCCUUUAACCUUUUUAGUUGUCGUACACGAAUUAUUUCUUCAUUUGGAAUAAAAAUCAACAAAGCUGCAUCUUCACUGAAAUUAUUGUCCACAGUGCUUCCAGGAAAAUGAGAUAAAGAUAAUUUUAAAGAAACUUUUAGGAAGAUUCCAAGCAUUAAUAAUUAUUUAUAUUUAUUUAUAAUAAAUUACUUUUAAUAAUAAUAAUUUAUAUCAUGAGUAUUUUUAUUAUAAAAUUUUUAUAUGAAUGUAAGUGCAUAAAAUAAUUGUUUAGAGUGUAAAUAAUCUCGUCUAAUUGAUAAUCCUCGCUAAUCAAAUACAAUUUGUUAAUAGGGCACGAGUCACUGCCCCCUUGAGAAUUGAGCACAGAAGCAUUUACUAUUUUCUAUGGUGGAUUGUUGGGAAAUUUACACCCUUUCCACCUUUUUAGCUGCAUUUACUAUUUUCUUUCUUCACUUGAUUAUACAAUUUGAUUAUCAAGAAACAACCUGGAAGGUUCCAAGCAUCGUUUUACUCUGCACAGAUACUGCAGUCACCAACGUUUGCUCGAGAAAAAUACGACGAAUUUUCCGGGAAAUUUUUGCUUUUUCUCUUCAAACUUAAAGUUUGGGGGCAGAAAUGUUAAAGGUUUAAAGGUGGGUACAAUUAUUCUUCUUUUUGUUAUUUACGCAUUGCCUUCCAUUCACAUUAGUCGGUCUUCAAUUAAUUUUAGAUAAGGAGAUGAAACUACCAUAAAAUUAACUCCAAGUGAGGGACUACUGAAGCAGCCAUAUAUUUCCACGCGCAUUUUAUUCAAUUAAUUUACUUAUGAUCACAUCCCACAUCAUAUUAUUAUUGUAUCAACUUGCACGGCCGUAACAAUUAACAGAAAUUUUCAUUAAAAUUAUUACAUUAAUUUUUAAAUAGAAAUAAGAAAAAAAUUCUUAAUAGUGAAAAAACAUAAGAUGAAAUCGUGUGUCGUUUGUCACGAGUCAAACUUUUGAGAAAAAUACACGAAUGAAUGUGGCGCGUAAAAGGUGUUGAUGUACUAUCAACAUUUUCAUUUUAUUUUUAUUUUUCUUGAACUUUCAUAUUUUUUUUAUAAGCUGUCAUCAAUUAUUUGGGUCUUCCUAAGCUACAACUCAUGUAAUUUGAUUUUUACAUGUUUCGCAUGAGUUGUAAAUUACAUAUUUUUACAUGUUUUGCAUGGAUUGUAAAUUAUAUGAAUUGUAAAUUAGCAAAACCCUUAUCACGAAACUUAAGUCUCAGGAAGAUUCCCACUUCCAAGCAUAAUGUGUUCUUGAUUUCAUCUCGUCGAAAUUUCGAAGUUGGUAACUGCUUUUGGUAAUUAUAUCUUCAUCACUUGCAAUCUUUUAUUGCUUUUCCAAGUUAAUUUUUAGGGUAAGUAUCAUAAACCUCUGCUAGAUUUGAUUUAUUCACAGUUUCAUAGAUUGUAUUCGUAUAUUCUCAAAUACCUCCCUUAACGUUAGUAUAAUGUUUCUUUGAUUGUUUGUUGCACAAUAAAUGAUCAAAAUACUCCAGCAAAAAUUAUUUUAUACUGAAAAUAAAUAAUUCUGUACCAACAUGUUUGAUUUGGCGCCAAGGGAUGUAAAUAUAAAUAAAAUACCAAAUCACCCCCCACUACUUUUUAAAAUGACUUUGAUGGAUGAAACAAACAAAAGAUUUGACUUAUGUCAAAUAUCAGCGAAUUCGAAAGGAAGCUUUUUUGCACUUUGCCUCAUUGCUCUGCUUUCUACAUCAAAUUUCUUUAAUCUUGGUGAAGAUUUUGGUGUCCCGAUUUGUGUCUCUCUCUCUAAUUUUCUAUUUUUCAUUUCAUGAGCACAUCUUCCCUUAAAAUUGUAGAGAUACUAUAUGAAAUCACCAAACCCUGAAAAUAUUAUAUUAGAGAAAAAAAAACAAUUAUAACUUAAACAAUAUUUGUAAUCAGCAUUUGCACUUUCAUUCAUGGUUAAUUUCUUUUAUACAUAACGAAAGCUUGAUUAGGGAGAGAGAAUUUUAGUCGAUCCCAAAAGAUAUUCAUAAGAAAAAAAAUUAUUGGUUAAAUUCAAGCCUUGAGCAAUAAUAAAUUUUUGGCCAAAUCGAAAUAUAUAACAACUUCAUGCAAUUUUAAUUCAGUUGAAUAAUAAAUGGGUUUUCAUGAUCACGUAUAAAUUUUCUCGCGCAAUCAAUUAUCUCGUCGCAGUCAGCUUUCUAGUAUCCAUUCUGCAUUCAACUAACCUAUCCUGUUCUAUCUCUUCAAUUAAUUUAUUUCGUGAGCUUUGUCAAACUAAUCAAAUUCAUUAAUGGAGCAAAACCGUGAAGGAUUAUUUUUCAAACUUUUGAAGAAAAUAAACAUGUUAGCAACCAGUCAGGGGCAUGAAAAUGGUUGUGCAUAUAUAUCUUUGUUGACAAUUCCUCUUUGAAAUUAAUUGUCUUUUAUAUUAUCUAUCGAAAUGUAACAUAUCUGAUCGCAUGGAUUAAUUUAGAGGAUACAUAAUUUCAAUGAAAGACUACUAAUCGAGGGCAAUUUCGAUUCUGAUUGAAUGGUAGAUGUAUAUAUGAGCAUCAUUCUAAUCAUUAAAUUGAUAAAAUUAGGAAGUUAACUUCGAUCCAACAAUUAACUUUAAUGGAGCAGCAGGGAAUUGUUUUGUUUAUGUUAGAGUUAUUUUAUUAAUAAAAAAUUGGGUUAUUAUUAUUUCACUACUUCAAAAAUUGUGAAAUAUCAAAUGACUACAACAAGUAUUGUCUCUUAUCAUUUUUCUAUCAUAUCUGUAUAAAAUUAUCAUUUAACUACUUUUUUAUUAUAACCAUUAGUUGACCAGUUAAUUGACUAGUUAAUUGUUGAAUAAUUUUAACCAUUAGUUUAUAAAAUUAUCAAAAUUUUCUGGUCAAAAUCUUUGAACACUGUAGUUAAUUGAAUGAAACACGUCGCAUUUUCUGGGAAAUAUUUUAGCUUUUUGUCAUUGCCUCACAUUAGUCGGUCUUCAGUGGUAGUGAAGCAUCCAUAUCUCUUACGUGCAUUUCAUUCAAUUAAUUAAUUAUCAUCACAUCCCACAUUAUUGUUUCACCUUGCACCGUCCGAAUAACUAACAAGAAUCUUUAUUGAAAUUAUUGUGCCACUUUUAGAAAAGAGAUAGGGAAAAAGUUGAAUUCACAAGUCCAACUUUAAAAAGGCAGAAAAAAAAAAAAGGACUGGAGUAGAUGUCACAGGUAUUAAAUGCAUUGAUGAGGUUUCAACAUUUUUUAAAAAUAUUUUUAUAUAAUUUUUUACCAAAGUUCAAAUAACUAUUUUCAAUUAGUUUUAAAGUAAUAUAUAUAAGAUGAUGAUGAUAAUACGGGAUCAACAUCAACAUAAAAUUCAUUGGUGCUCCAUCAACAUUGAUUUUCCCAUCUCUUCAGUAAAUGUUUUACAUAUUUAUUUUGCAUCUAAUUUAAUAUUAUUGAAAGUUAAUAGACGUGAUUAGUAAUAAAUAGAAGACUAAAAAUAUUUAAAGAAAUAGAGCUAAGCGUGCUGCGUGCAUGAAAUUGCAUCUAUACUUUACCAAAGGGAAAAAAAAUUGCCACGCAACAGCGUGGAAGGUUCAGAGAAAAUAUUUGUUAGCGUUUUCUUUUUGUUAAAUAUAAUUGGUUGAAUUUUUUAUUUUUUAUUUUUUUAAAAUAGAAAACUAUAUUACAAAACUUCCCGGUAGGUUCCAAGGAACUAUCUAAUAAAGCAUCUUUAUAUAACCUCCAUAGACACAGCCGCAUUAAAUUAUUUUCACAUCCCAAAUUUUCACAUCUGAUCAAUUUUCUCAUCACUGAACUGUUAUGGCUUCUUCUUCUUCUUGUCCACCUCGAAACGCUAAGAAGAUGUAUGAUGUUUUUCUGAGUUUCAGAGGAGAGGACACCCGUGACAACUUUACUAGCAUUCUUCACUAUGUUUUGUCUCUGAAAAGUAUCAAAACUUUCAUUGAUGACCAACUUAUCAGAGGAGAGAACAUUUCACAUUCUCUUCUUGAUACAAUUGAAGCAUCGAGCAUUUCAAUUAUCAUUUUCUCAGAAAGGUAUGCUUCUUCUAGAUGGUGUCUCGAUGAACUUUUGAAGAUCCUCGAAUGCAAGCACGAAUAUGGACAGAUUGUGAUUCCAGUUUUCUAUCACGUUGAACCAUCACAUGUGAGAUCGCAAAGCCAGGAUUCUUCUUUUGGGAAGUAUUUUAGUGGGCUUGAAACACGUUAUCCAGAGAAGAUGCAAAGAUGGAAGAAUGCUUUGACCGAAGCAGCCAAUCUCUCUGGCUUUGAUUCUAAUGUCAUUAGGUACGAUAAUUUUCUGUCUAAUUCUUAGUAUUAAUCUAGUACAAGUAAUAAUAUAUAACAUUAACUAUGACUAUGUGUUUAAAUAUUUAUCAAUAAUAUAUCAAUUAAAUCGUUCUUAAUUAUAAGGAUUAGGUUAUUUUCUUGCACAUUUGAAUAAGUUUCCAAUUAAAUAGCUAUUUGAUGAAAUUGAUCUUCACAUUCUAUUAAUUAGCCAUUUUAUAUUGCAACUAAUUAAAAACACACGAUUCUCUGUCUCGUUUACAUAUAUUUGAACUAAUUGCUGUUAUUUUUUUAACUAGGCCUGAAUCUAAACUUAUUGAGGAAAUUGCCAAUGAAGUUUUGAAGGGGCUAGAUGAAACUUUUCAAAGUGAUAACAAAGACUUGGUUGGAGUUGAAUGCCCCAUUGAAGAAAUCGAAUCAUUAUUACACAUUGAGUCUGAGGGUGUUUACAAACUAGGGAUUUGGGGCAUCGGUGGUAUAGGCAAGACAACAAUCGCUGAUGCUGUUUUUAACAAAAUCUCUAGACAUUUUGAAGGUUCUUACUUUGCGCAAAAUGUUAGAGAAGCAGAAGAAACUGGCGGAAUGAAGGACUUACAGAAGGAACUUCUGUCCAAGUUAUUGAAUGAUAGAAAUGUGAGGAACAUCGAGUCUCAACUCAACAGACUUGCUCGCAAGAAGGUUCUAAUUGUUUUUGAUGAUGUGACUCAUCCAAGACAAAUAGAAUCAUUAAUUAGACGCCUUGAUCGGUUAGCUUCAGGGAGUCGAGUGAUAAUAACAACAAGGGAUAAACAAGUUCUUAAAAAUUGUCGGGCCAGGCAAAUAUAUCGGAUGAAGGAAUUAGAAGAUGCUGAUGCUCAUAAGCUAUUCUGUCAGUGUGCUUUUGGAGGAGACCAUCCAGAUACAAGUCAUACAGAGCUCAUAGACAAGGCAAUCAAAUAUGCGCAGGGGGUUCCUUUAGCUCUUAAAGUUUUGGGUCGCCAUCUAUGCGGAAGGAGCAAAGAGGAAUGGGAAAGUGCAAUGAGAAAACUGGAAGUAAUUCCUGACAAGGAAAUCCAGAAGGUAUUAAAAAUAAGUUAUGAUAGCUUGGAUGACUCUCAGAAGAAUAUUUUUCUAGAUAUUGCAUGUUUCUUGGAAGCUCCGCAUAGAGACUAUGUGAUAAGCUUUUUUGAUGCCUGUGGCUUCGAAGCUAAAAUAGAGUUAAGUGUUCUUGAAGGUAAGUCUCUCAUAAAUUUAGACUUAUCUGACCGGAUAAGAAUGCAUGACUUGAUACGAGAUAUGGGAAGAGAAAUUGUUCGAAAUGAAUCUAUCGAUCAUCCAGGAGAGCGCAGUAGGUUGUGGUAUCACGAGGAUAUUUAUAAAGUUUUGAAGAACAAUACGGUGAGGAAUAAUAAGUUUUUAAUUGUAUCUUAUUUGUGUUACAUUUAUAUUAGCAAUUGGUCGAAUAUGUCUUUUUGAAUAAGAAUAGCAUUAAUACAGCUUAAAAUUAAUUGAAAAAUAAUAUUAGAAAAUUGGUAAAAUAAAAUAGAUAGAUCCGAUGUUUCCCCAACUCAGUUUGAAACAUGCCUCUAAAAUCCCCAGCAAACUAGCGCCUUCGGAGAGAGACCCACAAAAAAAAAAACACCUCAAUCUUAUAGCAUUUCCUUUUCAACUCAAGCUAUGCCCCUAUCCUUAUUUUUCACUAAAAAAAAAAAUUGAUUGAAUUAAUUUUACAGUUUACAUAUUAAGCAUUUUCUUGAAUUUUCUAUUUUACACUUCCUAAAAGCCUUACCCAAAUAGUUUAUUAUAAAGUGAGUGUAAUAUCUCUCUUUUGGUUUGACGGCUUAAAAAUAAUUGUUUAUUUGUUUGCUUUAAUUAUAUACCAACUUAUGAUCUCCUAUUUGAUUGUUAGGGAACUGAAGCACUCAAGGGUAUCUCCUUGGAUAUGAAUAAAGUCAAUGGAGAGAUACACAUGAAUUCCAAUGCUUUCUCAAGGAUGCCUAAAUUGAGAUUCUUGAGAUUUUAUGGAGAUAAGAACAAAUGUAUCAAGGGUAUCUCCUCGGAUAUGAAUAAAGUCAAUAGAGAGAUAUACAUGUCUCAUUUGGAGGGUGUGCCGUUUGCUGAAGUGAGGCACCUCGAGUGGCCUCAAUGUCCUUUGAAAACGUUGAAUAUAUGUGCGGAGAAACUUGUUUCACUUAAAAUGCCUCGCAGCAAAGUCCAACAACUUUGGGAUGAUGUUCAGGUAUAUAUUUAUUCAAAAUUCUUUCGGUAAUAAAUUCUAAAUACAAUUGAUGAUAUAAUUAAUAUAUGUUAUGGUAUCUGUUUAUUCAUAAAGAUGAUGAUGAUGAUGAUGAUAAUAAUAAUAAUAAUAAUAAUUUUUGGGGGGGCGCAGGAUCUUGUUAACUUAAAAGAAAUAGACCUCUCUGGAUCCAAGUCGUUAACGAAACUCCCAGACUUGUCACAGGCCGAAAAUCUUGAGUUUCUGAUAUUAGGCGGCUGUUUAAGUUUGAUGGAGACUCACUCAUCUAUUCAAUAUCUAAAUAAACUUGAAAUUCUUUCUCUAGAAAAGUGCAAAAGCCUGAGGAGUCUUCCAACUAGCAUUCAUUCGAAAUAUCUCCUGAUACUUGAUAUUUCGGAUUGUUCAAAUUUGAAAAACUUCCCAGAGAUCACAUCUUGUCAUAUGUGGAGUUUAGAGUUAACAGAAGUUGGAAUCAAAGAACUGCCCUCAUCCAUCGAGGGCCUAUCCAAUCUGAAAGAACUACAUAUUAAGGACUGUUCAGAGCUUGAGAGCAUCUCGAGUAGCAUAUUUAAGUUGAAGUCUCUUGGAUCUAUUGAAAUCUCUAAUUGUUCAAAUUUGAAGAGGUUUCUAGAGAUCCCGUCUUGUAAUAUGGAUGGAGGUACUGGAAUUGAGCAACUAGCCUCAUGUAAGUUGGUACUGGAAAAAUGUUCAAGUCUUGAGAGUCUCCCUAGCAGCCUGUUUAAGUUCGCAUGUAUUUUAGAGUUAACAGAAUUGGAAUCAAAGAACUGCCCUCAUCCAUCGAGUGCCUAUCCAAUCUGAAAGAACUAUAUAUUAAGGACUGUUCAGAGCUUGAGAGCAUCUCGAGUAGCAUAUUUAAGUUGAAGUCUCUUGAAUCUAUUGGAAUCUCUAAUUGUUCAAAGUUGAAGAGGUUUCUAGAGAUCCCGUCUUGUAAUAUAGAUGGAGGUACUGGAAUUGAGCAACUAGCCUUAUGUAAGUUGGUACUGGAAACAUGUUCAAGUCUUGAGAGUCUCCCUAGUAGCCUAUGUAUGUUCAAAUCUCUGACAUCUCUUGAAAUCGUUGACUGCCAAAAUUUCAAGAGAUUGCCUGAUGAACUUGGAAAUUUAGAAGCCUUGGAGGCGCUGACAGUUAAUGGAACAGCUAUAAGAGAAGUACCAGAAAGCCUUGGUCAGUUAUCCUCACUAGAAAAUUUGGUACUAGCUAAUAACAAUUUGGAGAGAUUACCAGAAAGCCUCAGUCAAUUAUCCUCACUAGAGUAUUUGCACCUAUCCGGAAACAGUUUGGAGGGAAUACUAGAAUACCUGAGGAGUCUUCAAAGUAAGUUGACAUCACUCAAAGUUUUAUCUGUUGAGUUUAGAAAUUGUUUGAAAUUGGACCCGAAGGAGCUCAUUGAAAUCGCCAAAGAUGAGUGGAUGAAGCAGGUGUGUCUCUUAACUCACUCCUUUCAUUCUAUUUUCUUUUUCUUUUUUCUUUAAUUAUUUUUCAUAAAUUACUAAUUUUUUAUUUUUGUGUUGCAGUCGUUUCAUGGUAACAUCAAUAGCGCUAGAAGUAUUUAUUUCCGUGGGAAUGAAAUUCCAAAGUGGUUUAGGAAUCAAAGCAUGAGGAUCUUCUGUAACCGUGAAGACGCCGCCAGCAGAUUUCCUCAAUACAACCUCAGAGUACUUUGAGCAUCAAAUCCCAAGGAAAUCUCGACCUGGGAAUUAUGGCGUGUACUGUCAGUGGGAACACAAAUCCCAAAGAAAUAUCUUCCGUCGGUUUUUGCGGAGAAUUAGUUAUGUUGAGUCAGAUCACGUGUUUUUGGGAUCCUAUUUAUUGGGUUAUGAGGAUUUAAGUAAGAGAGACGAUAGUGAAGUCUAUUUCUACAUUCGGCCUCUUGAUUUUGAUGAAGAGGGUGAAGUGAAACAAUGUGGGAUUCAAUGUUAUCGAAUUAAUAAUUCAUUUAACUCAAAGAUUCUACGGAUGAAGAGGAAGAGGAAGGAUGAAGAGGAACCACACACCAAAAGACUGAAAUGUUCUUCAACUCCAAAGCAGCUGGUAUUCCUUGUUACGAAAAUCAAUCUGUAGACCUUGUUUUUGUCUUCAUUUUAUAUAUGCGUUGUUGAUGCGAGAUUUUGGUUAUCCCUCGAUCACGACCAGGAUCUCUGCUCAACCAACUCUACUACGAUCAGUAUUUCUCCUUGUAUGACUUCCUCCAAAGGUUCUUGCGUACACAGAAAAAGGUCAGAGCACGCCGGUUGUUUUCCCAGUGUAAACCCUCCGACGCUCAAGUCAGAAAUGAAGGUUUCUCGUUCCCGGGAAUGUUGGCCAGUAAUCUUAUGGCUUCCUUUUUUGGUACUGAUUAGCCAGUACUCUUUUUUAUCUCAGUUUCAAUGUCCAAAAUUCUAACCCUUUUACCUUCGUUGGCUACUUUUUUAUAGACCUCUCCUGAAUUUAGACCUUCCCUCCAUUCACGCUCGUUAUCCUCCCACCUCUCGAAAGUGGAUGCUGCAUUUCUGUGAUCGUGGGUGGUUGUGUGGCCUUCGUGCCUUGAUUCUCGGAUUGGAGAGCACGUCUUGCCAACCGUCGUUGACUGGGUCUCCUCGACUCAACCCUUAGCAAGAAUGGCUUUAUACCUCCAACAGGAAAUCGGCCUCGCGGAUGAGAUAUUCGUGGACGAGCAUAAUAUUCCUGCUCCUGCUCUCUUGCUACUAGACUCUACUACAAGAUAUACCUGCUCGCGGGACCCUGCUACCAGAUGUCUGCUCAUCAUUGUUAGUCCUCGCCGGAGUACAUCCCCCAAACAUGCAUUUUUUCAAUAUGUUCGUUUAUGUAAUAUUUAUUAAUUGUUUGUUGUGGAUGGAUGAAUCAAUAAAUUCAAAAUAAAUGGCAAUUAACCGAGGAUGUAGAACUAUGAGUUCUCUUUUUUUUGUGUUUCAUUUCCAUUCGGGUCAUGUCUGGAAUAUCCCAAAAAUUACUUAUCCAUUUACUAACUAAGAAUGCGCUGAUUAGAUUAAGAUUAUUUUAGUUAUUCUUACUUUUUCAGUUUUCAAACUUAAUAAGAAUAAAAUCGUUUUAUUAAGUUUUGAGAUUUGAAUUUAAAAGAAAAUACAAAUUUACGCUCGAGGAUUAAAUUUACCGUAUUUAAAAUUAAAUUAAUUACUCUCGAGGAUCCUAUUAGUAGUGAUCUCAGCAAGGCAGUAAAGUACCUGUUUAACUUGUGAUAAAUUACAGGCUCUGUUUAACAUAUAAAAAUACCAAAUUUUAAAUAUUACAAACAAUAACAAACAGAAUGCAGCUCCUAAUCGGUUAUUUGUUUUAGUAAAUAAACUUCACCGUUCCGUUUCAAGUUUCCACAGUCAGUUCCAUCGAUCAUAUGCUGAAGCUACGGUGGAAUGAUAGAUCUUCUUUUAGUUUCCUGCACAUCGAAACUCUCUAAUUGGUGUGUUGUUUUUUCGUGAAAUUUCUAAUAUCUAUUAAUAAUUUCUUAAUGUUACUGAGAAGUUAGUAAAUCAUGGGAUGAGAGCCGAAGACUUUUUGGCUGAUCUAACUCCUAUUACAAUCAAGUUGGUAACUGCAUUUGGUAAUUACAUCUUCAGUACUUGCAAUCUCUUAUCGCCUUUCCAAGUUGAUUUUAGUUAUUUGUCCUUGAUAUUCUAAGUGCAUGGACUUGAUGGAAGGGUCAGGUUCUGUGGUGGUGUUAGAAUUGCUAGAAAACUUGUUGUAUAGGUUGUCAUGAUAUUCUCAUGUGCCAUAUAAAUCAUCAUUGUUUUGCAAGUGCUCUAUGGCAUUCUUUACUGGAUAGGCUAGCCAGGGUGCCUUAGAGGCAAAAGUCAAGACGGAAAUGACAUAUAUCUAAAGCUUCAGACAAGCACAGGUUGGUCAUUUUAUCAUUUAUAAGUCUUCUAUCUCUUUUAACUUAGUCUAACAUCUUGUUGAACCCAAGCAAGAUUCAUUUCACAGAGGCUUAAUGUCAUGACCCAACCCAGACCUGGCAAGAUAUUGUCCGCUUUAGGCCUUAACAAGGCCCGCACGGAUUUGUUCUUGGGGUGCCCAUACACCCCAAAACGCGUCUUGCCAAUUAAGGUGUGGAUCACUCCUUAUAAACCCAGCAUCUCUCCCGUGCUUUGCCGAUGUGGGAUUCGCCUAGGGUGUUACAUACACCCCCCCUUGGGGACUCAGCGUCCUCGCUGAGGUUUGCCCCACCAUCGCUCAAGAGGACACGCGGAGCCGCUCUGAUACCAUAAUGUCAUGACCCAACCCAGACCUGGCAAGAUAUUGUCCGCUUUGGUCCUUAACAAGGCCCGCACGGAUUUGUUCUUGGGGUGCCCAUACACCCCAAAACGCGUCUUGCCAAUUAAGGUGUGGAUCACUCCUUAUAAACCCAGCAUCUCUCCCGUGCUUUGCCGAUGUGGGAUUCGCCUAGGGUGUUACAUACACCCCCCCUUGGGGACUCAGCGUCCUCGCUGAGGUUUGCCCCACCAUCGCUCAAGAGGACACGCGGAGCCGCUCUGAUACCAUAAUGUCAUGACCCAACCCAGACCUGGCAAGAUAUUGUCCGCUUUAGGCCUUAACAAGGCCCGCACGGAUUUGUUCUUGGGGUGCCCAUACACCCCAAAACGCGUCUUGCCAAUUAAGGUGUGGAUCACUCCUUAUAAACCCAGCAUCUCUCCCGUGCUUUGCCGAUGUGGGAUUCGCCUAGGGUGUUACAUACACCCCCCCUUGGGGACUCAGCGUCCUCGCUGAGGUUUGCCCCACCAUCGCUCAAGAGGACACGCGGAGCCGCUCUGAUACCAUAAUGUCAUGACCCAACCCAGACCUGGCAAGAUAUUGUCCGCUUUGGGCCUUAACAAGGCCCGCACGGAUUUGUUCUUGGGGCGCUUAUACACCCCAAAACGCGUCUUGCCAAUUAAGGUGUGGAUCACUCCUUAUAAACCCAGCAUCUCUCCCGUGCUUUGCCGAUGUGGGAUUCGCCUAGGGUGUUACAUACACCCCCCCUUGGGGACUCAGCGUCCUCGCUGAGGUUUGCCCCACCAUCGCUCAAGAGGACACGCGGAGCCGCUCUGAUACCAUAAUGUCAUGACCCAACCCAGACUUGGCAAGAUAUUGUCCGCUUUGGUCCUUAACAAGGCCCGCACGGAUUUGUUCUUGGGGUGCCCAUACACCCCAAAACGCGUCUUGCCAAUUAAGGUGUGGAUCACUCCUUAUGCCUUUUGGAUUAACUAAUGCUCCUGCAGCGUUCAUGGAUUUGAUGAAUAGGAUCUUCCAACCUUAUCUUGACCAGUUUGUCAUCGUCUUUAUUGAUGACAUAUUGAUUUACUCUAAGAAUAAGGAGGAGCAUGAGACGCACUUGAGGAUUGUAUUAGAAACAUUGCGGGAGAAGAAGUUGUAUGGAAAAUUUAAGAAAUGUGAGUUUUGGCUUGAUCGUGUGAUGUUUUUGGGACAUAUAGUGACGAAGGAUGGUAUUUCAGCAGAUCCAGCCAAAUUGGAGGUAUUUCAGUUUGAAGCUUAUGAGUAAAGAUUAUGAUUUGUGAGUAACCUCCUUCUUCACGUGCUUCGCACGUGUUAGAUUUGGGGUGUUACAAUUGUGGUAUUGUUCUUGGGGUGCCCAUACACCCCAAAACGCGUCUUGCCAAUUAAGGUGUGGAUCACUCCUUAUAAACCCAGCAUCUCUCCCGUGCUUUGCCGAUGUGGGAUUCGCCUAGGGUGUUACAAGACAUCUAUUGGGAUCUUACUUUUGUUGAUGAGAGGGUCUGAAACAGCUGGUGCAAUAAGUAAAAUUGAUUUUAUGUAGACUAGAAAGCUCUGCCCGCUGUGAAGGCUUUCCUGUUAAAUGAAGAUUGUGAAGGCUUUCCUCUAUUGGGAUCUUACUUUCCUGUGCAAUAAGUAAAAUUGAUUUUAUGUAAAAUUGAACCUUAGAGAACAGAUUUUUAUUAAUUUUUAAUAGAUAAUAAUCAUAUUAAAUGGAAUUAGACUGUCGAAAAUUGUGAAAUACUGCUUCCUUUUGGCCAUCCUUCGCACUGUUGUUCCUAGCAGACUAGGCCACCUGGGACCCUGCACUGGCAAUCAAGGCUGCUUGACCCUAAGAUGAUCCUAGUGACCUCAAACUUCUGCAGACUUGGAUUUUCCUCUUAUGUUAUCUUGAGCCAGAGGCUUGACUUUUUAUAUGGUUCAAAAAUUGAUUAGGAACUUUGAUAAGUGCUGUAUGAAGGGCAGCUGAUAUUGAUGAUUCUAUAGCUAAGGUUCUGUUUGAAUUUUAGAGAACGUCCUGGACCAUAAUGCAGUUCGUUGUGAGCUGUCAGUGUUCUUUGUCUAUAAAUGACAAAAUAGGAAGUAGAAUACCUGCUGAAGAGGUGGGGUUUAUAUUGCUAUGCCCUAAGCCAUUGUCCUUUGUUGAGUAAAGACAUUCUUCAUGUGUUUGAACCUUCUUCUUUUCUGACACUGAAUUCUCUUGUUCUAAUCUUCAGCUUGUUAGCCAUCAAAAAGGUAAUAUGGGAAGGCUAAGCAAUAGGUUGGGAAUGUGGAUGUUUGAUCAGGCGCUCAUGAUGGAUGAUAUUUCACGCUUUUUAAAUUGAAACUUGUCUCUUACUCAUGUCUUGAAAUUUUGUUUGAAACCUUUAAGAACAGGAUUCUGUAUUGCUUAAGAUUUUUAAUGAGUAGAAACUUUGAAUUAUGAGGGAGGAGGAGUUUCCACCUUGUGAGUCAUCUAUCAUAUCAAGGGUUUUUUCUUUAAUUUCUACACGGGUAAAAUAAUCACAUGACAACAUGAACAUUGGUGUGUUUUGAGGUUUUUAAUAAGUUCUUAGCUAGUAUCUUAUUUAUUCAAUCAUUUACGGAAUGCAAUGCCAAUAAGAAAUUCAAGUAACCAUCAUUGAAUUGGAAUUGACAGGUUUGGCCGCCAAAUAUUUGCUUAAUUUAUUGUUAACAUAUUGUUAUGAGCUCGCGCUGAGAGGAAAAAGGAAAAAGUUGCAUAUUGUUAGCAUGCCUCAGAAAUUCAGAAUAAUGUCUAAGUGCAGUUGAUAACCCUUGAAUUAUAACUUUUAGCAUGAGAGAUAUUUUAUGAGCAUAAUUUCCAUCUUAUCAUUUAAAAAAAAAAAAAGGAUGCUCCAAUUUUGAGGGCUCUUGUAGGUUAGCUUCAUGAAGCAUAUCAUCUUGUAGAAUAUCUGCGGUUUGAGUAUUUUAUAGAAUGACUUUGGGAUGGGGAUGAACUGGCAUUGUUGUCAAGGUAAAAUUUAUACUUGGAAAUUUGGCAGUCUGAAAUCAUGUUGGCUCAGUUCUCUUCAAAAUUGCUAUAUUGCAUGCAGCUAUAUAAAGCUUUUGUAAUCUGCUGUUAUAAUCAUGCUGAAUUUUAAUCACUACAGGGACUGAGCUCCCUGUAUGUGCUGUGGAUUACAGUUGCUUGAUUCAUUUAAUGGCACGGUGUUUUGCAUAUGGUUUAUUAACUUUUUUGGUGCCUUAUCUAAUGGUUUUUUUUUUUUGGGUCUUGAUUUUGCAGCACCACCAUUGAAAUUAAUUGACUUGCCUGGAUUGGAUCAACGAAUAAUGGACGAUUCAUUGGUGAGGGCUUGUUUAAUUUUUUUAGACCUUGAUGCUCUAAAUAUUCAUGUGUCCCAUUAUAUAUUUAUUUGAUAGAUGUUAUUUGCUUGUGUUUUCAAUGGUGGAAAGAUGUGGUCUGUUCUUUGCAUGUGAAUUAUGGUUGGUAACUUAUAAGUUAGUAACAAUAAUUUUGUGAUGUCCCUCAUAGGUUAGUGAAUAUGCCGAGUACAAUGAUGCUAUUUUACUAGUAAUUAUUCCUGCUGCCCAAGCGCCUGAAAUUGCUUCAUCUCGAGCUCUUAGAGUUGCCAAGGAGUAUGACGGAGAUGGUAAUAUGCUUAGACAUUUUUAUACCUCUAAUUUUGCUGUUAAAUUUUUUGAUUUGUAAAUCAAAAGAUAUGCUAUUUAUGAUUUUCAUAAUCUUUGGCACACUAGUACAUUUUUUGGUGCAUCCUUUGAAGUUGCAGGAAUGUAACUCUGCCUUCUCCUUCCUAUUGCUAUCAUUACUGUUUCCUUGUUAAUUCUUUAUCUCGCUAAUUUGGGAGCUUAUUUUGUUAACGUCAGGAACCAGAACUGUUGGUGUAAUAAGGAAAAUAGAUCAAGCUUCUGCAGACCAAAAAGCUCUUGCUGCUGUGCAGGCUCUCCUGUUAAAUCAAGGUCCACCAAAAACAGCUGACAUUCCGUGGGUUGCAUUAAUUGGUCAAUCGGUAUCAAUAGCUACUGCUCAGUCUGGAUCUGAGAGCUCCUUAGAAACUGCUUGGAGGGCAGAAAGUGAGUCUCUUAAGUCUAUAUUGACUGGUGCUCCUCAGAGUAAGUUAGGCAGAAUAGCAUUGGUGGAUGCUUUGGCUCAGCAGAUCCGCAAGCGUAUGAAAGUCCGGUUGUUAAACCUUCUCUCUGGGUAUUAAAUGAUUUCCACAUGCUGCACGAAAAGUUUCAAUUUUACGCAUGUUUUAGUUUAUCUUUGGAAAGUUGUAUUCUUUUUUCUUUUUUUUUUUUUGACACAUGAAAAUGAUUUUCUUGAACACACUUAGAUCCUUGGAACUUGUUUUACUGUCACAAAUGGAUUGUGAGAACUUGGCAAUAGGAAGUUCGAGAUACAUUUAACCAUUAAAAUUUCUCUUCUGCCUGGUAGGCAUGUCAUUACUAAUCAUUGUGCUUGUACUUGUCCUCGAUGGUUAGAAGAUGACGAUUAUUAUUGUUGUUAUUAUUAUUAUUAUUUUAACUUCUAUCACCCCUAUAACUCUGUCUUGCACUUUGCAUUGUAGUUAAUAAACGCAGUUCAGUGGGAGUUAAAAUUGAAAAUAAAGAUAUCUUAAUUCAUAUAAUUAAUUAUUCCUCGACCCUUUUUCAUGACCCAGCUUAAUGAGUAAAUAUGUAUUCAGUUUUUCCUUUAUGAAGGGUAUGAGUACUUCUUCCAGUUAAGGUAACUCCUUUAUUACGUAUACCUGUGCAGGUUACAAGGAAAGUCUCAAAUAGUUCAGGAUGAGUUAGCGUGGCUUGGUGAGCAGAUGGUCCAGAGUGCUGAGGGCAGGAGAUCUUUGGCUUUGGAGCUUUGUCGUGAAUUUGAGGGUCAGUUUCUGCAACACAUUACAACUGGUGAGGUGACUUAUUUUUGUUUUUGUGCUUGGUGACUUUCAUGUAGCAUAUGUCUUCUUUCUUGGCUUGCUUAUGUUGUUUUGAUUUCUCAAUUUGUUUUUCAGUAAUAGUGUAUAUUACCAUGUACAAGAAAAAGCUUUAUAUAGAAAUUUGAAGGAGGAAAUCUAAGACAUAGAUGAGGGGAAUAUGUUACUUUUUUUGAUAAGAGACGGGAUUGUGAUACUAUCACCUCUGGAAUUGAAGCCUUCUAUAAAAUUAGAUGGAAGUGAGCUCCAUUACUUGUAUCAAUUUGUAAUCCCUCUCAUUGUAGAAGUUUACCUGGUUCUUGGACCUCUAAUGAGAAGCUUCUUAAUGUAUAACGUGGAUACUGCUUCUACCUAAUGGAAUGUGUGAAGCUGGCAGGGACUAGGGGUCUUUUGUAGGAGAAACGAUUUUUUCAAACCUAUUCAAGUGCUUAGAGGUAGUGCUUGUUUUUACUAGGUCAGCUGAGGAGGGGUUGAUGUCUGCUUUGCGGUCAUUGUAACCUUAUUAGUUCCAGGUAGCUCCUUUAAAGUUGUUUUUGCUCUCUAACGCUUUUUCGGUUGACGAGUGUGUCUGGUCAUGGAAAUGUAGGGGCUGGAUUCCAAGUGUUGGAAGUUCAUAUGGUAGUAUGAGGAUGCCCCUUUUCCAAAUUUGGUUAGCUAAAAUGGAUCUAAUUGGUACUUCAUGCUUGUUCUGUUCCUUUGGUCUUUUAUUAUUUUUUCCCUUUUUCUUACUUAUAAGUUUCAGGCCAUGUCUAAUUGAUAAAUCUCUAAGUAUCAGUACUUCUUCUGGUUAAAAUAGUUAAUGUAUCCAAACUUUGUUUAGUGUCCUGCUCUCUGUUUUUAUUGGCUAGUGAUUUUGGUCGUGCUUUUUUGAGUGGCCUAUGGUAUUUUCCUCCGUCACUACCUGAAAAGUAGAGGAUACUGAUUUUUUGAGAUAUCAGUUGUCAUAACAUUAUGUCGAUGCAGGGUUCUGGUUGGAAAAUUGUUGCCAGUUUUGAGGGGAAUUUCCCGAAAAGGAUCAAACAGCUUCCUUUGGACAGACAUUUUGAUAUUAAUAAUGUCAAGAGGGUAUGUUGGUGCUCUACUGCUUAUAUCUAUUGUGUUCCUGUUGCUUUAAUCUAAUUUUUUAGAUUUUGCAUUUGCAUUGAUCUUCUCAUAUUCAUUUCUUAUCAGAUUGUGUCAGAAGCGGAUGGCUAUCAACCAUAUCUAAUAUCCCCUGAUAAGGGUUUGAGAUCUUUGAUCAAAGGUGUCCUGGAGCUUGCAAAAGAACCCUCUCAUCUUUGUGUUGAUGAGGUAAUGGAACCAUGUAUAUAAAGAUUUUACCCUUUUUCUCUUUUUAUGAUGUUGAAUGUUAAAUUUUUUGUUUUGGCCUUAACAUGUGGUUCCUUCAUAGUAUUGUUAGUCAAUAGUAUGCUCUCUGUUGGAUGCAUGAUAUGGACAUCCAAAUGAUACACUUUUUAAUAUUUUUCCGAGGCACUACAUUUUAUGUUCUUUUUGUUCCUCAAGAACAUGCUUAACUAAUGACAAGUACUUCAGGUUCAAUAAGAAGGAUUUGUCAACUUUUAUUUGACUUAAGAGGUCAGAUAUUCUUAAAAUUUGUUUUUCUAGAAUAGGUACAUCAGGUCAUUUGAUGUCUUUUACCCAAUUUUCUUUAUGGAUGGCAGUGAAAAUCUGAAGCAAUUAUUGUUUCUGCUGACUGAUAGAGUUCCUGGCUGACUGGUAAAACAGGUACACCGUGUUCUGGUGCUGCAAAUGCUACACCAGGCCUGGGAAGAUAUCCUCCUUUCAAGAGAGAGGUAUGGCUGCUUUUGAUUAUGUGUCACAAUAGCUUUUCUGCAUUUGUACAUGAUUAGACCUAUAUGUGGUUCAAAUUUCCUUUUCCGUGUGGCAAUAGUUGAAUGGUUUGAAACUUUUACAAGGUUGUGGCCAUUGCAAGUGCUGCCUUAGAUGGGUUUAAGAAUGAAGCAAGAAAGAUGGUGGGUGCACUAGUUGACAUGGAGAGAGCUUUUGUCCCUCCGCAACAUUUCAUUCGUUUGGUGCAGCGGAGGUGUGAUAUGAUUGAACUUCUUCGAUAUAUUUGAGAUAUGUGCAACAUUGUCUUCCGGAUAUCUGGGUCUGAGUUCUUGUGACGGGAUGGCUUGUCAAUAUUUAUUUCUGGAACAUUUUGCUUAGAAAAUGCUGACAUUACCAACUUUUCUGAAAUUUAUGUCAUAGUCUAUUUCUUCUCUCUCCCCAAUUUUGCAUGAGCUGAGUUUUGAAUGCAUGCAAAUGCAACUCCACGAAUUUAGAAAAUUUGGUAUUUAUUAGUCUCUAAAUACUAUUGUUGGGUAUUUUCCUAUCAACUUAAAGCUAGCAGUUUUGUAUUUGACUUUUGUUGUCAGUCGGGCUAGUGUUUAGAUCCGAUUGUGUUUGUGUGGGUUUGGUUCCAGAUGAUAUCAAAUUCUCUAUGCAUGAAACCAGCAUUUUUUCAGUUUAAACUCAGUUGUUUGGGCCUUUUCUAUUAGUUUAAGCCUUUGGGACCUAUGGUUCCUUAGCAUUACUAUUUUUUUUUUUUUUCUGUAAGUUCUUUCCUGAAAUUCCUGUGCACCAUGCUUAUUGCGUAAUCUAUUUAUUUUGUUAGGAUGGGAAGACAGCGGCGAGAGGAGGAGGUGAAGACGCGAUCUUCGAAGAAACCAAAUGAGGCAGAACAAGAAAUACUGAAGAAGGUACGAUUUCCUUUUCCUAAUGUAAUUGGAGUAUGACAUGAGGAGAAUGGGACAUACUGAGGAGGCACUAGUUCCUUUUAAUUUCUCCUUAAGAAACGCAUUUAAAUCUCUAUUUUAUGUUUUUCCAUAUAUUCUCUUUCAGGCAACCAGUCCUCAAACAGGUGGUCAGCAAACGGGUGGAAGUUUAAAAGCAAUGAAGGAUAAAUCCAGUCAAGCAGUGAAAGAAGCAAAUGAAGCUUCUGCUUUAAAGACUGCAGGCCCUGAAGGAGAAAUAACAGCAGGUUUGUGGAAAAAACUGUCACUGUGUGUACUCAGACGAGCCUAUCAUAUUUCAUCAUAUAUGUGCAUGUAUAAUCUAGUCCCCAAAGGACAAAAGCACCCAAGCACACGGCCCAAAACCUCUGUGUGUACUUAGACGAGCCUCAAAAGCUUGUAUCUCAUCUGUAUCAUCUGUAUCUCAUAUCUGUAUCUCUGUAAUCAUCAUACCGCAUGCAUAUGCCCCCAAAAGGCAGAAACGCCCAAACACACGGCCCAAAGCCUCUAUGUGUGUUCAGACGGGCCUAAAUGCCUCUAUCUCAUCUCAUUUUUAUCACUGUAUCUGGAGGGGAAGGAUACUAUCUAAUUAUUUAAAAAACAAUCAUUAUACUCAUAUUCACAUACCUUUUAACCAUACUUUAAAUCAUACCACAUUUGAAUCCACUUUUCUUGUCUUUAAAAUACUAUAAUGUUUUAUUCAAAAUCGAUACACAAAAUCAUUAAUCAAACAUUUUAAUAAAAUACCAAUGCGUGAAUAAAAUCUAUUUUGAGAAAAUCAUUAAAUUAGAACAUUUAAAACACUUAUUUCGCAAACAUACUUUACUUUCAUAAUUAACUAUGAAAAUAUGUUUUAUAUAUUCCACUCACAGUGACGGUGUUCACGCUCGGUUAUUGUCCACGUCUGCGGAUCAGUACUCGCUCGCGGACCCCCCUAAAUCAAGAAAACGAAAUAAUUAUUUUUCGUAAAUUGAAAUUAGGACUAAAUUUAUGCAAUAAACUCGAAACGAAUAUCUAUCCAUAAUUUACAACUCCUGUAUCGAUAGAAUUACCAAAAUACCCUCGAAUCUGUAAAUCGUUAAAAUACUUCAAAAUCGUAAGUCACCGAAUUACUCUUGGAAUCAUAAUUAUACUCCACUCCUCAAUUUUAGGAAUUAUUAAAAUAUUCAUAGGCUCAUAAACUAUAAAAUUGCCCUCAAAGAGUGAAAUUACCGAAAUGCCCUUGCCGGUCAACGGUCACCGGAAUUUAGUCAACGCUGGCCAAGAAGCUCAAGUCUGAAAGUUCCAAUCACGCUGAAUCUAAUAGUGCCGCAACGACGCCGGAAUCUAGCUCGGCAGCCGUGAAUUUCCAACAAUUGGCCGGCGGAGAAACAGUGACUCCCGGUGACUGUGGAUGGUUGGGAAUUGAAGAGGGAGUCGUCGGGAACAAAACUGAGGUGGUGACGUGGUCAAAUUCCGGUGGAAUCAACGGCGGUGGUGAUGGGUUUCGGCUCAAGCCUUAAACGGCGGUGUUCCGGUCAAUUUUCGGCGAAGAUGACAGCUGCAAUAUGACCAACGUCUCACGGGCUUUCGAUUGAUACCUUGAUCAACCGGAGGGGUGGCCGGAAAUUGGAGACAUGGCCGGGUCACGUUCGCGGGUCGGGUCGGGUUUUGGGUCUGUUUUUGGUCGCUUCUCCCCUUCACACGUGUGCCUCUGUUUUCCCCUGUUUUCUCUUUCAUUUAUUUUAACUUUUAGCCGCCUCAUCUUAGUAUUUAUUUUUCUUCUAUUUUCACAUAUGUUUACUUAAACAACAUUUUUGAACUAUUGAAAGAAAUGAUCAUGGGUUACUAGAUGGGCCUGAUUCGUUAGUCUAUUAACCUUGGAUGCAUUUGAUCCAUAACAAUACCUGUGGUACGUGAUUGACUGGAAUCAUUUGCAUUCAUAGUCGUUCACUAGAAUCAUUUGAAUACCACCACACUGCUUUCCGAUCCUCUAGGGGUAACCUUGCUGUUUUGCUUGUGUUGAAAUAAGCCGAGAUUCAUAGGGGUGGAUGAAGUUUUGAACAUCAAACUCUUUCUUGGCUGAGUGUCAUCGUCUUCUAUCUUAUGCUGCAUUGGCUUGUUCAUUUUGUUCCUUGGACUGCAUUUGGAGAAAUAGAUGCCUGAAUUCAGUAUGAGCAAAGUUAAGAGUAGAUAAUAUACAUCACAUAUUUUCUGAUUGCUAAAAUAGUAUUAACUAGGGUUGGUCCCUGAUGUGUAUCUUGACAUGGUCUUAAACCUUCAUUACUUUUUCAUCAAGCCAUAAAGUGCCUGCAUACAAGUUGAAAACCAGGAAACUUGCAACUGCUGCCCAAGACUAUAUACUGUUGUAGCAGAUAAUUAGCUAUUCAAUAAUUUUGGUAUAUCUCAUUAGUAUUUGUGGAAUGCCUUUGAAAUCCUUGCAUGCAUGCUUCAUAUCCCAGCAGUUUAUGGAUAAAGGCACGUUAAUCCCCCUCUAGAUGAAAUUACUUAAUUGCUUAAAUGAUUUUUUUUUUCACACAUUUAUAUUUAGAAGUUUGUGACUAUUUUUUGUUGUCCAGGUUUCUUGUUGAAGAAAAGUGCAAAAACUAAUGGAUGGAGCAAGCGAUGGUUUGUUCUGAAUGAGAAGACUGGAAAGGUUUGUAACUAACAUUUUGUCCCAUACGCUUACAUUUUUUAGACAUGGAGUAGUUAUGCUAUUCAUAUGUUUUAGGUGCUUUUAGGCAUGGUAUCUAACCUUUGUUAAAUGAUUUUAGCAUUAUAAAAUUUUUAAAAUGAGUUACAUUCUAGCCUCCAUUCUCUUAUUUUUUAUGUUUUUGCAUUAAAGAAAUAUAGGACACUGUUAUGAUAGGCAUG